UUUUUUUUUUUUUUGGGUUGUUGUGAUAAUUGACUAUACAAUUCUUAUCUGGUGUUGCAGAUUUGUCGAACUCUUAUGGCAACUUUCUUUGCAUGCUUUAAGAGAGGUUCAUAGGCGGACAUUUCCAGCCGAUCUGGCUACUAAUCCUUUACCAGCUUCAUUGACGGAUGUAGCUUUCUCCCAUGCUGCCACCCUACUUCCAGUAACAAAGGUAUAAAUGGUUUUUGUGUAUUACUUAUUGGAGAUACCUAUUGUUGUUGCCAUCAUUGCUGGACUAAGGUUGUUAUGAUGUUAAUAAGGCAGUUUAAUUUAGCAUGGGCCUUUUUGUAUCCUUGUCUAUGUGUCUCCAUCUGUGUGCACUGGGCUAUCUUUUGAAAUAUAGACACCACUUUACUCCAAUUGACCCUCAAAGAGCAAAAUAACAGUUAGGAAAUGCAUUUACUAGCAUUGCCCUCCCCUGGUAAUGUGAGUUGCUAAGGUUCCUUCCGGCUGUUUUUUUCUUGGUCGGUGCUUUUAAAAAUAUACAAGUAGAUUUUUUUUACCAAAAAAUAAAAUAAAAUAUACAAGUAGAUUUGGAGACGAGCAAACUCAAGUAUGUAUUAGAAUGAUGGACUCCAUCGAAAAGAAGAAUUAAUGUUUUAGUUCUUUAUCAUGAGCCUUGGGUCUUAUUCAAGAUGUUCUACAAUUUCCUUUGAAAUGGCAACAUCUGGCUUUUGUAUUCCUCAUGUGAAUAGUUGGCAAUAACUAUGGGAGACAGCACAUAUUGACAAAUUUUGUGCUUGGUUUUGGUGAGAUAUGAAUAUUAAUUUCAGGAUGCAAGUGUUGAAAUACAUGCGAUGGUCUCUGUAGGCUUUCAUUUCUUGUUGCUAUACGGUUGAGAUUUUCCAUUUUUACUAUCUUAGACAAACAUACUUUUACUUUGAGACUGAUGAAAUUGAAUUUUAGGAGCUUGACUAAAAUAAUUAACUUUCCAUAGGCUAGAAUUGCGUUGGAAAGAAGAAAGUUCCUGAAAAAUGCUGAAACAGCUGUACAGAGGCAGGCAAUGUGGUCCAAUUUGGCUCAUGAAAUGACUGCAGAGUUCCGAGGCUUGUGUGCUGAGGAGGUAAAACUCUAGCUCAUGGACUAGUGACUCUCAUGAAUAAGCCAUCAUAUGUAGGUCUUUAAUGUGCUUAAGAACCUGGAUCUCAGGCUUACUUGCAGCAAGAACUGGAAAAACUUCACGAUUGGAGAAACAAAGUCAAGUUGGAAGGGGAGCUGUGGGAUGAUCUCGUAUCUAGUUCCAGUCAGAAUUCUCAUUUAGUUUCAAAGGCCACACGCCUAUGGGAGUCCAUAUUAGCAAGAAAGAGUAUGUACAACCACAAAGCUUUCUAUGUAAAAGUUGUGAUAAUUUCUAAUAUUUAAAUCUCUUGCCCAAUUAUUUAGGAGGUGGAUUUCAUGAUUGAGAUAAAACACUACAGAGAUAUUGCUUUGCAUCAUUCAAUCUGAAAAUACCUUCCCCAAUUUUUUUUUUCUUUUUUGUUUUUGUCUAAGAAUCCCAUCCUCCAUUUUCUUUUAAGUGUUGUUUGGCAGUUCGAAUGUUGAGCCCAUUAUUGUGUAAUUGAUGUUGCUAGAAAUCCUUGUUUUGGUAUAGAAAGUACUUGCCAGUUUCUUCAAAUCCUAUGUAGACGCCUGCCAUGGAUAUGUGGACUGAACCAUUGAUUGCAUAUGGCUCAGUUCUGUUGUUUUAGUUUUCCUUGCAUGUUUGGCUUUUAUUGAGAAGUUUUAAUUCAGAGCUGCAAAUGUUCUGUCACCUUUUGAAGACGCUGUUUGGUGUUAAAAAUGGUGUAUUUGGAAUCGCUUUACUUGUUACUUUUUGCUUUUUGUUUUUUUAACUCAUGCGAUACACGUACUUUAACUAAUACACUGGUCUUUGGGGAAUUCUUCAAGCUUUAGUUGAUGGGAUCAAACUUAUUUUCAAAGAGAAUCUGACCCGAAACACACGAAACCUUUCAAACAUUCAAAUGUCGACAUGUAGAUUCGUAUCUAAUGUUCUUUAGUUUCUGAAAUUUGGAUUAUAUUUUAGAUUUUGGCAUGAAAAGAAAAGAGUUAAGUUUUGCUUUCUUUAGUUCCAUGCAAAUGCUCCUGUUGAUAUUCCUAAGCUUCUCAUAGCUUUCACAUUUCCAAUAUUAAUGGUGUUUUUUCUAUAAUGUUCUUCUUGUCUCUCUAUCAUGAUAUUCAUGAACUGUUCACAACCUAAGAGUUACAAGUUACAACCUUCAAGUGCAGGUCAACAUGAAGUGCUCGCUUCAGGUCCCAUUGAGGACUUGAUAGCUCAUCGGGAGCAUAGGUAUUGUUAUCCCCCGUACUAGUUCUGGCUUACAAUUAUUUUCCAUGGACUGGCUGAUUUGAGAUAUAAUUCUGCUCAGGUACCGGAUCUCUGGAUCAUCGUUGCUUGCGGCAAUGGAUCAAAGUUCUCAGGUUCCUCAUGCAGAGAUCCUUUCCGUCCAGCCUAGUGAUGUUGCUUCAGAACAUUCUGAUGACAAAGAACAAAAUAAUGGAUCAUUUGAUAAUAUGGAUAAAGAAAAGUGGAACAACAGCCUGGAUGCAUCCAAUCCUGCAAAUGAUGAAACACAUUUUCGGGUUGAUGAUAGAAGUGGAAGAAUCCACCCGACUGUUGAUGUAGCAGAAGUUAUAAGACGCUGGACGCAUGCUUUACAGCGGAUUCAUAAGCAGUCACUGCUUUUGGUAUGCGAUUCUUCAUUUAUGCUAUGAAAUCUUGCACCUUUCAUUACAUUGUUUGAGAUUGAGAUCCUUUUAACAUAAAGAUUGAGUUUGAGCCUUUAAUGUUCAUCACCAGUUGCCACUCAUUAAAUGUAAACCAUGUUGCUUAUCUUACCCAACACAUGGUAAGAUUUGCAAUUUUCAAUGCUGUCUCAUUUAGAAAAUAGACUACACUUGAUGAACUUUGUCUUGUGAAAAGUGAGGUUUGAAGAGGGGGGGGGGGGGGGUGUUGUUACCUUGGUAAGUUGCUCGUUCAGGAUGUGACGGGCUUUGUUGAAGAUCAUUGGUUUCUGAUCUUGGGGGAAGGAAGCACAGUAAUUGUUGCUGGGUGCAUUUUCUUUAGCAACCAUGUGAAAUUUCAAAUGUGGCCCAUAUGUUCCAGGCUUCGGAGAACAUUGUGGGGAAUCUUUUGUUUAAUCUUGUUUGCCCAUUGAAGUUCACAUGGAGAACAUUACAGGGAUAGAAAAAGAUAUAGUUUCUUAUGCUCAUAGAGAGGGUUUUUCAAAGUGUGAUUCUUCCACCUAUUCAACCUUUUGAAUUGGUACAUUAGGCUAAAGUCUACUAUUGUAACACGAAUUGUUUAUUUUACACGAACCUGUAUUUGUGGGUGCUGAAGUAAGGUAUGAUUUCUUAAUUUCAUUUAAUGUUGCUUCCCCCUACAUAUAAAGUCAUAAAGUCUGAAUGACUGGUCAAUGCAUAUGAAGAUAGAUGCCCUUCCAGAUUUUUAACUUAGGGUUUUACAGAAAGUUCAGGGUAAGAAACUUGUUCUUUUAUGCUAGAUAUUUGACUGCCUUGAAUAUUUUUCUUGAUUAUCGUGAGAGGAAGUGUUUUUUUCACUCAUGCUCAUUAGAAAGGAUCUAUACUCUUCAAAAAGAGAAAACAAAAUUCAGGCAUUGACCUUAUAAAGUGAUAUGAGCAGGCAUUUAUUUUGGGUGUGGUUGAUUAAGAAUAUUUCAGUCAACUGAUGUAAAUUUAUCUUUCAGUUUUAAAACUAAUGCAUUUGGCAACUUACAGUGUAUUAUUUCUCCAAGCCCUACAAUAUUGUCGAGUACAUACUAGUUAGGCUGAGUGUAUACAAUAUGCCAAUAAUUAAUGUUGCAUAACGUAAACUUGCUUCUUUGACAUUGAACCUGCAAACAUGUCUUCAUUUUAACUUGAGGUUGAACUUUUGAGGUUUUGCUUUUCCUUUCUGUCUACAUAACCCAAAAUGUGGAAUUGUCUCUUGCGUAGGCAAAAGCUAAUGAUGGGGAGGGUCCAGAAAUAUUACGAAGUGCAGACGAUGGCAGUACAACUGGUCAUGUGGAGUCAUUAGCAGCAACUCUUGCAGAACAUCAACAACACUUAGCUAGCUUUCAGGUGAUUUAUUAUUAUUAUUAUUAGGAUUAUUAAUUUGGAUCGGGCCUUUCUGGUCCCUUUGCCUGCAUACUAUCGAAGAUGAAACUGAAGAUCAUCUAUUGUUAUAUUCACCAUGUAGGUGCUUAUUAACCAAUUAAAAGAAGUAGCUCCUGCUAUACAAAACUCAAUCUCGGAAUGCACGGAUAAUGUAAAUAGUAUAUCUUCCAGUCUUCCUCCUAUGAUGAAACAUCGUGCUCCAUUGAACUCACCAAGCCAAACACAGAGCAGUGGAAGAGGAAUAGUAAGUGUUCAUGUAACACCCUGUCUUAUGUGAGAACUGUAGGUGUGGCAACUGCCACAUGUCUUCUUUAUGAUGUUGUAUUUCAUGAGCUAAUUUGUUUUCCAUUUGGAUUUUUAUAGGAAAGUAGUGCUGAUGAUAUCAAUGAGAUCAGUUCAAAAAUGUCCAGUGUUCAGCUAGACAAAGUUUCAGCUGCUCCUGCUUUGAAACUCCCACAGUUAUUUACUUUGACACCAAAUUCUUCUGGAAAAGCUGGAAACUUUCAAAAGAGACAAACUUUGGCUGCUCAGAAUAAUCAAGUGGAAAAUGCAUCUGAAAAAAAGUUGCCAAGCCAGAUUUUUCCAAAAAAUCAUCCUGACCAUCAAGCACAAGGUUUGUCUUUUUGAUUGCCUUGCCUGUAAAGGGUUACCAUAAUUGGUGUGUGAAUUUUUUUAUUUUUAUUUUAUUUUUUAUAUAAAUAUAGAAAGGAAUUUGAAUAAAAUCAUUGGAGUUGUUCAAGUUUAUUUCAAUUUAUGCAGAUAGUGAUGAUUCUUACAUUCAGAAUUUGAAGAGAUCUGUUCGAGAAGCAGCUCUGUCAUCUCAAUCCUGUAAUUCGGAAGGGUCACGAGAUAGCCAUUCUGAUGAAGGAUCUGAGCAUUUCUUUUUGCCUUUUCCUGUGACUGGUUUUUCUCAUGUUGGCCUGGAAAAGAAGGAUGCUUCGAGGAGCAAUAGGUUGUUUAGAUCUCAUGUAGACACUUCCUCAAAUGGCAUUUCUGUGACUGAUGAUAACAUUGGUAAUAGGUUUGAUGGAUUACCCGAUGUUAUGAGUGAUCUGGAAUCCCUUAAUGACUUUGAUCAAGUAAACAGUUUUCUCUCGGCUUCUGUUUCUAAGCACACUCCUUCGGCUACACAAAGGUUGUUCUAUGACAUUGAUGGGACUCAGGAUCAGGUCUUUUCACCACCUUUGCUCAUGGAAACGUCUCUGUUAGCUGAUUCUUAUGAGGACUUGCUUGGUAAGUUAUCAUGCUAUUAUAAUUUCAAAAUUUAAUUGCGAUUUGUCUUAGAUGCAACUGUUAGGGACCUUUGUUGUUCUGGUGGUUCUCUAGCAAUGACAAUUACUGGAGAGGAUAUUGUCAACCUUCAUAUUUUUUCACUGGAGAUACUGAAAACAGGAUCAUAUCUCCAUUGAGAACACGAAUUAUGACUUCUUAAAUUACAAUAUUUUCUUAUCAUGCAGCUCCAUUAUCCGAAACUGAAGCUGCUUUGAUGGACCAUUGAAGUUGCAGCCUUGCAUUGGCCACCUUGCAACACACCUUAAGAAAUGGGUUGGUAACUGUGAUUAAGUCCCUUUAAAUCCCAAUUGGAAUUCUCCCAUAUUGUGUUAUUCUUCCACUGCCACGGUAUUGUGCAAUGCCUGCUUCCUUAUUGUUGUAUGCUCGGCCUAUCUCACAAAGUUGACAUCUCUGCUUGGAGGGCAAUGACCAUUAGGCAGAGUUUAACCACUACACAGGAGAUCCAUGGGACUUUGGGGAAUAUUAAUCCGAAGAAGCUUCGAUCUUGUAUUUGGAUGGCCGGUUAGCAAUAGAAAUGCUGUUUUGGCCUUCGGCGAGGUACUGAAAAUUCUACUGACAAAGCAUUCAGGACUCUGCUGUAAAAUCUUUGGGCUUUUGUGGUUGUGCUUUGGGAAAAAAAAUUUGUUCUCUUCCUCCAGAUGUGUAUUCUCAUUGUUGACCAUGUCAUGAUAGGAUAGGAACGAGUUCUUGGAACUUCAUGCUAUUUGUAUUCAUCAUCUGUCCACACACAGUUGUUGUCUUUCUUUUGCGUUAACUUAAUGUAUGGAAGCGAGUCCCCAGCGGCUACAUGCACUGGCAUCCUUCACAUCUCCUUUUUCUUUGAAUAUUUAGCCUAGUCAAUCCCAAGGGCUUCUUUGUAGACUUCUGGUUUUGUCUCUUCGGGGAAACGAUCUCAUGAUAUUGUGGAGAUGUAUCAAUUGUUGCUUUUACUCGUUAUUUUCUAUUCUUAAAUUGGCUGAUGGAGUCUGGUUGAUAUAGUUGAGAAGAGUUGACAUUGGAUCGGAAUUGGACCAUUUCUUGGGUUGUUUUGUUUGGAGUCAGCUGACAGGAAAGUCACGAAGUCAGUCUAUUUGGGAGGCCUAAUAAUUCAAUCCAGCCGAAGUUGCCCGAGUCGAACCCUUCCGGACACGACUGUCUCUCCAUGAUUUGCAAUCUUAUCUUAUAAUAUACUCUUCCCAUACAGCUUGCUCUCUUUGACUCUCAAAAUUGUUUAUGUGCUAAGAAAAGGAAUGGCCUAAUCCUUAGGGGUCAAGUCACAAGGAGGCAUUUCUCUAAAAUCCCUUAAUCUCGGGUGUUAAAUGUCUCUUUUUGAUCGGAUUGGAGAGAUGUAUUCAGUACGAUGCAUCAUCGAAAUUCACCCACAAGCAAAGGGAAGAAAAGAAAAGAUAAUCAAAAGCUCCUAUUGGCUAUUCUUUUGUCAAUGUAAAGAUGAUUAUUUGAGAGGUGGGACAUUGGGGUAAGACCAGGAUUUGAUUGAGUCUUAUCUUGACCUGACAUUGGUUCUUUGUUUAUAUUCUUUUGAUUGGAUGGAGCUUCCUUUCAUCGGGACUGUAAUGCUAAUCACGCAUUUCUGACUUUGCCUUGCUCUUCUUUUCCUCUUUUUUUUUUUUUUUAAUUAUUAUUAUUAUUAUAAAUUUUUUGGAACAUUUUCUUCUCUUGCAACCUUGGACUACAAGUGCGCAUGAUGGGAUCCCUUCACCUACUUCGAAUUCCAUUGAUUAAACCCGAACUGAGCGUUUUAUCCAUACUCGGUUGACUAGCGGUCAAAAAAUUUGAAGAAAGUCACACCUCCCAUUAUCGAUUCUUGAAAAGCAUCACGGGUUUUAUCACAAGAGCCAAAGUAAUUUUGUUGGUGGCAAAGAGAUAAUAUAGAAAUCGGCCAAGUCAAAAAUGUGGGGAGUGAGCUGUGAAAUUGAUGGGAAAAGAAGACAUUUUUUUUUCACUGUAUUCUUUUUAUUAUUAUUAUUAUUUUGGGUAAGCUUGUAGGGCUUUUCAUUUACGAGCUUAAAAAGCUCAAAGCUUCAUAUGGCCACACAAGGAGCAGGUGGGGAUCCUCCUUUUGUCUUUUUUCAUGGUUUGAACGUCGGCAUUUCCUAGGACACCGUCGAUUACGGGGUGGUCGUUUGUUGGUCGGACCGAUUCAUCAAACCUCUCGACAAAAAGGCCGUGCGCAAAACGGCAUGAGGCCGCAGGUUUGAAAGUCGCAAGUACGUCUCGGCUUUGAAAAGAAAAUGUGUUGAACUUCAGGUUUGCCCCACCCCACACUGUCUUAAUUUCUGAAGGAUGGGGUAGAUUACAAAAUUCAUCUUUGGAAAAGCGAUAUUUUGAACUCUUAUUUGAAUAUACUUUGAGUGUCAUUAUUUUAAUAGUUAAUUGUGGUUUUUGAUCACAGUACGCAAUAACUUGACUUAUAAAAGAGCUUGCUUACGUGAUACUCGAAAAAGAAAAAUAAUAGUCAAUGAGAAAACAAAAAAUGCUUAAUAUCAUAAUCUCGAUUGAAAAUUUUAGUACAACAUCCUCGUUCACUCGCAUCGAUGGUUCGGUGUCAAGCUUGAUCGUUUCUAAAGAACUUAAUUUUCUAUUUUUCGGUUUAAAGCGACUAGGAUUGCAAAAAAGCCCUAAAGAAUUUUCAAGUCAUGAUGGAGUUGAAUUUCAAUUUUUUUUUUGUAGGAUGGUCGAACCAUAAGUGGGGUCAUUUUUGUAAUUUUUCCGAAAACAAGGGUCGGAAAUUGGAACUCUCGAGUUGCUGGUGCACCGCCGGCACGCGCGACUGGCGUGGCGCGUGAGAUGCAUAAAAAAAAACUUCCCCGAAAUUCAGACAGGCACGGUUUACCGUUUUUAACCCCUUUCCAUCGUCUCGAAGUUGGCGGAGGUGGUUCCUCGGGACAGCUCGAGGGGCAAUCUCGUCAAAUCGCGGGUUGAAAAAAAUUGGAAAUUCCCUUCGGAUCGAGCGGAGGGGGGAAGAAGAAGAAGGAGGAGGAGGAGAAGAAGCUGAACAAAAAGUUUUUUCAAGAAAAGGAGAUAAAACAAAAAUUAAUCGCAAAUUCCAGUUAGAACGAAAACAGCAGCCAGAGACUGCUGUUCGUAAAUACCCUUCUCUCUCUCUCUCUCUCUCUCUCUCUCCCUUCUCUCUCUUGUCUCUCUUCUCUCGAAAGGAAAGGGAAUAUCGAGCUCGACUUUCUCUGUAAGCAUGCGGAGGGGAGGAAAAAAAUCCCAUCUUUUUUCUAUCUUAUUGUGAAUGAAUUUCGACCCAUCUCUUCCUUUCGAUGCUGUGAUUCUGGGUAGGUCGCUUUUGUCCGUUGUGGGUUUCGUUAGAUCUGCUAUCGUCUCGAUUGUGGCUGGGUCGUCUGAGCUUCUCAUCGAUUCUUGGGUCGCCUGAGGGGAAGAGAGAGAGGGAGGGAGGGAGGGAGAAAGGUGUGGAUUCUGUCUUCACGCCUUUCCCUUUCGAGCGGUGGGUGGCUGUACGGGGGGGCCGAAAGGCGAAGCGAGCUGGAAAAAUUCGUUGUUUUGUCUCGUUCCUUUUUCUCGAUUGAACCUUGCUGAAUUGUGAUGUUAUCUCAUUUGGAGUGCUUUUUGCUAUAUGGGUCGGUGUUGAUAAGUCGAGCGGGCGUGUUCUCGCCGUCCUGGAGGAAAAAGAGGGAAUACUCUGCUGGAUUUUCCUGAUGCGGGAAAAGUGAAUUAGGGGCUUUGGUUGCUGAUUCGAUCGAGGGUUAGGUCGGUCGUGUGAAGUAUUUGUCGCUAGGAUGGCUUGGUGAUCCUAUUCCACACAAGGUAAAGCUGGCUUAAAGUACUUUUCUAGAUAAAGAAGUUACUUUUCCUAUCUGGAUUGGAGUAGCUUUUCUCUCUGUAUGUGGAGCUGGAUGUGUAAAACUUGAAGCUUUGGGGUGGAUUGUCUGUGGCGAAGAGAAUUAGUCUCCUUUUUCAGAUCAUCAUCAGAGGAGUUGUGGGGAUUAUAUUGGCAAUAGUACACCGAAAGAGCUUCUUUCGUCAUUUCAGCUAUGAUUAAUAAGAUAUUGAAUAGGCUGCCAAAGAAGCCAUCUAAGUCUGCAGAUAAUCGUGAAGGUGGGGGAACCUCUACGUCCUCGUAUGGUGCUUCUACAGUUUCAAGAAGCAAUGAUGGAGUGGGUAGCCAAUACGGGAGUUUGAGUGGAUCUUCUCAUCCAGGCGUUAAUUCCAAUUCGGGAUUGGGGUUGAACUAUGGAAGUAAGCUCCCUCAGGUUUCGAACUUUAAGCUGAAUGGCACAUUUUCAGCUUCUUCAUAUGAGGCUCUGCCUAGUUUUAAAGAUGUCGCCAACUCGGAGAAGCAAAAUUUGUUAAUCAGAAAGUUAAAUUUGUGUUGUGUGAAUUUUGAUUUUACUGAUCCUACAAAGCAUAUCAAGGAAAAAGAAAUUAAGCGUCAGACCUUGGUGGAGCUGGUUGAUUAUGUUACUUCUGCAAAUGGAAAAUUUCCUGAAGUUGUGAUGCAAGAAACUAUAAGGAUGGUGUCAAUGAAUCUGUUCAGGACAUUAACUUCUCCUCCACGUGAGAACAAAGUCCUAGAAGCCUUCGAUUUGGAAGAAGAGGAACCUUCAAUGGACCCUGCUUGGCCUCACUUGCAAAUUGUGUAUGAAUUCCUUCUCAGAUUUGUGGCAUCGCCAGAAACUGAUGCCAAGCUGGCCAAGAGGUAUGUGGACCACUCUUUUGUUCUCAGGCUAUUGGAUCUUUUUGACUCCGAGGACCCGAGAGAAAGGGAGUACUUGAAAACUAUACUUCAUCGCAUCUAUGGGAAAUUCAUGGUGCACCGACCAUAUAUCCGGAAAGCUAUCAACAACAUCUUCUUUCGCUUUAUAUUUGAAACUGAGAAGCAUAAUGGAAUUGCUGAACUUCUGGAAAUUUUGGGAAGCAUUAUCAAUGGUUUUGCUCUGCCACUGAAGGAAGAGCACAAGCUCUUUCUUGUUAGAGCCCUCAUUCCACUUCACAAACCAAAAUGUAUUCCGAUGUACCACCAGCAGCUAUCCUACUGCAUUACACAAUUCGUGGAGAAAGAUUGCAAGCUUGCCGAUACUGUUAUAAGGGGUUUGCUAAAGUAUUGGCCAAUUACAAAUAGUUCAAAGGAAGUCAUGUUUCUUGGAGAGCUGGAGGAAGUUUUAGAAGCAACUCAAGCCCCAGAAUUUCAGCGCUGUAUGGUUCCUUUGUUUCGUCGGAUAGCACAUUGCUUAAGCAGCUCACAUUUUCAGGUUCUCUCUCCCACUCUCUCUGAUGAACUUCAUCUUAUUGCAAAGAAUCUGGUUUUUAGGGUAUUUAUGUGUUUGCCCUUUUGUUUUUGGUCAUCUUUGCGCACGCGUGCGUCCGACUGUGUAAAAUGUUUCUUCCACCUCAAAGGAAAAAAGUAUUAUAAUCUAUAGAAUUGAGGAGUAUACCCUGUUUUCAAACUAUAAUAAUAACUUGACCUAUUAGCUAAAGGAAAUCUGGAUUAUACUUGUGUUGUGUUAUACGUAUCUUACUUCUACUUGAUUCCCCUUGAGCAUAUUGAGCUUUUGUAGUAUUACAUUGCCAGAAAGAGAAUUCUACUAUGUAUUUGGUUCCAGCAGUUGUCCCUAAUUAUAUUUUUAGACCGACGCUUGAACUUUUGCUUUAUGGGUUUAUGCACAUGUGUUUGGUGCUUUAUUGCCUCCUGUGAUUAUGCUCAUGGGCACUAAUUCUAAACUGAUCGAGAAAGUGGUAGAAUAAUGCGUGAGGCUGUCUCUGAUAUUUACAGGCAUUGAUGGUACCAAUGUUAUUCCUAUUGGACUGGUUGAUCUUAUAGGUUGAGGAAGUUGAUAGACAUUUUUACCUGAUAGGUCCUCUAAAAGAAUGCUAAAAGAAUAUUUCAUCCGGUUGUCAUGGCUCUCAUAAGUUCUUAAUAAAGUGCUCUUGUCAGGCUCUUGAACCUAUCAGAUUCAUCUGGAAAGUGUGUGUUUGGAGAAGACAAGGGUUGCUGAAGUUUUAUUUUGUUUUUUUGGGUUUGUGUUGGGGGGAUGCUAAGCUUACAUACUUGGUUGAUUGUAGUUUGUGAUGGAAUCAAAGUACCCUUCCCCUUUAAAGUUCCCUUCACAACCAUACUUUUGCAUUCGGAUGGAAAUGUAACUGUCAAAUUUGCUGAGCUUGCUUAGUUCCAAUAUGGAUCCCUUUUCUAGGCCGUGCCGAUUGUCUAAAUGGUGGUUGAUUUGAUCUAUUUUAUGGGUGAAGAAGGACCUUUCUGUUAUAGUCCCAUUAGGCAUAGGGAUGGAUAUCGCCUAAUUUGGAAAACAAUAUGGAUUAUUUGUGUAUGUGGUCUUUUUCCAGACCAAACUGUACUACAUUCUGUGUGAAAUCAAAUAUAACCUAAGCAAGAUGUUAGGUUGGUUUGGUUCCCUAUUUGGUUGCUCAUUGUUGCUUAAACUGUGAUAAAUAUCUCUCUGAGGGGGAGUUCUUUGAGUGAUGGUGUAAAUACCAUUGGCUUUGUCUUUUAACAUGCAGUGUCUCCAACUGCCAAAAAAUUAAAAAACCAAGUGAGAGGUUUUGGGUAACUAAAUUAAACAGAAUGAUAAUUUUUAUCAUUUUGGUGGUGUGAUUACAAAUGAGUCUUUUAUGGCAGUCAUUCCUGAAAAUUUUAAUCUGCAAUGACAUUUGUCUGGUAUGUACUUUAUGCCUGCAUGAUGUAAAUUACUGGUUUCUAUAGGGAGCAGCUACCUAUAAACGCCUCAUUGCAUUAAUAAGUAGUAUUCAGGUUGCUGUUAUAAAAAUUUAUGAUAUAUCUGAGGUCGUUGGCUAGCAAAAAAAGAAAUAAAAAGGUUGGAUUUUCGGUUUGCUGUAGAUACCUAUGGGUAGUUGUUUUAACUUAAGAUUUAAAUUUACAAUAAUUUGGUUUGGUUGUGAACUUGUGAUAAAUACUGUUGUUGCUGUCAGUUGCUAUUUGAAUGGUGAAUGAAAUUGACACUUGUGGUUUGAAUGAUGGGCAUAGUGGGUAUUACAGACUGGUUGGAAGUAACAGCUAUGGAUGUCAAUUUUUGCAUUCCAAACUAAAAAAUCUCUGUGUCCUUGGGUCCUCUGUUUCCUUUUUCAUUUUUUCAUUAAUGAAAUGAAGAGCACCUUGUUGACUUCCUACACCUAUCAAUUAAUGGCAUUCUUUCAAAUUUUUAUGGGAUUGCAUUGAGUUGGUCAUCAAAACAUGUUGUAGCUCAUCAGAAUAGGAACAGUAAUCAUCCCACUCAUAGUCGUCGUAUCAUAAUUAAAUGCUUGGCUAUUUGUAAUGGUUCUUAGAAUUCAUCAAUUAUGAAAGUUUUAUGCUUGAAAUUAAGAAUCUAGCUGUGUUUACAUUCAAUCUAUUAAACUCAUGUGUCAUGGAUUGUAUUGGGAAUGGCCAUAGAUUCCCCAGUUAGGCAUCCAGUAUGACUGACUGCUCCAUAACACCUACAAAGCAACUGGUGCUGCAAUUUAAGGAAUUGGCUCUUAAUAUGCUUCUGUGAAUCUCCAACUGAUAGCCCUUGAGGGAUCACUUCUGGUACUACAAUCUCUGGAGUGAGUGCAUGGGGGCAUGCCCAUGCGCGCGAGAGAGCUAGUGUCCCAUCCCAUUUCUAAUAGAAAAUAUCUGAUGUAAACAUGGCCAAUGACAUAUCUUCUGUAUAGUACGUAGCUAAAUCAUAAUAGGGUAGAAAGGUCCCUUGGCUUCUCUGCCCUUGAUAGUGUCAACCAAUCUUUCAUGUUCGGUCUUGGUAAUUUUAACCUAUAUGGAAUGCUGACAACGCUUGCAUGUAAUCAGUUAUUCAUUCUUCUUAUUACAUUAUUUUCUGUGUGGGAAGGGCUUCUUUUUUAGUUAGGGUGCACGAAGGAAGAGUGAAUGGGUCCUUGAGCCCAGUGGUAGCAGAGUGUAUUAUGCAGUAAAUAAAAAUAAGUAAAUUUAAAAAAGAUUGUAGGCUUUUCAUCUUGACAUUUGUAUGCUUAAUUUUUCUGGUUCUUUAGUAACUGCUUAACAUAAUGCACAAUCGUGGGUAUUCAUGACACGUGGUAACAACAAAUGAAUGAGUUUAAAUUUUGAAACAAAAGCAUAUUUUCACGCUGAAUUGCUAGCAUAUGUGCAUUCCAGCAAGAAAAUAUUCAAAACACAUGGUAGAUAAAUUAAGCAUUCUUGUUUGUGGUCUGUUGACUGUUAUUGGCUGAAUAUCCCAUAUCUCCCUUGGUAAAAGAUUUCUGUCUUUGCUUGUGGGUGAAAAAUAGCACUGGUGAUUUCGGAUCAAUUGGUGUUUUAAGGAAUGCUGGAAAUGCCAACAUGGCUAUUGGUUCAGCUUCAUAAGGAUGGUAUGUACGCUAUGGAACCAAACUUGAAUGAACAUGUGAUUUAGUAUCUUGAAAUUCUGGUCCAGUUGAUUGGUCUGAUGAAAUAAGAAGAUUUCUUUCUUUUAGUAUUCGAUGAUGGUCGCUGGUUAUCUUGAGCAGAUGAUGAUGUUUUUGUCCCAUUCCGAAAGCAUGAGACGGACUACCUAUCAUGCAUUUAGAAAUGCAGUCAUUGAAACAUUGUGAUUAUUUAGAGCAAUUUUGGUACUCUUGUCCCGACAGUUCAUCUUCACCAUUGAGAGAACAACAAUCUUGUGGCGUAUCUGAGGUCAUUUUGUUCUCCUCCCUUUAGUUUGAUAUCUUUUCAAACUUCAAAGUAGAGGAGGAAUAACCGUAAUAGGAAUUUGAUAAAAAUGCUGAAUUUGGCACAAUGAUAUCUUAUUUGGCCGAAAAACAGAAUGUCUUUCUGAGCAUUGAAAGGGAUCAAAGUUACCUAGGUACAUAUGAAUGUCAGAUUUGUUUUGUCUAUAUCUGCAGUUGUUCAGCUCAAUCUUAUUUUUUAAAAAAUUGUUCUAUUAUUGGAUGAUGUCUCGAAUUGGUCAUGGUAGGUAGUGAAAAUUCGGUGUUCCAGGUUUGUCUUUGCAAUGUCAACAUUGUUGAGGUUUGACAAUGUGAGCAUUCCAUACCUGACCAUUUCUCCCUUUACAGGUUGCAGAGAGGGCUCUUUUCUUAUGGAACAACGAUCACAUUGAGAAUCUAAUCAAGCAAAAUCGCAAAGUGAUACUGCCAAUUAUCUUCCCUGCCCUGGAAAGGAAUGCUAGAAGCCACUGGAAUCAAGCAGUUCAGAGCUUGACUCUGAAUGUGCGCAAGAUCUACUCUGACGUUGACCCGGAGCUCUUUGAGGAGUGUCUGGCCAAAUUCCAGGAAGAUGAGGUGCAAGAAAAGGAUGUCAAGUUGCAGCGCGAAGCCACGUGGAAACGACUAGAAGAAAUCGCUGCAAUGAAAGCUGCCAGUAACGAACCUGUGCUUGUGCCCCGCAGAUUAGCACAUGCACCUUCUGGCUAGGAUGGUCCAUGAUCUUUUCGAAGUUUCCGAUGCAAGCUACUUCUGAUCCUUGUGCGAGCCCCCUCUGUUUGGUCCCUGCAGCUUAACAUGUGGAAUACUCCCACACUGUUGCUAGAUGCAUGGAUUCAGCAGCUCACGGUCCUCCUCUACAUGCGAUUUUGGCGGUCACUUAUGGCCGUCAAAUGAGGUGCGCAAAAUGCCUCAUUUUGAGCUUUGUAUGCAGUUGCUGUACAUAGCAGAUUGGGUGGCCAAGACGAAUGGGCUCACAUGUUUGUGUGGUGCUCCCGUUAAUAGUAUUGGUAAGCUUGCUUCUUUUCCUCUCUUAAAGCUGUUAUUAAAGAUGACGAUAGAUAGCGCGUCGGAGAUGAUUGUUUGUAUGUUGUUAAAUUUGGUUCAUUGGAGAUUGGUCGCUCUCCGCUCAAUUUUAUGCCACCCUAAAGUUGUUGAGUUCGAGAUGGGAUUGCUGGUUGCUCCCAUGUUUAUGUAUGAAGAAGCUUGGUUAUUAUUUUGGUGACAUUACACUUUUCUACAUUGUGAGAAACGUCUGAUUGAUUUCACUCUUGGUGAUCAAGCUUUGGGCUAGUCGCAGUACGGACACGGUAGGCAAAGAGGUGCACUUGCUUAUCCGGUGAUAUGCAUUUGUGCACAAGUUAUACCUAUAUCUUUGCUUGGUUAUGCUUUGCCAAAUGUUUAGCGCUCAGUGAGACUCAGCGACAUGCGAUUGAUGAAACCGAGUUCCUUUCCUUGCAAAUAAAUCUGUAUAUCAAGUGUUGAAUUGUUAAGCAGAUUAAAUCCUUCCAGGUACUUAUCAGUCAAGAAAUCUUUAAAGUAAUUUUCAGGAAAGGUGUUAAUCUUACUUAACUUCACAUUAAGCUCUGCGCCCCAAGGGACGCGAUUGCCUGUGCUAGUUACUCAUCUUUUGCUGCCUUUUCUGCUUGUGUACUCUACAGAUAGAAUGUCUUUGUAUUUGAGCUGUUGAUCCAUCCUGUGCCGGAUAUGACAAUCUUUCUCUUGCAACGCGCACUGUCGUGUUCAUUCCGCCUGGGUUAACCGAAGAAAGGAUUGAGACAGGCACGUUCGAGCGUUUUGUUAUGUUUGAUGUUCAUGUUAUUUUUGCUUUUCUUGUUUGAAACUGAGUUGGGGGUAGGUGAAAGAGUGAACCGUUCAACAUGUUUCGUAAUCAGCAUACUUGGUCUUGUCUUGUCUUGUCUUGUCUUGAUUCAUAUAGUUUGACAAAUCUAACCUACUCAUUUCCAUUUUUAUAUAAAGCCUAUUGCCGUGUUGCUUCUAUCGAUAUUGCAUGUCCGAGACGUGAUGUCACUAGAAAGGGGAAAAAACCAAAUAUUAAACCCAAAGCUAUACAUAGAAGACUAUAGGGUGGCUCCAUAAUAGAUGACUACCAUAGUUAAUUUAGCUUAAAUUAGUAAUUUAUCGGUCACCCACGGCCCUAUUGGCAAGUGCGUCGCUGUCAUCUCGUCAUAGUUAUCCCGUGACAUAUGUGGAUCAUUUCGAUUUCAAUUAAGAUUUCGAUAAAUUCGAGCACCAUGUACUAUGGUCAAUGGAUCUAUUGAAUGAACCGAAUUAUAGGAGAAUCAAAAUCUUGUCUGUAUAUGCUCGUGCAAUUUGUGAUAUGAGUUGUAUAUUAAGACGUGCCAUCCAAUCAUGUCAUGCCCCGUGUAAAAUCCUAGGACGAAUAAUUUUAAUAAAGUUUCAUUUGCUUCGAACACUAAAUGGGACACAGGAUGGGUUGAUGCCCAAUUACCAAAAUCUAGAUUUACGUGCGCAGCCUUUAUUAUAUUACAUAUUCCAACUCAGCAAGCCUUGUCAUAAAGAGAACUUAUAACCAAAUAUCUCACUAACCUACCGACCAAAAAAAAAAAGAAGAAGAAGAAAAUACUCACUACCCUUAAUAAAUAAUCUCGUGUGGUCAGAACACCUGCUCAACAAAUACUUUAAAGUAUCCACAGUUAGUACCGAGUUAUCAAGGUCCAAUUCAUUCUAAGAAAUAUGGUAAUUUAAAUAGAGCGUUACCAUAAUGCCCUCGACAUCAUUUUAUGUUUUUUUUACUAGAUUGAAACAAAUUUCAUUAUUCGAGUGAAUAUCACAUCGCGAGUAUUAUAGAUCUUCAAAUUUUUUUAUCUCUUUCUAAAUUGAUAUAACUCUGAUUAACUAAUUUUAAACUUAAAAUUAGAAUAUGGGAAUUACCAAAGACCUAAUUCACCAGAUCCUUGCCUUCUUCUCAUCACUCGUACCUGGCACAGAUUGGAAUCCCACAAUAGCCCCAAUAAUUAAACUAAUUCGAUAAAAUAAACAAAUAUAAAAAACAGAAAAAGCGUAAAUUUGAAAAAGAGAUAAAGGCCCCUCACCAGUCACCACCCCCCCAAAAAGAAAAAAGAAAAAAAAUCCCACCUUCAAGUUUCAUUCACCUUCUGUUCAAAAAAAAAAAAAAGUUUCAUUUACCUUCAUGUUAUGUCGCCAUGCGAUGCAACGCAUCAUCACCGCCAUCAUCAUCAUCACCACCGUCUUCAUCACCUCCAACCUCUCCAUCUCGCCAUCUGAAUCUCUCUCCCUCUCCCUCGUUGCAGACUCUCAUGCCGUUGCAGCAUUCCUCAGAUUCGAUCGAUCCCGCAAGUGCCGUCGAGGAACCCUAAUCUGGGCUCGCUUCUUCUUCGCUCCGCAGCUCGGAAUCCGCAUCAAAAUGUGAUUUUUGAUCGGUCGCGAGCGCACGAACCGCCGAGAACUCCACGACCCACGAUUCGAUCGCGCCGCCGCAUCCUCGUUCCCUGCGAAUUCGUCCCUGUUUGAGAGAGAUUGAGGCGGGAACGGAGAGUGAGAGAGAGAGAGAGAGAGAGAGAGAGAGAUUGGAAGGAGGUGGUGGGAGAUGCCGAGUGUGACUGUGAAGCUCUACAGCGUCUUCUUCAAGCUGCUCCUGAAGCACCGGCUGCAGAACCGGAUUCAGUCCCAACCCGACGAUUCCGACCCGUUCGGCGUCACCUCCCGCCCCGAGGAGUCCGUCGCCGCCGUGAACCCCUCCUUCGUCGACGGCGUCGCCACCAAGGACAUCCACAUCGACCCCUUCACCUCCCUCUCCGUCCGCAUCUUCCUCCCCGAAUCCGCCCUCUCCCCGCCCGAGCCCGACCCCAAGUCCCAACCCCAACCCCGGCCUAGGGCUCGGAUCCCGUCCAGGGCCGCCGAUCUCAACGGCAAUUCGCAGGGUAAUCAACCUUCCCGCCGCCACAGCUACGGCACCCCGACCGCCGCCGCGAGAGAUGAUCCCGGGAAGCCCCCCAAUCUUGAGGAGAGCUCGCAAUUGAGCCUCGGGCGGCGCAAUAGCUUCGGAUCCUCCGCGACAGACCCGCACAAUGCCAAGCUGAAUGGUAAUCAUUUUAGAGGGUUUGGCAACGAUGCAGAGAGCUUGAGUUUGAGAUCGUCUGAUGGCGGUGGUUUGCCAUACCGAGGGUAUUCGCCCUUGAUGGGAAACGCGAGGAAAUUGCCGGUGAUGUUGCAGUUUCAUGGUGGAGGUUGGGUGAGCGGUUCAAAUGAUUCGGUGGUGAAUGAUGUCUUCUGUCGGAGGAUGGCGAAGUUGUGUGAUGUGAUUGUUGUUGCGGUCGGCUAUCGGCUCGCGCCAGAAAAUAAGUACCCAGCUGCAUUUGAGGAUGGGAUGAAGGUAUUGAAUUGGUUGGCAAAGCAGGCAAAUUUGGCAGAAUGUAGUAAAUCCAUGGGUAGUUCACGUGGAGUUACCACCGAGUCUAAGAAAUCUGACCUUCACAGGAAUAUUGUUGAUACUUUUGGGGCACAGAUGGUUGAGCCCUGGUUGGCAGCUCAUGGAGAUCUCUCCAGGUUACGUUUUUGAUCCUCUUCUGAUCUUCUUCCUUUGAAUGAUUUUUCAGUUUGUGAAUUGGAGUCUGUGCAUGGUAUGUUUUUUAUCCAUCUCGAUGUUAUUAUUGUACUGCUUCUUUUGCAUAUACAUAGGGAUCUGAUUUGAUGAAUUUCAUGGGCUUUAUUUUUCAGUAAUUGGCGAAUGCGAAGAAAAAGAGAAUUUAAAAGUUUGGUGAUGCAGUGAGGAAGUAGGAUGCAGAUGAUAUUGAGAAAGAAAGCCAGUACCAUAAUUCCGUUGCCAUGCCAAAAGCAUAUAAGUCAUGUUCUCUUGAGGAAUUUUGUAGAUUUGAUAUUGUGAUUAUGACUCACUUUUGGAAUGAACUAAUUUCAAAAAAACUGACUCAAGCUUCUUACCUGGAGUGAUUCCUAGUUACCAGUGUGAACGUGGAAUAUUGUAGAUCGGGGAAGGACUUAUUAUUUUACACUAAAAUCCGAAGACUCCAUUUUCUGUAGCCAAAGUGUUUACGGAAAUAGGCCUCGCUAGCUUCGUAUUUGCUACCUUUGUGCAAGGACGGAAAAUAACCUUAUAUCUGGCUCCAAUUUGCUUGAUUAGAGGGAAUUUCCUAUUUAUAUUACGAAUUUCAAUUGCAAGUCACGUUGCAUAGAGCUGCUGUUUUAGAUAAUUGAAUAGAUUUAUAGAUGUACAAAGGCAUCCUGAUGGUUGUUGAUUGGUGAGGUGGCAAUGGCAACUGGAACCCCCAUGAGCCUCCCCCUUAUGCAAAACUUCAUUCUUAAGCUAGUGAAUUGCAAAGGGGAAUUCAAUUGCUUGUUGGAAAGGUGAUAUUGGUGCAUUCUUUUCUGAAUCCGCAAGAUUAGCCUUUAGUGUCUGUUGCUCUACUAGGAGGUUUAGUUACCAUUUUGCCCUUAUUUUUGCUUGAAGUUUGCAAGCUUGGAGCAGCUAUAAAAAGUUCUGUUAUCUGAUUUAUGGGCCAAACUGCCAGGUUCUGAUAUCCUUUGGCAGAUAUCUGAAUUCCUGUUGUCUCCGUGAAUCUUUGGUUGUUUAAUAUCUCAAGAUCUGCUUUACUGGUGUUAAGGCCAAACUUGAACGGGAAAAUCCCGUUACAGUGCCUGGGCACUGUAGCAAAACCUUUCUUUCUGCUUCUCUGCAACACUACUUUCUAGGUUAAUGAUGUCUUUGAUGUAUUUCUUAGAAUUUGGAUCUGUUGGAGAAUGCAAGUUAGCAUACGGUUCAUUGAGUAUGAUCAUAGAAAUGUUGGAUAUGGAUGAGUAGAUUUUACUUUAUUGGAUCUUGAUGAACUAUCUUAGUCUGUUAAUAGAGUCAUGAGAUGCAUUUGAAGAUAUAGGGAGGUUUGAAGUGGUUUUUCCCCUUUUGGCGCUUUUCAUAAUGUUGCUAAUAGAAUCUUGCACUGUUAGCAACUUGGUCUUAUUACACCAAGCUGAAGCAUCCAUACGCACACAAACAAUGCAGCAUAUAUUUGCUGCUUCACUUUGUAUUUUAAGAGAAGCAGAUUCCUUUCGUAGUUUUGCAGCCUUGUAUUUCUUAUAUCCCCCCAUUCUAUUUGCAAUGACAAUAUUUGCGGUGGAAUGCUUCAAAAUGUCCUACUCGCAGAAUGGAUCAGCAGUUGGCACCCUUUAAUGCCAUUAAAAUGGAAUCUCUUGCUCAUCCUAUCAAGUACACAUACCAUAGCUUUUGCUAACUUAACAAAACCUUCUAGAACGAAUUCAGCAGCGCUGUGUUGUGUACAGUUAUGCCUAUUUUUGAAGUUAAGCAGCAUAAGACAUGAUUGGGUCCAGUUGAGUUUUUCCCUUUUGCAUGGCUUGCUAUAUGGUUAUGUACACACACACACACACACACACACAAAUAUAUGUGUGUGUGUGUGUGUCAUCUUUAAUUUCCCUCACCCCAAUAGAUUACAUCGAUCCAAUCUUUCUGCUGUUUUCUCACGUUGAAUUAAAGCAUUUGCAACAACAAAUGUUGGAUUUUACAUGGGGGAUGUCCUAUUUUUAUGAGAUAUGGCUUUUGCCUGUGGAUGGCUUAUGAUACCUUUCAAUGCGUUGUAGGUGACCAAUUGUAACACUUAUUAGGCCGUUGCAUUGCCUAUUCUAUAGUUGUAGGUAAACUUCAGAGCUGGUGGCUUUUACAUAAUUAUGAUUUGGACAUUUUUAUGAGGUGUACAUAUUUUAUAAUUUUUGUUAUAGUUUGUCCCUAUUUGCAAGUGAGGCGAACCCUCCUUUGGAGCAUGUUUUUGUUCGUGCAUCAAGAACUCUAAAUCUUUUUUUCCAUCGUUGAAACAGAUGUGUUCUCCUGGGCGUGAGUUGUGGUGCGAACAUUGCGGACUAUGUGGCACGGAAAGCUGUAGAGGCAGGUAGAUUAUUGGAUCCUAUCAAGGUUGUCGCUCAGGUUCUCUUGUAUCCAUUUUUCAUGGGAAGUGUCCCUACGCAUUCCGAGAUAAAGCUAGCAAAUUCGUAUUUCUACGACAAAGAUACGUGCCUACUUGCCUGGAAACUCUUCUUACCCGAAGAAGAGUUCAGCCUGGACCAUCCAGCUGCAAACCCACUCAUCCCUGGCAGAGGACCACCCUUAAAGCUCAUGCCUCCAACACUCACAGUGGUGGCAGAACACGACUGGAUGAGAGAUAGAGCCAUUGCUUACUCAGAGGAACUUCGGAAGGUAAAUGUCGAUGCUCCUGUUUAUGACUAUAAGGAUGCAGUUCAUGAAUUUGCGACACUUGAUAUGCUUAUCAAGGCCCCCCAGGCUCAGGCGUGUGCAGAAGACAUUGCUAUUUGGGUCAAGAAGUACAUCUCAUUCCGGGGACACGAGUUUUCUUACUAGGCAGGAGAUACAACUGGAAUGACUUGUAACUGGACUCUUGGCAGUCUUGCUCGAGAUGGCUGAAAUAGCAAGUUCUUGCUGCCACCACCUCUGAAUUUUGACACAGCAGUUGGGAUGACAGCUCAUCGAUUUUAAUACCUAACCCAUAUCGGGUUUAUUUGUGAGAAAUAUGUAAUGAGAGAUUAGGAUAGAUUUGGGCGUGAGAUGCAUAUGCUCCUGAUAUAUAGCUAAUAUGCCUGAUCAGAACAUUGUCUUCGGCAACUUUUUUUUCCUGUGAAUUAAGAUGUACAAUGCUUCAUUUAAUUCAGUUGGUACAAUUAAGUACCUUGUACGAUUUCUUUCCAUCAACUCUCUUCAUCUGCUGGCAUUUCAGCGUGAGAGAUUUAUCUUAACUAGUCAAGGAAAGUGGUGAAAUCUGAGUUCGAUCUAUUGUGAAAUUUGAGAUGCUCAAUAUUUGGUUCUAAAUCGUUGCUGGCACCACAUCUGUUAGGUAUACGGAUCCUGUUUUCUUGUCUAUCUGGUGUUUGGCUGCACUUUACCCUGGCAAAAGGACAUUCUGCCUCUUUAUUAAAACUCAUUUUGUGGAGACCAUGAAACAUCGUCAUUUUACCUAGGUACCAUAAAGUGGGUUGGCGGUGGCACUUCAUAGCAACAUUUCCAUUGUCUUUAUAACUUGGUAAACUUCUUAUUUCCUUUCGACCAAGAAAAAAAAGACUUUCCUAUUUCCUGCUAAAUUCAGGGAUAGUCUUUCCCGCUAAAACUGUCCUACAACUACCGCUCCUCUCGCAUUUGGCUUUUCUUGGUGGUCCUUGCUGGUUAAGUCGUGAUAUAAAUAAUAUGACUCUCUUGAAUGAGAAAGAAUCAGAACAACUUUUUAUUUAGUCGAUGGAGAAUUAAUGAUCUUACGCUCCAUGACAAAAUGAUUAAUGAUCUUACGCUCCAUGACAAAAUGAUCCUUGCCAUAAACCUUGAACCAUAAGAAAAGCCAGCGCUAGUCUCUAGAUUUGCUGGCUUCUUAUCCUAAUGUUGAUGGCUCUGGAAGCCAUGGCUCUUAAGUUUGCUCUGGCCGAGGAUAUUGAAGUCCUGGAACUCUCAUUAAUUCCCUGAAAAGCCUCCAUGAACUCUUCUCUCUGCAACCUCAGAGCAAAUGCGGCAUCCUCAUCCUGGCUCGGCAAUCCUCUUCUCCUCCUUGGAUACGCGUCUCUGCUUGUUGCAACUGAUGGUCGAAGACUCCUGUCCAAAUGGUUGCGACUCUCUCUUCUUUCUGGUUUUUGAGAUUCAGGUUCUCGAGUUUCUGCUUCACUGGUUUUGGUGGUGGCCCUCCUUGUUUCGAUCUCCUUUGGGAACAGAAGCUGUAUUGUGUUCCACAGGACUGUGUUCACAGUGCAGGAUCUUCCGUUGCUGCAAAUUCAGAAACAAUGUGUAAUAGUGACAAACCGUCCAAAUCAAUAGGUGAUCAAUAUCAGCCACUCUUUGGGGUUUAACUUGGGUGGUUUUAGUUCCAUUUCAGUCCCCGUGAGUAAUACGAAAAGCAGGUCAGCAUUAAAAUUAUCAUGCUGAUUAAAUCUUGCCAAAUAGUCUCUUUGGAGAUGUGGCUUCAUUACCUGAUUAUCUGCCUGCACUUUGGGCAUCGCUUCCCGCAUUUGUCUGCAGCGGAUCGCAGACAUUUCUUGCAAAAACUACAGAAAAAUAUGAAGCAUUCACUUAGCAUCUGUUCAUCCACCAAAAAAUCAAGCUGAAGACACAAGCAUUGUGAGCAAGCAUUCUAAGCGAGUGGUCGAAGGCUGUUGCUUUGUUUACCUAUGACCACAAGAUGUGGUACUGGGUUCAAAGCAAACUUCCAGACAGAUCUGCAAAAUCAAGAACCACCCGAUUAACACAAACAAUUCCAGAAUUUCGACUUGCAGGAAUUAAGCAAAGAGUAACUUGAUUUCCGCAGAAAACACGAGAAAGAAAGAGUUGGGUUACUUACUGCACAUGAAAGUUCUUCCCUGAGUCGGUCCAAGCAUGGAAUGGCUGGACUCGGGUCACACGAUCCUGGCUCGGGUAUUUCGCCUUUCUCUUCGUUUUUUGCCGCUUCUUUCACUAAGGUUUCAUUCUCCUUCCUCUCUGUCAAUAAGGUUGAUUCAAAAAAUAAUUUUCCAUAAGAUUCAAAAAGCAAAACGGAAAAUUUCAGUCUUUCCAAUCAAUCAACACGACAAAUUUGACUGUGAUAAGAUACCGGUAGCUUUAGUUUCUUCAUCAUCUAGAUCAAGAAUGGUCGCGGGCAACGGAGCAGGACUCUUCCUCUGAUCCCUUCGUUUCCUGAAACAUACAUAAAGAUCAUCAAUCUAAGGAUCUGUCUCUUUGGAUUGAUUAAAUAAAAAACAAGGAAUCAAAAUCCAUAGAAAAGGAAAAUCAAAUGAUCGUUCAGUACCUCCUCGAAUUUGAAGGGGGAGUCUUGAAAUUCAGAUCCGACCGCUUCUUUUGCUUGAACUCACGAACUGGCGUGUCGUCAACAAUGAGGCUCGCGAUCAUGAGCGUCUCCUCGUCCCAACCGGCCAUGGCGGCCGCCGACUUGAGCCUGGGGCUGAACAAAGUUUCCUCCUUUGCGCCAUUUUGGGACUGAUUCGGAUGUGCCCGCGGGUUCUUCGGGUCCUUGGGGCUUUGCUUUGGUUCCUCCAUCACCAUUUCUUGCGAGGGUUUUUCCUACUUUGUAGAAUCGAUUCGCUUCAAGAUCGAGCAAGAGGACGAAAUGGAGAUGGGAAGGCGAUCUCGUUGUUUUGAUUAUUUGGUCGCAAAGUGUCUCUGCCAAGACUCCAACGGUCGGAUGUCAUAUUUAAAAAAUGGUUUCCUCUAACGGCUAUAAUCUCGGGGAUGGUGAACAACUGUGAAGGCGGGGGAGAGAUAACGAGAAAACUUUCCUCAAAACAAAAGUCAUAGUUUUAUCUUAGUUAAAGAAAAUCGUUAAAAUAAAAAAAUCAAUCAACUUGAAAUGCUACUAUGCAGCAGUUUCCAAACGAGUUAAUAUCACGAAAUUUUUUAAACUGAUAUACUUAUAAUAAAUUUAUCAUUUGUCAAAUUAUUUGGUUGAAUAAUAUGUGACAAUUAACAUAUAUCUUAAUUUAAGGUAUUAUUGUAUAACAAUUAGUGAUUUCCCAUUUUUACCAAAAAAAAAAAUUAGUGAUUUCUCAUAAUAUUAAUUUAAUUUAAUGGAAACUAAUAAAAGGUAAAUUUAUCAUAAAUAUGCUAGUUUGAGGUUUAUGGUAGUUAAAAGAUUAGUUUGAAAUAAAUUUGUGACAUGUGUACUAAUUUGAUUCUUUGUAAUAUUAACCUUUUCCAAAAAUUAAAAGUAUUUGAUAUUUCAUGAAUACCCCAUUACAAUCCGUAAAUACUAGUCGUACCAGCCAAAAAUUUGAGUGAAUGAUCCUAACAUUUGAACCAAAAAAAGAAAAAGAAAAAAGAAUGGUCCUAACAUAUAUUUUUUAAGAUAUGGAAUUCUUCAUAAAAAUCACAUGUAUAAAAUUGAGGUAAAACUAGAGCACGCCCACCAGAAUGUAACCACCGGUGUCGCUGAAUUUUAUUGCUCAAUAUCUACAAAUCUAAUCGAAGACCAUCUCUAGAAGGAGGUACUUUACAACGUCAAAAAAUGCACCAACCCACCAAAAAUUGAGAAAGAGAGCCCGAAAAGAAAACCCAAAAAAAAAUUCAGUGUCUCAACCCCGCCCGCUCAUCCCACCUCCUCCUGCCACGGCAAGAGCAGCGUCCGCGGGUCGGCGAAGACGUGCAGCACCCGGUCCCUGAGGCCCGUGUCCUCGACCUCGCAGAACCGGCUCGGCCAGUCCGGGGGCUCCACGGCCUUGGUCCCAAGGCCCGGGGCCCGGUCCUUGGACCCGACGUUCUGCUCCUCCUUCCAGUCCGCGACGUAGGUGGCCACCCUCCGGUAGAACUUCUCCUUGAACACCUCCCAGACCUGGUACUUGUAGUGGUUGAUCACCAUCGCCCCUCGGUCCAAGUUCGCGAAGUCGAACCCGCGCCUCAGGUGGAAAUGGUGCACCACGUUGAUGAGCGUGGAGUUGAGCGCCUCGGGCCGGACUAUGCUCUUGUGCCGCUCCGGGGCCGCCAGCCUGCAGGUGUACCCCGCCAUGACCCCUUGCCUCGGGGCGUGCUUGAGCCCCGACGGGCCGAAACUGUGGCACGAGACCCUCAGUUCGGCCACGUUCCUGGGCCUCGACUCGUUCCUCAGGAUGUCGUCCAGGAACAGACCUGUGGGCAAGUGAAAGAACUCAUCCACGUCGAUGAACCCGACCCACUCGCACGCGUCCCGUGCCCGCAUCGCGCAAUGGGCGAACCCGGCUUCCUGCGUCUUGAUCCAUGGCCACAAGUGCCUCGAGAUGUUGUAAUCGGAGCCGGCAAGGGACUCGAUUACGUCGUCCGUGUCAUCCUCGCUGUUGUUGUCGUAGAUGAACCAGCGCUGCACCCCGAUCCGGGCGUGGUACAUGACCCAUUCCCUGAUGAACCGGCCCUGGUUCCUCACCAUCGUGCAAAUGCACAUGUUAUGAAGCUUCCUAGCGGUUGGCUUGAGCGCAGCCCGACAGCCCGGCCGGGCUAUGGACCGCAUCGUCCGGCCGCCCUUUACCCUGACCGAGACCUUGACGGCGGUGCCGUUCCUCUGUGGACUACUAAAGACACUAAGGGGAGUUUUACACCGCACGAUCUCCUGCGCGAUCGACUCGACCUCGGUUCGCAACAAGAACCUCGGCUUCCCGAAAUCCCAGCCGAAGACGCACUCGAACCUCGAUGCGUCGGAGACCCUCUCGGGCCGGAGAUUGAGGCCCUUCACGAAGAUGACCGUGGUGUUGUCGCGGUCGAUCAUGGCGUCGUACACCAGCGAGUCCCACCUAUGGCUCGGCCCCGGCGGGACGUGCUCCUUCGACUCGAACGCAAGAGAGACCAAGGACCCGUUCUCGGCGAGCGGGCACCGCACGAUCUGCUCGCCGGAGUCCUCGCCGUCCACUCCAGCCGGCGGCUGCCUGAGCCGCAGCUUGGUCGAGUCGGCGGCCUCUACGUAGACGCAGUGGAUGUCCUCCUUCGUAAAUAACCGGGACGACGGAGGGUACUCGAGGAAAAUCACGGCCUGGUCGGGGAAUAUGACCAUUUCCCUUAUCGAGACCGACGGAGCGGGCUCGGAGUCGCCGGAGACGGCUCUCAUCACCGGAUUCCGCCAUGAGGGGACGACCACCGGUUCAAAAGUUUCUGCACAGAUAUCGACGACGGCGAUAUCAACACAUAAAACUUUCAAUUGUGUAAAAGAUGGAUUUUUCUAAAGCACCGCGAGAAUCGAUUCCGACGAAUUAUUCAAAUUAGAAGGUUAUCCGCAACAGAAAAUCGCGCAAAGCCCUCGAUUUUACAGAAGAGUUCUGGUUACGCAAAAUCCGCGCAAGAAGUGGGGAAACGGAAUGGGCAAAAUUUGGUUUUUGAGCUCGUUAUCGCAGUCGACGAUUACAAGAAAUAGAACGAAGAAGAAACCAGAUAACUGGAAUUGAACCACGAAAUUCACACUCGAAAACAGAGCAUCUCGUGGAAUUCAUUCGAGCAUAAGAAAUCCCACGCCAAACAAAGUCACAAUCGGCGAAGUUAAUCACCAAUCAAUCGGAGCUCGUAAUGCAAGUUCUUAACUUUUUGCCCCACGUCGGCGAUAAUUGUCGAUUCUGGAUAGAAGUGAUGAAUUUUAAGGAAGGACGAGAUGGAAGAGAGAGAGAGAGAGAGAGAGAGAGAGAGAGAGAGUUGAUAACUAACCUCCGACGGAGAAGCGGAGGGUGGAGAAGGUGAAGACAGUGAAGAGAACGCAGGAGAGGACGGCGAAGAUGGUGCACCAGAAGAACCUGCUCCACGAGACCGAGACGCCGUCCCCGCCGCCGCCGCCGCCGCCGCCGAACCCCCCGCCGCUGCCCCAUCUCCGACGGUCCCUCGCCGCCAUGGAAACAACCGCUUCCGCUUCCGCUUACGAUGAGCGCACCGAACAAACCCCCCCGUCUCCGUUCUCAUUCAUGAAAACCACCUGAAAAAUAAAGAAGAUAAAAAAAUCCCACCUUUCCCACCUUCUCUCUCCUGCCCCCUUUUUUUUCUAACUUCCACUCGAACCCUCCACGAAUAUCUUGGCUUUCGAGAGAGAGAAAAUCGCGGUUGAGAUCGAGGGCAGGAGGAGAGAGGAGGUGGGAGGAUCUGGUGUUUCGACCGUUCAUGUCGGUUUACAUGCGGUCGUUAGCUCGUCAUCAUGGUCGAGAGCUUGCCUUCGCCUUUGCUUUUUCAUGCCUCCUUUUUGUAGCUGCGAUGGAGAAUCGCGCCCCAGAUGGCGUCGCGCCACUGGUCGGUCGGUCGAUGAUGGCGACACUUGCUGUCGAUUUACAUUAAGCAAUCUCGCGAACUUAGCAUGCAUGCAUGCAUCAACAUCGAUUUCGAUCGAGUCGAUCCAUCGGACAACUCCGUUCGAUGUCAUUACUAAGUUCGUGCAAUGCAUUUCUCUCGUUUUUCACUAGGUUUAAUGUCUCUCUCCCACCCUAGUCGGCCAGAUUAAGAAACUAUGGAAAGUGUCGUGGUGCAUAAAAGCACUUGAAAAAAGUUUUGAUAGGACGGCCGAAAGCUUAAUGUAGAUUUUGCUAAUUAUCUGAGCCGAUGGUCACCUUUGAGUAACGGUUUUUUCUUUUCCAAAUUGAAGAAGUGCCCUACCCUAGCCUUAUAAUCUGGAUUGCUGUAUAAGAUAAGGAGGAGCUUCUAAUUUUUAAAGCAGUUCCGGUAUUUUUCUUCUUCUGUAAUCAUCCUUAAUUACUUGUUUUACAAUUUUUCCAUCAUGGACAAAUGGUAAGCUAGUAAUUUUUCCAUGCAUGGACAAAUGUCAUGAUAUUAAAAUAUGAAUAUCUUCUAUCUCACAACAAUCUUCUUGAAAAAAAAAUCAAAUCUUAAAAUAUUUCUCUCUUUACACAUGUACCGUAUAAUCUUUCUGUGUUGUUGAUUUAUCUUAUCAAUGAUUUUUUCUCCUCGUUUAGCAUCUUUAAUAAGUUAUUUUUGCUUAACUUUUCAAGCGUCAUUUGCACAAGCGUCACGUGUGCACAUUUGCUAGUUAAUAAGGACAGAAAGUAGAGCAAAUAAGCUAGUAAAUAGAAGAUCAAUUUCCGCAAAUUAGGUAGCAAAUAUUUGACUACCUUGUAUUAUACUAGUUUUGUUAGCUCCAUUAUGCUCGUAUUUCAAAAGACUAGAUAUGCAGAGAAUAUAAGGAUUCAUUUCGUAUACUCUUCAAAUUUGAAAUAUUUGAUAGUCGUAGUGUUACAUGAAACCUUAGAUUAGCAGUCAAUUGAUUUAAAAAAUAACUACGUGGGGCGCAUCAACUUUAAAACUAAGAUUUGUAGUAUAUUUUAGCCAAGAAAAUAUCGAAUGGCCAACAAAUAUCGAUCUAAAGUUUUUCCGGUCACUCAAGAAACGAUUAAUUAAAAAAUGUAUAUUUUUAAAAAUUAUCAACAUGUAACAUAAUUUUCAAGACACGAAGUGUUGUAAGGCGUAAAAUUGAUUUUUCUUUUUCCUCCAAUGGUUUAGAGCAAUCGCCCCAGUUGGGCCAGUAAUUAACAAAAAUUAAAAAGGUAAUAUAUUAUAAAGCAUGCGUACGGUACAAAAUUUUUGACCAUGCAAAUCAAUUGUUUUAUUCUCUCGUCAAUAAGAUAUGAGAUCAUUAUGAUAUGUCAAACACGUAUAGGUGUUUCAUUUAUAUAUGAAUUGCUCGAGUCUUCACUGAGGAAAAAUCGGACGGAGGGUGGAAAAUUUUGAUUUGGAAACUAAUCGAUCAUCUCAUUGAUGACGUCAUAUCUCCAUGUGGUGUGGGACCCACCACUUUCUCCAAUUUUACGGAAAUUAUAAUAAUAGAAAAAAUAUGAAUGGAAAAUCUAUAUUUUAAUUAUCAAUAACGAAGGGGUCAAUUUCUAUGGACACGGGUGGCAUGUGAGAUGCGUGGCUUUGGCCGGGGCACGUCAAACUCAUUUAGUCGCAUUCGUGCGUCGCUCGAGCGCUUUCGAUUUCGCUAGAUCUCUCUUGAGAUGUUAAGGUAAAACUUACUUAUCUAAUUCCUAGCUAAAUCACACGUACAUAAUUUAUACAUAUACAUACGUGGCAAAGAAGCAAAAUCAAUUACAUAGUACAUUUUGGAUUAUUUUGGAAAAAGGAGAGUAAAUUGUUUAAGUCAAAUAAAAUAUUAUUUAAGUUUGGGAUCUUGAGAUAACAUCGUUAGUAUGCUUAUCCUUUUAAAUCAACAUUCGUUUAUUUGUAAUACGUUAUUAUUAUUAUUAUUAUUUUUGUUGCAUACUCGACAUGAGCUUCAUAGGAAUUUUCUAAUAUAAGUUUCGAGGAUGAACACUCACUUUGAUUUCGACCCAUGAUUGGAAGAGAUCUCGAGAGAGCUACUUAUCAUCGGGUUUAUAUUUACUCUAAUUACUAUAUUUAGGAAAAAAUCAUUUUCCAAAUACCUAUUUCGAAUCUUUAAACAUCCUCUCCCUCUCACGAUUAAAAUGCGCUUUUAGUUCCUUUUUCUUUAUAUGCAACCAAGUGUGUUAGUCGGCUAGUGAUUAUCAAGAUUUUAUUAAGAGAGCUACUUAUCUUCUUUAAGAUGGAUAUAUAUCAACUUAUAUAUCCACACAGAUUUUAUUCCAAUAAUCUUUUUUUUUUUAAAAUUGAAUAAUGCAUUGUUUCCCAUAGUUUUAUUGACAUCGAUAUGAUGUGGUUGGCCAUGUUUGCUUUUCCAUCGAUGAACAAUGAAAUCAUCGAUAAGUGCAUUACUUUUAUUGCAAACCAUCAUCCAAAUUUUCCGUGACAGCACAUUCAGAGUAAACGUAAUUACAUAAAGUAAAGAAAACCUUUUACUAUUAAGGGAUUAUAAAGACAUCAUCAAUUAAUUAUUUAAUAAAUGGUCUUCAAUGGUUAAAUGCAUGAAUUAAUAAUCCUAUUGGAUUAAAUAUUUAUUAUAAUAUAAAAAUUCAAUUUUUAUCUAUCUUAUAAACAAUCUUUGCACAAAAAAAAAAAUAAAUUCAAACCUUGAAAUAAUUGUUUAUUUUCACAUAUAUGUGUGCAAUUUCUUCACGUCGUAUCGGUAACUCUUUUGCAUUCAUUAAUAGUUCAAAAAUUUUGUAAUAAUUUUUUUUACGAAAUCUCAAAUUUUAAGAGCAAUAUUUGAAAUUCUGUGACAAAAUAUGAUGGGAAAAUGACAUAAAUGAUCUAUGAACUAUGAACCAAUGUGUAAUGUAUGACCUUUGAACUUUUAAUUUGUUUAAUUCGAUCCCUUAAAUUUAGCUCAAUGUGCAAUAUUGUCUAUGAACUUUUAAUUUGUUCAAUAAGAUCCUUGAAUUUUUUAGACAUGUUCAAACCAAUCCUUGAACUACAUAAAAUCGUUCAAUAUUGUCCCUAAACUUAAAUUAAUGUAAGGAUGAUAUGAGGCAUUUUCAUAUAGUUCAUGAAUUAAUUUGAACAUUUUCAAAAAAUCUAGGGAUCAUAUUGAACCAAUUAAAAGUUCAGGGAGCAUAUUACACAUUUGGCUAAAAUUCAUGGAUCAUAUUAACUAAAUUAAAAAUUUAAGGAUCAUAUUUAAUAUUAAUCUAAAAUAUAAAGAUUAUUUAUGUUAUUAUCCCGGAUAUAAUUUACAAAAACGGUUAUCAACUCUAGUGACAAGGAAAAAUACUGCUGUUGGGCUUAUGCAACAUCCGGGUCUUGUCAUUUCAGGCCAUACCCGGCCUGUUUUUUUUUUUUUCCUGAUGAAAAGAAGCAGCAGGUUCUGUCACAUUUCUUUUGUGUUUUUAAGAAUGCUUAUGGUUUGUUCCAUCCCAUUUAAUAAGAUGUUCCGCUUCUAAUUGAUAUGAUACAAAUAUGAUAUUACUAGAGGUGUAAAUGGGUCGGAUAUUCCGACCCGCGACAACUGAAACUUCCGAUUGGAUGCUCGAAACACAUAGAUCUCAAGUCGUUGGGUCGGGUUUCGGAUUUCUUCUUCUUCUUCUUUUUUGGGUAGAACUUAUCUAUAGUGCUCUGUGUUGUUUUUAUCAAAUAAAAUACUAACUUCAUCCAUUUCUCACAAUUCCUUUAUUUAUAUUAGUCGACUUGAUUGUCAAAGUCAAUAAUUUGGCUUAGUUUUUAUUUUAACUUUUUAGCUUUAUCUUUUGAAAAAACGACUUAGUCUUUUAUAUUCAAAGAUUUCUUUUAUGGUUUGGUGGCCUCUAUCAUUUCCGACGAAAUUGAUUUGUCUUUGUAGUCGGUCGCAUCAUUGGUUGUAUUGAUCUCAUGGAUGAACUCGAUAUAUCUAAAAGUACUAUUCUCUUUGCUUGCAUUAAUGACACGAGUCUCUUGGUCAUUCUUUACAAGAUAAUUAAUAUUUUUUUUUUUUUGCACGCAACUUGUGAAUAAAUGAGUUGUGUAUAAACAAUAAUGCUUGUGUGGCGUGUGCUUCAAAAAGAUCACACAAGUGAGAAAGCAAGAAGAAAAAGAAAAGAAAAUAAAACACGAAGCACGAAACCCGCCGAAGAACAACCCGAAUUUUUUUACUUAUUAACCGAACUGAAAAUACCUGAAAAAAAAUUGGUUCAGUUUGGGUUGGGUAAUUUUGACACCUUUAGAUAUUACCCACUUUCAAUUUCAUUUAAACUUGCAUGUGAAUGAUGUCCUUAACUUGUAAUCCACCAAUCAAAGAUGGGUCUUAAGACAUUUUCCUCUAUUUUUAUUGAUUAUUCGUUAUGAAUAUAAUGUUCGUAUUCCUUAAAAAAGACUAUCAUUAUGAUAUAUGAAUCAUGAGGGAUUCGAUAAUUCUAAGGAAGCAAUAACAAGAACAGCAACGUGGGAAGCAUGGGGAUGCAAGAUUCUUCUACCGUAGAAUUUGUCAAUAUCAAUCUUUAAUUUAAGUUAUUGUUGGAUUCGUCUGUUCAUGAACUUGUCGGAUCGACAAAGAACAUGGAACGCUCAUGUUGCCAGUUUCUCGAUUCUGGAGGCGGAAGAGGUGCCAACUGAGGCAGCAUUCAUCUCCCUGCUCGUUUCACACUCAUUCAAGGGAAAUUUGAUGGCGUGUUGAUUUUGUCAUUUAGUUCCAAAGCGGUAUCUUUUAUCUGCUGUGGUCAUGAAUGACAUGGAUCGGAUCAUCGUGAUUCUCCUGAUAUAUGAUCUACUUCAUCUACUCAACCGAGAUUAUGAUGGAUCACUAUCGCCCGCUGUUGUCCGUUAAAUCUACAGUCUACCAUAUGACGCAGAAUUUUUUUAGUUGGUGGUUUGUUUAAACUAAAUCACGAUCCGAGAAAGUACACAAGAUCGCAUCAGUCCCGUAUGGCUCUAUUUAUGACGACUUCGCAUCAAGGAACAGAUACACGGGGCUCACUCUCGUCAUGUCCUUUUAUUGAACAUGAAGUGGCAUUGGAUUCUCCUUCCUUUCUUUGCUCUAAUACUGUCAAUUCUCUGUCACCCCUCUCUAAUCGUAGUCAUUAUAUUUUUCUCAAGUACUUAAUCACACUUCGUCACUAAUUGGUCCCUUCGUUUUCUGCCCUUAAUUAAGCUUUUUCUAAAUACAUGAACUGGCCCACUGAAUCAUAGAGAAUGCGCAUAAUGAGGCAGGCAUGUUUCUUUCUGUAAGUUCAUUGAAUGAGAGACUUUUUUUUGGCUCUAAGGUCAAGAUUGAAUUAUUUUCACAUGACUUAAGUCAAUGUCGUCCAUCUUAUUAAACUUUUCCAAAGGUCAAGUUCGUACGUUUCUCUGUCUCGCUGUUGAGUUGUUGUUUUGUCAUGUUCCUAGUUCUGCAAGUCUUCUCAAAUCUAGUCGCUCCAACUUCGAAGUAAAUCCAUUGAUGGAAUAUUAACACGGGCAUGAGAACUUGUUAAAAGCAUCUCUCGUUUUCCUCGUUCAUCACACGAGCAGUGACAACUGACAAGCCACCUCCAAACAGCAACAAAAAAAGAAGCAGAAAGAAACCCUAAAUGCCAAGGAAUCUCCUGCAAUAAAGAAUGCAUGUCUUCUUGUCUUCAAUAAUUAAACCCAGUAAGAGAGGGCUUUGGUCUGCAAAAAUAAUGGACACACACACAAAGUGAAGAUUGUCAAUGGGAACACACCCACGUCUGGUUCGUCUUUACCAUCACACAUUAGGUCACUCGUUGAACCAAAAGGCGGUACCCAAAUUGUUAUCAAUAAUUUUGGAGUUAUUGCCAUUUCUUUAUCAUGCUUUGCCACUUAAUCAUGCUUCACCCCACUCGAGGAACAUCCUAGUUUUAUAAUGCCGGGGUGAUCUGUCGGAAUCUUUGGUUGACUAUAAAUGAUUUUGCAAGCUCUGGCUUGAAUUUUUCAAACAAGCUCUGGCUUGAUUUUUUCAAACUCAAGCUCGCUUGCAAACUCUUUUUCUCAUUUCUGCAGUGCUUGAAGCAUUGGAAAACCGAAUAAUGGGAAGGCAACCCUGUUGUGACAAGGUCGGGCUGAAGCGCGGUCCGUGGACUAUCGAGGAAGACCAUAAGCUCAUAAGCUUCAUCAUGAAUAAUGGCAUCCAUUGCUGGAGGACGAUUCCUAAACUUGCAGGUUAGUUUAGUCUCUCUCCAAUUUUUUGAGAGUCAGAUUAGUAGACACUGAUUGGAUGGUGUGAUGAGUUUUAUAGGUUUGCUGAGAUGUGGCAAGAGUUGCAGAUUGAGGUGGAUCAAUUACUUGAGGCCUGAUGUUAAGAGAGGCGGUUUCACUGAGCCGGAGGAAGAUCAAAUCAUUCAACUUCAUUCACGUCUUGGCAACAGGUCGCUAAUAUACAUUCAGUAAUGCUAGAGUUACAAAGAAAAGUUCGUGAUUUGAAAUGAGCCACUUUUUAAAAUAUGCACUGCACGUUACUGUAGCAGCGUCCAGCAAGAAAGUUCUUGUAUUUUUAUCAAGUCCUGAAAGGUUUUGGAACUUCCUUUUUGCGGUUACAGAUGGUCCAAGAUUGCUUCGCAUUUUCCGGGUCGCACCGACAAUGAGAUCAAGAACCAUUGGAACACCAGAAUCAAGAAGAAGCUGAAGCUUCUCGGGCUAGACCCAGUGACCCACCAGCCGAUUCAAGAAGACGAAAACAAUGCACAAGAGAUCGUAAACGAGACAGACGUGGACCCGAAUUCAAUUACAGAAGGAAGCUCGCACAGUGAUGAUAAACCCACGGUAUUAGAGGCUGAUCAAGACAAGGUGGAGGCUUUUUCAAUGGAGGAUGAGAUCGGACUAAUGACGUUCGAAGAAACUGCCAACCUGCUGGAGAAUUUCGAGUGGUUGUGUGGAAGCUUCAAUGAAGAUCAAGAAGGGUCACGGAGAAAUCAGCAAGAAAUGGACACCCAUGUUUCGCAGAGUUCAUCAUCUUCUGUGGAAGAUUCUCAUUUGCUUCAGCAACAUCAGCAACAACAGCAGCAACAAUGGGUUGAUAGCGGGGAGUCUGUAGUGUCAUGGGAUGGGCUUGAUUACUUAGAACAAGAGCUUUUCUUCUUGGAAAAUGGAGAGUUACCAUGAACAUACUACACACUUUUUUCCUUCUGUUUUGUGAACUUCGUAAUUUUUCAUCACGUCGUCGAAGAUUGGAACACGUACCGAUUGUGAUAGCUACUAGUGUCUACUUUUUACUUCAUUACGCUUCUUCAUAUCACGGGUCCUCUCUUUGUACUUGAUUAAAAUGCAAAAUCUUUAGUUAUGUACUCCAAGACUUUCGUUUUCUAAUUUUAUUAGUAUGUCUUCAAAGCACUUGUUAAAUCUUACUAAGUAUACUUUGAAAAUGUAUAAAUCCAUCAUGUUGAUUUGUAAGAAUAUUAGUACUUUUAACUCGAAUCAAUGACUAUAGGUCGAAUGUACAUACUUUGCUCGUUUUGCAUUUGAUGCACCAAAUUCGCUCAAUCCCACAUGUGCAAAACUCUUAUAUCGAAUUAUGCAAGUAAACAUGUACAAAUAAAAAAAAUCAUGCCCAAUACCAGUUCCCUUUGAAUUGAUAAGGAAAGAUUAGAUAUUUAGUAAUCAAUCGACCAAAUUAAAUCCGCAUCCAUAUCGAAGAAACAAGCAGUCUAAACCCUAACUAGAAGGGCAAACAAAUCGUGAAACACCGCCUCCCCGGCAUCUAAAACGGUCUCCCUCAUGAACUGUCGUCGAUCGAUUUUUAUGCAAGAUUUGCACAAUAUCGUGAGGACAUAACCAUCCUCCAAAUGGGUCAAGGUAAAAGGCGUGCCGAGCCGUGGAAAAAGAUGUUGAGAGUCCAUAUCUUCGCAAACGAAGGGCGAUGUGGAUUUGUCAACCACUAGUCUAUAUUUUUCUCAGGUACAUUUCUCCGGCAUCAUAGUAAAUGCAGCCGACUACGUAGAUUUCCUCGAAGAUAUUACGCUUGCUUCGUUGGAGAUUUGGAGCCGAAAAAAUUCACGAAACACCGCCUCCCCGGCCGCCUCCCACAUUUAAAACGGUCUCUCCUCAUGAACUAUCUUCGAUCGACUUUUAUGCAAGAUUUGCACUAUAUCCCGAGGACUUAACCAUCCUCCAAAUGGGUCAAAGUAAAAGGCGUGCUGAGCCGUGGAAAAAUAUGUUGAGCGUCCACAUCUUCGCAAUCGAAGGACGAUUUGGAUUUGUCAACCACUAAUCUAUGAUUUUCUCAGGCACAUUUCUCCGGCAUCAUGGUAAAUGCGGCCCACUACAUAGAUUCCCUCGACGAUACACGCUUUGCUUGGUUGGAGAUUUGGAGCCGAAACGGCAGGAGGAGUUAGGUCGUGCCUAGCACCUAGAAAAUCGGAAGCCGCUCUCCCUUCUGAACGCAAAAUGUCAAUUCGCUCUUGAUCACCUCCGCGUGCAUGCACCUAAACCCUAGACAAGUAACAUAGCGUCUCCAAUAAUUUGGCACGAUCCCCCACCCCCGAAACCCCCGCGCAAUCAGUCAGUCAGAUUGAAUGUACGUUAGAAUACAUAAAACCAAACAGCUUGUGCUGUUGUUAUGCGCCAUUGUUUAAAGAAGCACGGUGCCCAUGUAGAAAAAUGUUUUUGCAAUGAUUUUCCAUCCUUAAUAAGACGUACCAACUAAUCCCGGGUUGUAACUGGACACGAGAAGAAAAUAGAGGAAGAAAUCAGUGAGCUGGUUCAGAAUAUUAUCAACAUUUCAAUUUUCCAAUGGGCUCUCCUCGUCCCUCCAGAUGCGACCGUUCAAGCAAAUCUUCCGGUAGGUACUCCGGCUAAUCAUGUAUGCGCAGCUUCCAGCUAAUUUCACAUAUAGAUGUAUUUGACUUCUUUGCUUACAUAUAUAUUUUUUUCAGCUGAGCUAUCUUUAUUGUUCUUUCUAUUUGGCUCCAUAUGGUUACAAACUUUAGUUUUUGUAGGAUCAUGUGAAAUGGUCCCUUCCAAUGAACAACUGACCGAUUACACAUGAACAUUGUAAGCAAUGCUUUCUAUUUUACAUGUGAUGGGCUUUGUUUUGUGUUUUGUGCCGGUGUCGGCUGCUAAAGUGCUCAUUAACCGUGGCUUUGGUAGCGUGAAGACUUGAUCGCAUCAAGUCAAGCGUGCAAUUAAUCUAAAACACCCAUGUGAUAAUAAUCUACUAUUGCCUGCAAUUAAUUUAAAAUGAGGUAAUGUUCAGGAUAGUUGCAUAUUAACUAAUAUACACACCGACCCUAAUGAUAAUUAUUUCGAUGUGGUUUUGGCUCUUUGCUAGCAGCAAGCAAGAGCAAACCCUAAAUCAAUGUAUUAGACUAUAUAUAUUUCAGUUGAGCUAUCUUUAUUAUUCUUUCUAUUAGUCUCCAUAUGAUUAGAAACUUUAGUUUUUGUAGGAUCAUGUAUGAUGGUCCCUUCCAAUGAACAACUGACUGAUUACACUUGAACAUGUGAAGUAAUGCUUUCUUUUUCACAUGUUAUGGGCUUCGUUUUGUAUCGGUGUCAGCUGCUAAGGUGGUCAUAACCGUGGCUUUGGUAGCGUGAAGACUUGAUGGCAUCAAGUCAAGCAUGUGAUAAUAAUCUACUAUUGCCUGCAAUAAAUCUAAAACACCCAUGUCAGGUUCAGGACAGUUGCAUGUUAACAAGUGUACACACCGACCCCAAUCAUAAUUUUUUCGAUGUGGUUUUGGCUCUUUGCUGGAAGCCAGCAAGGAAAGAGCCAACCCUAAACCAAUGACAAAGCUCCUGCGAAUGCGAAGAUGCCAACUGCGAGAUUAACAAGUGGUCCAAGAAUAAGAAAGAUAAGUGGGCAGGUCUUAAUUUAACUUCCUUCCUUGUACUUGCUAGUGUUGUGAUUACAUAGUUCAUUGCUGAUGCAGAUAAUUUGACGUCACGGUGUGUAAGUAGCUUUCGAUAUGACUGACAUGAUCAUAACAUGUGAGGGAACGACAUCCUAUCGAGUACCGGGUCAUAGGUGAAGAUCGUAAUGGAAUUCAUCUUCGUUCGCAUUAAUUACUUGCACCGAAAAUAGAUUGUUUUCAUCUGUACGCCUAUCGACUACGAGGUCUAAGAGGAGGAUUGAUAUUCCACUUAGGUCCAGUGUGUCUAAUUUCCCGACAAAUGCAUUGUGGUAUGAUACGGGCAUGAUCGGUUCUUCAAACUCGACAUAAUUUCACCCGUUGGACGACAACAGACUAUGCACCGACAUACAACGAGGUCGACAAAGAUAUGGUUGAUUUGAUCCAUCUAUGGAUUAAAUUUGAUUAUUCUACUUGUUGAAGAUGACUUAUAAAAAAUGAAAAUAAAAAAGUUAGGGUAAUCGUGACACAUUUAUUCUACACUUUUUUCUGUGGCACAAAAAAUAUAAAUUUAUAUGUGCAUGACACAUUUACUCUCCAUUAAAGUUUUUUUUUUUAAUGAAAACCGUCAAAAAUCUGUCUACAUAAAUGCUAGAAAGCAAACGAUAUUGACAUAGCGCUCAUAUGACUUAAGGAAAAAAAAAACAUUGUUUUAAUUGAAAAAUCAUUUUAAACAAGAUCUUGAAAGAAAGUAAAUGUAUUACAUAAAUACAAAUUUGGAGUUUUUUUUAUCAUAAGAACAAAUUUAGAGUAAUUGUGUCAUGGUGAGCAUAAUUUAGGAUUUUUGAUAUCACAAUAUAAAAUUUGGAUAAAUGCGUGAUAGUAGGCAUAAUUUAAGAUUUUUUUUAUAACCUUUUCGCAUACAAAUUUAGCUGUUAGUAAAUAUGUUCGACGGCCUUUUAGGCUCUGUUUGGUAACGUUUCUAUACCUCCCAAUUUCUGUUCUUUUAUUUUUCAGAACAAAAAAAGAAUAGAAAUCAGUUUGGUAAUGUCAAUUAAUCUUUCUACUUCUUGGAAUAGAAAAGUGGCUGGGGAAUAGAUUUGGAACAAAAAUGAGAUGUAAAAAAAAAUAGUUUCUUACUCCCGGGAAUAAUUUCUAGAAAUAAGUUAUUUUUUCUUUUAUUUUUUUAUUUUCUUCUUCCUUGUUACCCCUCGCUUCUGGCCAUUGCCCCUGUUAUCUAGCCAUCACUCCUGCCGACCAUCGGAUGAUUGCCGUCGGCUGACUGCCUAUCGCCCUAGCCUAUCGCCUUUGCCGUCCGCCGCUCGUUGGUUGAUAGUCGACUGCCUCUUGCCACUCAUCGAUCGACCGUCGGCCACUGACCUCCCUUGUCAAUCAAUCGCUGUCGCCACCGCUCGCCAUGGCCCACCGCCAAUGACCAUUGAGGCCACCACUCACCGAUUGGCUGACAACCAACCGUCGUCAUUGUCAAUUGCUGCCAUCCACCGUCGAUGAUUGUUGAUGCCACAACUGAUCGUCAUUGCCCACCACCAACCCCACCCGCGGAUGACUGUCGACGAUGCUGAUCGCCGCCCAUCUUCAUCGACAACUGUUGCCGAUGCUGGCCUUUGGCUAGCCAUGAUCGGCAGUCGACUGCAACGGUUGGUGGUGGCAGGCGACAGUCGAUAUCAUUGGCAGCUGGGUUGGCAGCAGGCAGUGACAAUCAGCGAUGACGGUGGCGGCGGCGAUAAGGAAGAAUAAGAAAAAAUUUAAAAGAAAAUCUACAUUAUAAAUCAUAUCAAAUACAUUCUUAUUAUUUUUCAUUCCAAAAAUAUAAAUUUUAUAUAGUUACAAAAUGUGCUUUUAUUGAGAAAUUGUUAUCGGAAACAAAAAAAGUAAAAAAAUAUUUUUGUAAAGAAAUUAUUUCCUGAAAUAGAAGCGUUAUCAAACGGGAGCCUAUGAGACACGCCUACAUGAAUUAUUAUUUUUUUUUUUUGGUAAAUGGUAAGAAUAUAUUAAGCAAAGGACAAAAAUACAAGAAUUCGAAGCCAAAGCUCACACUCUAGCUGCGGGAGAACAGGGAGAGUGAGAGGGAGCCAAAUCAAAUGAAACAAAGGCAAAAAGAACAAGCAAAACAACCCACGGCACUACAAACUACCACAAACCAGACCACCAACUCUCAAUCAAAAGGCGAAGAACGGAGGGGUAUUAGGAAGAUGUAGCCGAUUCAAACACAGAGGGAUCGAAUCCCCAGCUUCUCUGGAGUCUUUUGUUUCUUGGAGUAGGUGGAGCAUUAUUAAACAUAAGAGCCUUGUCCUUCACAACCUUGAUUAGGUGAUUUUUCAUAGCUGGGAUCACCAAGGAAUCUUCCAGAAAAAUGAUGGAAAUCCUCUUCUUCCAAAUAAGGUGGCACAUGGCCCCGAAAGAGAAACGUGCAAUACUAUGAAAGAAAUCCUUUCCAGUUAGAAAUUUUAAUGCCCAAGCUAGGUUAUCCACCCACGUCCUAUUCCUCCAAGGAAGAUUACACCUAGAAGCCCAAAAAUAUGCAAGAGUUGCGGAGGUCUCACAUUCAAAAAACAAGUGAUCAACGGAAUCAGGAAUGGAACUGCAGAAGGCGCACACUGAAAACUCGAUUCUUCCAUGAGAAAGGAGUAAGGUUUGAGUUGGCAGCCGAUAUUUAGUGAUUAGCCACAUAUUAAAUUGAAACCUAGGGGCAAUCGCAUUAUCCCAAAUAAAAGAAGCCCAAGGCACACGUUCCUUUUUAAUCCUGAUAGUAUUCCAGGCGAAAGCAACCGAAAACGAACCUGAAGGGUCAUUGUGCCAAGUGAAGCGGUCAUGGGUCGUGGAGCGAUCGGGAAUAGGGAUGCCCCACGUUGCGAGGAAGAGUCUGAGCGAUCGACCUGCAGGGGAGAAGAGAUCGGCCACCACUGCAUAGCUUGGAAUGUCGAAACUCGCCAUAAGAUUCGGUGGUACAAACAAAUGUAAUGGUCCACAAGUUAGCCAAUGGUCGUGCCAUAGAGAAACUGAGUAACCAUGACCAAUCUGCCAAAAGAAAGACGACCUGAAAAAUCUUCGAAUCUGCAGAAUUUUUUUCCACGUCCACGAACACACAGUGGGUUGGGAAGAAUUCCAAAAAUUGUCCUUCUUUAAGAAAUACGAGUGAACCCAGCGACACUAUAGAGACUCUUUAUCAGUGAAGAGAAACCAAAUAUAUUUAAGCAAGGAGGCUGUAUUGCAAUCUUUCAGCUUACGAAUACCUAAACCACCUUCCUCCUUAGGGAGACAAAUAUCAUCCCAAGACACUUUGGCCCAGCCACGACCAAGUGAGGUGCCCUUCCACAAAAAUUGUCUUAACAACUGUUCAAUCUUAUCAAUGACAGAAGCAGGCAAAGAAAAAACACUUGCCCAAAAGGCCUGGAUAGAAUGCAACACUGACCUUAUAAGUUGAAGCCUUCCUGCAAAGGAUAAAAAUCGAUGGUUCCAAGAUUGAAUCCUUGCGGUGAUACGAUCAAUCAGCAUAAUACAAUCACCUUUCCCGAGUCUAGAAGAGAUGAUAGGAACUCCCAGGUAACGAACUGGAAGUGUACCUUCCUGGAAGCCAAAUGCAAGCCGAAUAUUAUCUCUAAUAGAAACGGAACCGCCCGAGAGAAACACUUCGCUCUUGUUUUUGUUCGGAUUCAGCCCACUCCAAGAUGAGAAAAUGUCUAAACUUCUCUUAAGCACAGUAGCUGAGACCCAAUCAGCUUGGCAAAAAAGAAAAACGUCAUCGGCAAAAAAAAGGUGCGAGAGCUUCACUUUCUUGCAUCUCCAAAAGUAUUUAAACUCCUUCACCGACGAACGGGCAUUUAAAAUCCCUGAGAACACCUCCAUAACAAGCGUAAAUAGAUAGGGCGACAAGGGAUCACCUUGGCGAAGUCCACGACCGCCAGAGAAAAAACCAUGUAAUUCACCAUUAAUAGAUACAGAGAAUUUAGGCAUUCUAACACAAACCAUAAUCAAGCGGGUAAUCCAAUCAGGAAACCUGAAAGCCAGUAGCGUGAGUUCCAAGAAAUCCCAAUCGACGGUAUCAUACGCCUUUUGAAAAUCGACUUUUAUGGCACAUUUCGGAAGAUAUGGCUCUAAGUGGAAACCAGAAAACAAUUCCUGAGCUAGGAGAAUGUUAUCUCUGAUUCUUCUACCUUUAACGAACGCGUUUUGGGAAGAGCUAAUCAAAUCAUUUAACACAACAGCCACUCGAUUGGCAAGGAUUUUUGUAAUAACCUUAUAAAUGGUGUUACAACACGCAAUAGACCUAUAUUCUGUGACAGCAGAAGCAUUCGGAACUUUGGGAAUCAAAGCAAUGAUAGUGUUGUUUACCUCUUUUAGAAGAUAUCCUGAAGAAAAGAAGUCCUUAACUGCUUCUAAGACGAGUGACCCGACUAUUCCCCAAUUGGUUUUGAAAAAUUCAACAGAGAAACCAUCAGGACCCGGGGCUUUACCCCUUGCAAGAGAGAAAAGGGUUUCCUUUAUCUCGACAUCAGUAACUGGACAGGCGAUAGAGCAGCAUUGCGCAUCCGAGAGUGGCCGGUGGAUGAAUGUCUUCAACUCUUGAAGAGAAGGCUUAGAAAGACCCACCUGAGGUGAAAGCAACUCAGAGAAAUAGGAUACAAAUACUUGUGGCACAAGAAAAGGGUCUGUGAUGAUGGAGCCGGAUGGAUCUUUCACUGAAAGGAUGUGGUUAUUGAGUUGUCUAUUCUUCAUAGAGUGAUGAAAGAACUUGGUGUUUUGAUCACCCUCCUUUAGCCAUUUCACCCGAGACUUUUGACAGUAAAAUGAUUCUUCUUGGAGGCGUAGUUCAACAAAAGCACGACGCUGAAAUUUCUCAAGAUCUGCAAGAGAAGAAUUAGCGGGAUCAUCCUGAAGACCAACUUGAGUGCUGCGAAGAGCUUCUCUAGCUUCCGCCGUUCUCACCGAGAUGUUCGAGAAAGAUUCUUUGUUGAGGGUCUUGAGGCAACCUUUUACAAUCUUCAGUUUAGACACAAGGCGAAACAUUGGUACUCCCCACACCGGGCUAUCCCAAGCAUGAUUGAUAAUUUAUGAGAAAUCCGGGUGUUCUGACCAAAAGUCAAAGUAUUUAAAAGGCUUUCUUCUUAGCACCGGAUCAAGAACUCUGACAAUCAUAGGAGAGUGAUCGGAGAUCCCCGGGUUAAGAAAAGAAGCUUCAGAGAAGGAGAACUGAUGGUUCCAUUUAGAGUUAAUCAGAACCCUGUCAAUCUUACGCAUCUUCCUUGCAGCACCGAACGAUGUAGACCAGGUAAAACGGAGGCCAACAUAACGAAGAUCCACCAAAUCAGUCCGAGCUAAGCAUAACCGAAACUCAUCAAAAUUAGGAACCCAAGAAUUUGAACCCCCAACCCUAUCCGAGGGGUCUCUUAUGGCAUUGAAAUCACCGGUCACAAGCCAAGCUGAGUCCUGCAAGACUUCAUUGUAAUGGAUAAGAUCAUCCCAUAAGGGUCUAUGUCGCACAAAAGUAUGAUCUCCAUAGACUGCCGAAAUGUAGCAACUCAUGCUAGAGAUGUUGAAAGUAAGGAAACCAUGAAUAGCUUGCGCAUUAGAAGAGAGGGGAUCAAAAGCAACAACAUCGGGGUCCCACCCGACCCAUAUUCUACCUCGCGGAGAGUAGUCAUAAUUAGCCGUCCACUUCCAUCCUCUUAAUAAGGUCGAGGAGAUGGAGUCAAACAAAGGUUCGGGGACAUGUGUCUCAAAAAUGCCAAUCAAGUACAAAUUGUUCGAGUAAACAAGCUUCCUGAUCUCAGCUCGUCUAAUAGGACCAAGAAUACCCCUAACAUUCCAAAACCCAAAAAACAUAUUUACAAAAGGAAGGGAGAGAAUCACCUCUUUUUAGAGGCCUUACGACUAGUAGAGGUCGCAUUGGUGUUCAUCGAAGGGGGCGGGUCCGGUGGGAGAAGCAACAGUUGCUCCUGGAGACUUUCUGGCCUUACAUCUGAAAUCUGUGCUCGAGGAGAAGAAUUGAUGGAAAGUAAAUCUUCAUCGUCCAAAGCAGCAUGUAAACUGGAACUACCAAUUUCAUCGGAGCACUGAGCAGUAUCUGAGUGGGAAAUCGGGUGUGACAUUUUUACACGACCAUCAUGCACCUUGGAAGGGGCCUUCAAGAGGCCUUUAGAAAUCUACAUAGGUGGAAGGAGUGGUGGUUUAAUUGGUGCCGAAGUCUUCAAUUUCAACUUCAACUGCUGCCUACCUUCACUAGGUCUAGCUAAACCGAAAGAAUCCGCCUCUUUAGUUGCAGGUUGCUUUUUCUUCUUCCCUUUUACUUGUUGCCAUCCCUCAUCAACCAAAGAUGAAUUAGUCACAAAAGGAGUCGAGGCAAGAGGUAGGGGCACCUUGCGAGCAACAGCAGAGUUCGCUUGAGGAGCAUUAUGUUCAUCAAUAGGGUCUGCAAUCAUGUGCCGAUCUGAAGUGGUCUCCCCUGCUGGGCAAUGUCCAGCAUCCGGCCUAUUAAUAAAUAAGGGAUUGUCUCGCGUACUGUCUUUAGUCUGUACAUGCUGAGGGGGAUUUGCAUGACCUGGAGACAAAGCAGGAGGAGAAGGGGCCAAAGACACAUAUUGAGGGAUUGGAGGUGUAAUGUUCAAGGGUUGUUGAACAUUCUUUUCAAUAGAACACGUAGCAACUGGAUUGCAUUUAUGGCAAAAAAUGCCACACCCUGCACAAGUCGUGGGUCUCCAUUCAUAUUCUAUAUCAACCACGCAUGAUUCACCAUGAUGAACCACCUCAAUUGUUUCACACGAAGGCUGCUUUGCUGUGAUUUCUACACAGACUCUCGCGUAGGCUAACAUUUUCAUCUGUUCCGUUCUUUGGUCUACAUAGAGCGGCCUCCCAAUGGCGCUAGCAACUUUGCUAAUUGCCUGAGAGGAAAAAAAAGCAGCAGGAAGAUUUAUAAGUUUUACCCACACAGGAACGGUUAGAUGAGCAUCCAUCCUCAGCUCUAAGGCCGGCCUCCAUUGUUGAAGAACGAUAGGCCCUUUUGAGACGGUAAAAUGCCCACCUUCUAAUACCUUCCUUCGAAACUCAUUGUCCGGAAUGUGGAAAAAAGAAAAAUCCAUUUCCAUUGGCCAUAACUUCAACCAAGUUCACGCCCCAAACUUUCUUGAAAGUAGCUUCAGUGACUUUGAAGGGAAUUCUCCUCCCAAUAUAGUAGCCAACAAGACAAUCUUGAAGUUUAGGAUCGGCGACUUGAAGAUCUUCGUCGGUCAUUUCAAUAACUGGUUUAUUAUCAACAUAAGUUGGAGGGCAGAACUCCAAAUCGUAUCCUUUGGUUGACACCCUAGCCACAGCCACACUCGCCCAAGUACGAAGAUUGGAGCUCGUUGAGGUUGCUCCUUGAGGCCGUUUAGAACCCGACCUGCCUCUACUCCUACCCCUCGGCCCACCUUGAGCUUGGGUAGAUCGAGCACGCGCAGAAGCAUCAUUCAAACCAUCAGGGUUCUGGGCGGUAACACCCCUAUUCUCAUUCACGGGACCACCAGAAGGGGAUGGACCAUUACCGAGAUGGGGAAGGCUACGAAUUCCAGACCCUGGCCCCUCAUUUUGGGCCAAAGCCAUUCCGGGAAUCAUAGCUGCACAGAAACGAAACCGCAGAAACAGAGCCGGAAAACCCUAGCUAAAACCGGCCAUCGAACCCAAGGAGGAGCACAUACCAGGCCGAGCUUGAAUGGGUUUUGAAGACGCCUUCAAGGCGCCACAGAUCCCCGAAAAUCGGCCUCAACGAACGCUCAACACUUCGGGAAUCAGCCACGCAAGAAAUCGGAUGAACAGAGAAAAACUCGCCAAAGCCCUUUUCUCUUUCAAACUGCUACAGUGCAAAGGGUUCUCCCCGCCUACAUGAAUUAAUUGAUCGGUCAGCAGACCUGCUGCUCUGUUCAUGGGCCUGGGCCUUAUGUUGGGCCCGAAGAUUUGAUAUCGGGCAUAGUAAAGUACUCUACACGUGUGGACCCGGCCCGUUCACUGUUUCGCCUGGUUCGACCCGAUCGGGCUCGUUCGGUUCGGCCGCAGGUCACCAGGCAGCGUUCGCCGUUCAGCGUCCGCGUUCCUUGGUUCCUCCGACCGAAUUCCGUCGUCGGGUCGUCUGCAAUUUCGAAGCUUUUUCCAGUUUUAAGCUCGCCCAUGUCGGAAUCUUUCCUGCGCCGACACUGACAUCGUAGAAACCGAACGCGGAACACGGUCUUCGAAGCGUGGAACUUUUGAGAGAGAGAGAGAGUCGUGACCGAGGAAAAGCAGUAUGAUAUCCCUGCAGCGAGCGGCUAAAUCCAUCCACACGGCCGUCGCUGCCCCGCGCCUCUCUAAAUUCUCUCUCCACGCUCCUAAAUGCGUAAGCUUUUUUGCUCACCUUGUCCUCUCGAAAUCUCGUUAUUCUUGAUCUCGCGUUCUUGGUUUUGAGCAUGUCGUCUGAUUGUUCCGAGUUCCAUUGCUGUUGGGUCGAUUCCAUUGUGUGGUGGAGAUGGGUUUGGGUUCAUCCUUUGUGUUCCACAGAAACGUAAAUGGGCCAUAACGUGAAUGUUGGUUGAGGGCAGAUUUUAUGUAGGGACCUUGGACCUUGAUUUAUAAGGUGGAAUCUUGUGAAAUGAGCAGUUGGUGGAUUGGUGAACGGUUCGGGACUUUGUUAAGAUCAGUGGGUUGCUCAAGUCAUUGUCCUUCUCGGAGAGCACAAGUCAUAUAAUCUCGGGUCGCCUUCAUAAUAGAGGAUGUCAAAACUAUAAUAGUUUGGUGCCACAUCGAGAGAAAAGUGAUAAGUAGUAAGCUAUCAUAGUUUUAUUUCCCUAAAGUUGUGGUUUAGGUUGUCUCUGCUGAAUGAUGAAUAAUAAGCAUUUGAAGCGUGGUUUAAGCAUUCAUAAACUUCUCUAGGUGUUUCUGUGGAAAAAAAACAGAUAGCGAUUUGCUAUGCUUUUAUUGCUACACGAAUGUCAUACAAACCUGGACUGCAAGCUAUCAGUAAUCUGUUGCUUAUGGUUCAGUAGUUCGUGUUGUUUUUCCUGUUACCCCUGUAUUGUAUCCUUAGACUUGUUGUAAGGUGUUGCACAACAAUGCACAAGCAAGCUUCAGUUUAUAUGUUAACUAAUGGUUGAGGAUUGGCAGAAAGCUUCAGUUUAUAUGUUAACUAAUGGUUGAGGAUUGGCAGAAAUGCAUCCUAUCAAGCUGCUUAUCGCAUCAAGUAAACUUGCUUAUCCAAAUUUUAUGUAGUGUGUUUUCACUUCAAAUAUGCUUGUCCUAUUUCAGGUGGAGGUGGAAUUCACUAAUGGUAGCACAUUUAGGUUGUCCGCUGAAUUUCUCAGAAUUUGCAGUCCUGCUGCAGAUGGCAAGAUGAGGUCUAUAGGAGGUGAAAAGGUUGAUAUUCAAAAUAUAUGCAUUAAUCUCUUGUGUAUUCAGCAAUGCAACAAUCUACUUUCGUUUACAAAAAGAGAAGAAUACAUGCAUGCAUUCUCUUAACAUGUGAAACUUUUUUUUUUGCUUGCCAUGUGAAGGGUUACUGCAAAAUUAAAGUGAACAACUUAGCCAUAUCUACCUCUAUGAUGGUUGUUCAUCUCGCAGCCUUAGUUCGUGUUCACAUUUGUGGGGUCAAAUUAACUUCAUCACGAAGACUAGAAUGAUGGAUUCAAAUAUUCUGUCUUGUGGAUCAGAUAAGUUUGUCGAUAAAUAUUACAAUCGUUUACUUGGCAGAUGCUAGUAUUGGAAUAAGUUCUACUGUUCAGUAUGUUCUCUGUUCAGAUCUGCGCUUGAAAAAUUGAACCUGAUGGGAAAGGCUAUCCUGUGUUGCUUGCACUUUUCUUAUAAUAAAAAAACCGGCAGUGCUACUCUGGAGUCAAUAGGAACUUGUUCUGAUGAUAAGAGACAAGUCUCUAUCAACUGAGUUAACUGAACCAAAUCUGUUCUUCUCCUAAGAUCAUAUCACAAUUUGGAAAUUCCUGACCCUUUGGAUAACUGAUUUCUUUGUUCUCAGAUUCUAGGUGUUUCCUGAGCCACCAAUUCCUAAGAUGGUGCUCAUGUUAAUGGGAAAAGUAUGAAAGGCUUUGAUUGCGUACAUAGUUAGCUGAUGGACCAGUAUUUUGGGUUAUAGCCUGCAUGCAAGGAUGGAUUUAGUGGGAAGAAGGUUUUUUACCACUGUGCUAAGUGAUGCACACACCUUUGGACUUCAACAAAGUAGAGAGUCUUUGCAACCUAGGCAUAUUGAGUUGCUAAUUUCAGUUAACUUCGAUUAAUUUCUGUACAUAUGUUGUGUUAUACCAUAGGGAAAUUGGCUAUCCUAUUUGCCCAUAAAUAAACAAAGAAACGUCAAAAGUUAGCUAAGAUUGUAGUAGGAGACCAACCCAAAAAAGAAAAAAAAGAAAAAAGAAAAGAGAAGAAAAAAGGAUCACAGUAAGAAAUCUUCCCUUAUGUAUUGGCCUCCUAAAGAUCGGCAUUGAAUCUGUCCAGAGCUGAACUGAUUUUGUUUUCUUUGAUACCAUCAUUUCAUUUAAUGUGUUACCUCUCGAGUCUCACAGUUGAUAUGAUUCUUAUGUGGCCAAAAAACAUGCCUGUUGUUGUUCAUGCUCCAAUAUUAUUUGGCUCAAGCGCUUCAUGUUCCUCAUCAGGUAAUAUUUGGGCGUCGUCAUGUUGGAAUUAUGAAAGUCGAACCUAUAGGAAACUACGGGGCGAGGUAAUUUCAGGAUGGUUCCUCAAAAGGAAAAAUUGUUACAGCUUGAAUGUCUUGUGAUUUUCCUACUAAACCUAGAUUCUGUAAUCUUAAUGGUGCAGGAUAAUUUUUGAUGACUUGCAUAAAACUGGGAUCUAUACAUGGGACUAUUUUUAUCAUCUUGGAAGCAACAAAUUCACCCUCAUGAGAGAUUACAUUAAUACGCUCAAGAAGCAUGGACUUAGCCGGGAUCCUUCCAGAAGAAAAUGAUAGCGACUUUUCUUCCUUGGUUGUAACUGGUAGUUUUCAUGGAAGUGGUCAUUUCAGCAAGGGAUAAGGUCAACUCUUCGAUUCAAUUACUUGCAUGCGCUGCUCAAGAGUAAGAGCUGAUUGCUUGAAAAUGGAAAUGGAAAUUUAUUAUAUAGACAAGUGAAGAUUGUAAUUUUAGGCAUGUUGGGCUUCAGUCUGCACCGAUGAGGUAUCCGAAACAGGUUCUUUCAGCUUGUGCUUCUCUGGCCUCUUGGUUGGUGUGGUUUUGAAGAUUUUUAAGUCUUCUCUUAGAUUCAAGGGAAAAUCUCCCAGUUCUGAAUUUUGACAAGAAAGCUUGAUAAUUGUUCUGAUUCAGUACAAUCGGAAUUAAAAAUGGUUGUAGAUGAAAAUGGAUCUCCUUGGAGCCAUGGAAAAUGUAAAGGGAUUGCAUUGGCAGAAAAGUUCAAGGAGAUCGAAGCAGAGGUAAUAAAAAUGGUGUAUUGUCUGUAAUAUCAUAGAAAAUUAUGUCUACAAUCAAUGCAAUUUGAGUACUAUAUUCUCAAAUGCUAAUAUAGAUUUUGCAAGAGAAUGUUGUCGUCUAGUUUGUUAGAGCAUUUGGUAUGACUUUCCUUUUCUCAGAAGAAUGUAGUGAUAAACUAGCAGUUUGCACGGUUACAUCACGUUUGAGUUCAUGGUCUAUGUUGUAGUGGAGGUAACGUAGUUUAUAUGUAUGUAGCAUUCAACAGAUUGAUGCAUUCCUUAUGUUUCUUGGUGGAAGUUUACGCUUCAAGGAAAAGAAAAUUUAUGUGCUUAGGUCCAACUCACAGACUAAAUCGGGAAAAAAUAAAAAGAAUCAAGUUUCCUUCUUAAUGCAUUGGCCGUUCAAGAAUUUAAAGAUGUUGGGUAUGAUAAAUGCGUAACUUACUUCCAGAUCUUUGGUAGUUGGUAUAAUCGCCAAAGGCCUUUACAGAUUAAACUUGUGCAAAUCCUCACGAACAGAAUUAGCUCCAAAGUAUAACAGUGGAGGAUUGAUGGUCCUUGUUCUGUUAUGCGGAGGUUGACAUUUCAACUGCUGGUGGUUCAGCCGUUGACAUCUUUGUCCCCUGAAUCAGCGGUGCUGGCCAUGGCCAUUGGGCACCCACAUGACUUUAGCCCGCAAAAGAGUGAGAAAAGUAUCGCUUUAGACUAAUCCUAUAGGUGAUGCGGGCGGCGAAUCGAGUUUAACCCUCGAGCAAGAUGUGCAUGCUUGCACGGGGAAUGUGUUUUUUUGGGCGGGAUCUCGCGUGGAGAUCCCUCUGCUUCCUAAUUCGAGCUGAAUACGUGCGAACUCUUCGACUGAGUUCUGGCGCGGACUGCCUGAUCCUGGAUUUAUGUCUCUCUCUCUCUUUUUUUUUUUUUUUAAGCAUUGUGAAUGAGAUAACAAUUUCGUCAACUUGGGCAAUGUUUGUAGUGUGGAACUGUCAAGCAUUUGCUUCCCUGAUCCGCUACUUUCUCCAACAGCAUGACAAAUACAUUCGGUGGGGGCUCCAGAAAGAUUAGCACCAGUCAAGCCAACAGCUUUUUUUUUUCUUUUGCCUUAAAGGAAAAUACUUGAAGAUGUUUGAUGAUAUUAAUAAAGUUUCUAACGUUAACGUCAACUAAGCGGGGCCCAAGCAAGCCGAAAAAGAGAGAAGCACUUGAAAACUAACCGAAGCUUGUUGCAAAUGAGACCCCACUUUUGGGGUGAUAUUAAAAAAGAGCACGCUUCACUUUCAUCCCCAUUGACAGUAGACACAUGAUGAUGAGGUCUACAUUGAGAACGUGGGCUGUGCACCUUUUGCUUUACUUUUGAAUUUCAAAUUCAAUUCAAACAAAAAAAAAGGAAAAAAAAAAUAUCCGAAGAGAGGGGAAACGUCAAUCUUGGUGUUUCCAGUUCCGAGUUUGUAUCUUGUCUGAGGUUUUGCAGCAUUGCUUAAGCCCCAGCCAUGGGAGAUUCAAGCUGUCUCAUGAUGCAGCCCCUGUCUCACCCUUCGGUCUUCACCAAUGAUGCCACUGAGGUAACUCCAGGAAACUGCACUGUGAAUUUAUCUUCCUCCUUUACGUUCUUUUUUUCUUCUUUUGUAUUCAGAUUGUUGUGUUUCAUGUCUAUGAUCAACUUCAUCUGAUCAUUGCAUGAUCAAGAUAAACUUAGCUGGAGGGUUGGUGUAAAAUGAUGCUUUUUCUACUCAUCACACAUUAUAUAGAUAAUUCUUCAUGACUCGUGUUCGUUCGGGUAGUCUGCUAAAAUUUUUGUCUGCUUGAAAUGAAUGAGCAGGUACUUGAUAUAGGAGAACUUUAAGUAUCUAUGGUUAUUGGGAACAUUUGGAUCUGAACUUUGCAUUAAAUGUAGGAAAUCUUCCUUGAUGCAGGGGAACCCAAUUCAUGCUCUCGGGCAGUCCGUCUCAUUUGGCAGGUUCGUGUCAGAAGAGUCCUUGUCAUGGGAGAAGUGGUCAAGCUUCUCUCGGAAGCGCUAUGUUGAAGAGGCUGAGAAGCAUUCCCGGCCCGGAUCAGUCGCAGAAAAGAAAGCCUUUUUUGAGGCUCACUACAAGAAAUUGGCCGAGAAGAAAGCAGCAGCCUUGCUUGAGCAAGGGAAUGCGGACUCAAGCGAUGUUGCAGACUUGGAACGUGAAGGUGAUGUCUUAGACUCUCAAGAAAUUGUCAAUCCUAACCAAGAGGUGAAGAAUUUAAGGCAAGUGCAUAAUCUGGGUGGUGAGAUGGAGAAAAAUGAUAUCUGCGAGGAUGGAGGAUCACAGUUAACUGAUAAAUCCGUCGUGAUUGUGGAAGAUGCCAAGGAUGAAUCAUUGAAAGAGCUUGGAACGGACUCUUCCCCAGCCAAAUCCUCUGAGGUGAGCUUUGCUACUUCUAGCAGUGACGAAUAUGGAAUGAGUGAUUUAAAUGAGAAGGGCCUCAAUUCACAAAUAAAUUCUGUAAGUGACUGUCGCAACGGCUGGUCAUAAGUGAACUCAAGGCUCAUAUGAAACUCUAAAUAUCAGCAGAGGCAGAAAUUCUUGCGGGCACUUGCUCUAAUUCUUAUGAUAAGUCGUGUCGAUUUUUCUUAUUGCCCUGUAUCACAACAAUGAAUACCUUAUUUGUGGACUGCAGGCAGUUAAAAGCACAACAUCGGCAUACCCUUCAGCCACUUCUUUGUCCAGGAAGAGGUACCCUGUUUAUUUUUGUUUGCAGGGUGCAAAUUCUGUUGUUUUGGUUUUAAUGAAUUCGAUCAUUAAAGCAUGGCAAUCUCCAAGAUCCAUUCAACAUUUUCGAGUUGUAUUGCAGGAUACUGGGGGAUCACUUAGCCACUAGAAAGAAAACCGGCCAAAAAAGGGGCUCUCUUGCUGCCAAGUAAGAAGUCUUGACUCUCAUUCCAAAUUUUCACGAUCACAUAGCAUUUCAUUUCACCUCAGGUUCUGCAGAAUAGGAUUAUUGGAGAAUUUAACUGUGUUGACCGUACUUGGGUGGAGUCAGAUAUUGGAAUGUCAUCUCAAGUCUCAGCUUGUCUUACUGAGUUCUGUAUAUAAAAUACUAUGAUGGCAAAAGUAAUAGUUUCCGCUAAUUGCAUCCUCACAGAUGUUCUGCGACCAAAUUUUCCUUUUCUUUUGCGAAGUUGGAGGCCAAAAACAUGUUCAAAUUGGUGCUCAUGUUUCCAUAUAGGCUAAAUAUUGUGAGACAGGAUCAAUUCUCCUGUUGUGCACAUUGGAAUUCUUAAUCAUUAGCGAAAAUAUAUAAGGCUAUAUUAAGAUCAUCUUAGUCACAUUUUUUUCUUAUAGAAGCAUCAACUGCUUGGGGCACAUCCCCAUCCGAGUCCCUGUUAAAGUAGAACACAGUUAUAUUGACUCUCUUAUUCUUUUUACCAGGUUUUCAAAGUUUCUGUCUGCAUGCAAAAGCAAUUCACAAUCAUUAAAGUCAUCUCCACCCAGAUCGAGCACCAAAGGAAAAACUGCAAAAGGCAAGGAGGUAACGCAGCAUCUGUCUCUGUCUCUCUGUCUCUGUCUCUGUCUCUGUCUCUCUCGUGCCAUUUCUAGAAGGUGGAGAGCAGGGCAAAAUCAUGUAGGCUAGGAAAAUAAUGUAAAGAUGUAGCAAGAUUAGAGGUCAUCUUCUCUAAAAUGAGACUUUAUUAAUCUUGAACAUUUUGUAUGAAAAUCAUGCGUAGUAACUUGAUUGCAUAAAAAAGCCAAGCUAAAAAUAUCCCAUUCUCAAGUAGUAGAACUUGCCUUGGCCUUUCUUUUCAUAUUUUUUCUCAUCUAAAGCAACUCGGUUCGGCUUGCGACACUUACAUUUACUUACACAGGACAAAGCAAUUAAAGAACCAAGUAAAUGGAGUCCUGGCUUUUGUUUUUGCGCGGGGAACUCUUCAAGUAUUCACAAAGGCAAAGAAAGAGCAGAGCAUCAGAUGAAAAGUGUAUGUUCCCAGUUCAUGUCGAACGAUUUUCCUUACUCCAGUCUAGACAGUAGACAGAUCUAUUUGGAGCUACGUUUUUUUCCUUUUCCUCUUCAUAUCUAAUUUUGCAGGUCCAACACUCCUUCCCAAUCCAGCAGGAUAGGAAGAAAGCUCAUGACAACAACGAUGAUGCAAAGCACGAUCUCUCCAUCUCCUCAAAGAUCUUUGAUGAAUGAUGAUCACCCAAGACAUGUCAAGGGAAGGAAGGGUCAAGCGCCAACCAAGUCCCGAUGCUUUGGAGGCUUGUUAAUAUACUAUGUCCUAAAAAAUAUUCAAGUGUAAAGAUGUGUAGCUACAACUACUGCCAGAGGAAUUGCACCGAACGCUGUUCAGGAGGCUAAAUUUCUGUCGAACAGAUAGAAGAACAAUCUCUUAUUGUCGUGAAGCAAAUAUCAACCCGAGGAAAAUGCAUGGGCAUGGACUGGAUUGAUUUGGAGAGCUCACUGUAUGCAUAGCCUCAUUUUGUUAGUAGUCAGUAAGCUGUAAAGAUUUGGAUUUUCUGUUCCCAAAACCUUGUGAUUCGUAUGAGAAUUGUCGUCCCUAGUGAUUCGAUCAGAAAUAAAGAGAGAAUGAACGAGUACAAAGCAAAAAUGCGCACUUACUCUUGCCAUGUUCGGAUCGAUUGAGGGAAGUGAACAGAAGCAAUUACUAAGAUUAAUAUCAAGACUAUAAUCCAAGUAACGCAGUAGGAUAUUUUCGUGGGUAUCCAGCAUGACCCUCUCCCUUAUAACAUCCACUCACAGUCCCACCGCAUCGUUUUGCGAAUUAGUUCCUCUGAGCACAAGAGCUGACUCAGUAGAUCAAAAAGACUUCUGCAGAAUUUAAGGAGAAGAGAUCAAGGUGUCUGCCGAGAAGUCAACAGACAAGACACAAAACUUAUGGGCAAGUGUUGUUUGUUUCAUUCUCCUGCCCAUGGCCAAUGGGCUUCAGCCAAACCAAACUCGAAACUUGAAAGAUUCUUGCAGAUCCAGGCCCGGCCUCAUGCUCUCCCGGUCCUGCUCUCUCCUUUCUGUCUCUGCUCAGUGCCGGAUGCGUGCUACUGCGCAGGUCCCAAACCCCCCGUUAAAACCUUUCGCUGCUUCCCAUAGCAAUCUUGCGGUCGUUCUUGGUGCACCCCGGUAAUCCAUCCAUGGCUAAUCCGUCGCUGCUGAUGCGCAAGACCCUGAAAUCGCUUCGAAAUCCCUCCAUCUUGGCAUCCCUGUCGACCUCCCAUUCUCGGCGGCUCAGCUCCGCCGCCCCCGCCCCCUCCCCCUCCCAGACCCAAGCCGACGGCGGCCCGUCUUCGUCCUCCUUCGAGUUCUCCGGCGGCGGCGGCGGUGACAAGGCUGACGACGCGAUAUACGUCAGGGCCCCGAGCCCGAAGCCGGCGUCCGCCUCCGACCCUUCUUCGGUGACGAUGCCGAUGGCGUUCAUGACGGGGUCCAUCGUGGGGAAGCGGUUCUACAAGCAGGUGACGACGAGGGAGGCCGACGACGGGAACGGCUGGACCGUGAUGCUCGAUUACCGGACCCUGAAGACGCCUUCCAAGAGGCCCCUCAAGCUUCCGACCCUCGCUCUCGCCAAGGCCAUCGCUGCUGAGUGGGAAUAUCAGGUGCUUAAGACCCAUCAUUUGUCUCAGCUCAAGUUCAUUCCUUUCCAUGGAUUUUCUUGAAUUUGAAAUGAUUAGGGGGUGUUUAGCUCGUUUCGUCUGUGCAAAGUUGAUCUGGCGUUGAUUCCUUGUAUAGUAGUCUCUAGUUCUGAGAGUGUGCUUCAAGCUCAUAUGGUUGGGGCUGUGUAAUGAAAUGUUGAUCAUUGUAGCAAACAGAUGGGAUAAGGCCUUUCACGAUGCCUCUGAUGAAACUCGCUUGUACGGCACUGGAGAGAGUUCCGCUUACUCGGCCGAAGAUCAUUGAACACCUGAUGAAGAAAUUCAAUCAGGACCUGGUCUUCUGCCGUGCACCGGAGGACAAUGUCUUGACAAGUGAUGUUCACGGUAUGUUAUUAGUAAAUGAGGCUUGUGAGGUCUGAUUUGCUCGAGUAUGUUUUUCAGUUCUUCGAUUUUGAGUUGGCAAUUACAUAUGGAACUUCAUGAGUUUAUGUUCCUCUUUUAACCAAAACUAACAUCGUGCUGGAGCUCGGUGAAAUCUCUGCUGAUGCAUUUCAACCAAAAUGAAUCCAUAGGCCUCGUCCAAUGUUUCAGGGAUAAUAUGCAGAAUGUAUCUCUCUGAACUCUUGAGCGACAUAUUCUGCAAUUUUUUGUUUGCUUAAUGUAUUUUUCAUGUUAACUUAGCACAACCCAAUUAGCUUUGGCUUUCCAUAGCUAUGGUGACCAACUAAUCUGUUACAUAAAUUUAUUAGAUAGACAGGUGGAGAAAAUCGAUCCUUUGCUCAAUUGGUUGAAGUCAGAAUUUGGAUUUCAGCCUGUUCUGUACUCGAGCUUUUUCGGCGGCAAGCAGGACGAGGGAUUGAUAAAGGCCAUUGAGAACCUUUUGAAGAACACUGAUGACUGUGAACUGGCGGCGAUUGAUGCAAUGGCUGCAGCAGCACACUCUCUGGUUAUUGCUCUUGGAAUUUUUCGUGGGAGGUUGCAGAUAGAGGGAGCUAUUGAGUUAAUCAGACUUGAAGAAGACUUCCAGGUACUUCUAUUUGAUUUUUUCUUUGUCAUUGCCCUGUAACUCUCUCGUUGUCUCUCUACCCAUAUACUACCCAUCCUCGCCCACUUUCAUAUACUACUCAUAUGGAGGCAUCGCAUAUAAUGACCGACAUAUGCCUCAGAUUGAGGAUCGCACAGUGAGCCAGACAGCGGCACUUCAGUUCAUGGUGAUAUAUAGCUUUCGAGAGUUAAGUCAUCUUAUAUGUCCUUGCAGGUGGACAGGUGGGGUCUAGUUGAAGGCGGGCACGACCUUGAUAUUGCAGAUCUCAAGGUGCAGAUAUCAUCUGCAGCUGUUUUUCUUGCACUCUCGAGAAGGAUCUAGUUCUCGUACUCCCAAUCCUUGCCCUCUCGGAUUUUGUUAUAACUUUGUAGUGUGAGGCACAGCAUUUGUCGGUUUAGUUUUUUAUACUUGUUCUGUUUAUACGUCCAUGGGCAGCCAAAUAAUUUGUAACAAUAAAAUUUUUGCCUGGUUUGCGAAUUGAGAUAUUAUGCUCAAAUGGUCAAAUCUCCCUGAUCACAUUGGCGCAUGCUUAAGACUCCUAUUGACGUAAAGCACUUGUGCAAGAGACUUCUUUUUGUAUCUAACGACUGUUCUCUCUGUUGAUGGAACUAGAGUCCUGAAAAUCCAAAAUGAGGAAGAAUUUGAAGGAAAAGAAUCGGCAUUCUGCCGUUAUACACUUAAUUUAACUAUACUCGCCUGCUGUUAUGAGAUAUCCAUUAGAAUUAUGUAACCUUUUUUCUUGAAUGUCUCUCCCAUUCAGCAUUUGGUGAGUCUAUAAGCUAGGAAUUCUGUAUAUAGAGGAUUCCCUGCCUUUGGCGAGGGAAGAAGUUGAGCUCUAGAUUUAAUUCUCAACUUUUCUGGCUAUAAGGACUUCUGCUACACGACUCAGCUGACCAGAAGCGCCGACUGCCUCGAGUUGAGGCGCAAAAAAGAAUCAUCCAAAAGAAAAUGAGAAGGCGGGGAGCGUUGUAAUUCAGGGCUCCUCUUUACAGCACUUGACGCAUACAGGUGGCUGCUUCGCGAUGUCACAGUCACAGCAUGCUGUAUCACAGUUAUUGUUGCAUCCUGUCAAAAGACAGAAAUUUUGAGGAUCGGAGAUUGCAGUCCGUGCUUCAAAUAUGGCUCAUCUUAACUCAUCAAAGUGCAUGCAUGAAUUGGAAACUCAACAUGGAAGUGUAAUGGACAAGACCUGGUGCAUUACCUGUUACAGUGACAUAUCGAGUUGUCUCAUAGUCCUGGUAAUUCACGAAUAAUUGGAGCCGAGGACUCGACUGGACAAGAUUCGUUCUGAAAUAGACGGAGAUCAAGAGAACCGCAAAACAGGAUCUUAUGACAUUCAUGAUUUUGAAGAUUGUAAUCUAUUAGCCUGAUGUGAGUUAGCAAUUCGGUGGGUGAAGUUGCCGUCAUUCUCAGAGUUUAUAUAGCACAUAAGAGGUGUAGACAUUAUAUUCAAACAUUCUCUUUUACAUCCAUCUGCAAUGUCAUCCUAAAUCUGUGUGAUCAGAAAUAAUUCGGAUGAUGCUCUUUCAUAUUAUUUUAAUCCUAACUGGAGCUCAGAAACAGCAUCAUUACAAGGAUGUGAACGGCCUUGCUUACUAAGUUUUGGAUAGAUAAUGCCCUUUCAUGUGCUUUUAUAUAAGAAUCUGCUUUAAUAUAUUGUGAGUGCUCUUGAUUGCAUUCCUCCAUUUCAUCAUAUACUAGAGAUGGUUGAGCAACUUCUCUACUAACCAAGCAUUCCAGAAUGAUCCUAACAACUUUCUCGAAAAGGUUUCCAUUCCCUAAUGCAGAAGAAAUGAGAUACUGAAUUGAUACUUAAAACUUCCAUGAAAGGUAACGAGGAGAUAAAAGUACCAAGUAAAACAGAGUCUCAUUCUUCUCGUCAUCAUAUUUUGUGGCUUAAUGAUAAUCAUCCAUUACCGAGAGAUCCAAGAUUCAAGAAGUUAUGACUUAUAUUCCUAACAGGUAAAAACAAGAAUUAUGAUGAGGCCAUUCAUAUGCCCAUACAAUGCCAAAACUGGUUUAGUUUCUAUAGGGAAACAUUUGAAUCUAAAGAAUGAUCAGUCCAACUCUUGCUUCCACUUCCGAAUCACCGGAUAAAAGCUGAUGACCACGUAAACACUGCUUGCCACAACUCGGUGAAAAUAAUCCCAAACAAAGUCUAAAACAAGUAAAAGAAAAGCGCAAGGGGCUUGAGUAGUUUGCAGAGUCCCAGGAAAAUGCAGAGAUAUAGCACCAAUGUCACUGCCAUAUCCAGGCGAGUUAGAACCAUGCAGGUGGAUCUUCAAGAGGAUUUAUUCCAAAAGAAGAGGAGCCAGAAUCUUCCGGAACUGGAUGAUCGAACAAGCAAGCGCUUCCAUAUUUACAGAGCCCAAACUGUGCAUAAUUCCUACAAGUUCUCCUAUCCUGCAAAAAUGACCGCAUAGUGCUAAGCAAUCAAUUUUUCAGAGCAUGGCACAAGAAUGAAACUUAAGUUUGAUGGGAAUAGUUAGAUCAGAAUAUAUAAAAAUGUCAAAGUUCUGGUAAAUUCAUUUGAUUGUGGUCCACUGGAGAUGAAAAAUCAGAAGAGAUUUUAGCCUAAAUAGAUAAAAUCAAUGCAUGAAAACCGAAAACCUUUUAACUUUAAAUAACAAGUCGCACAGUUCUUUUGGGCAAUGCAGUGACUUACUGAUCUCGAAGGAAGCGCCUUAUCAGUUUGAUAAUAGGAGGGUACCAUCGAAACUCGAUCCUUUGGAUGGUGAAAUUUACAAGUAUGUCUGUAUUUGCAAUAACCUGUCUUCAUGAAAUAAGCACACUCAGGUUGACCGGGUCGUUGAGGGUAUUCUUCAGGAGGUAGCAGCCCUUUGCUGUGCCCUGCCCUUUCUUGUGGAUAAGCCAAAGCCUAUAAAACAACAAUUGGUGCAAAAUUACUCAUUUUGCAGAUAAUUCAAUCCUUCUUUCCCAAGUUAUAGCACUUCGAAACAUUCUUGAGGUAGCAAUGGCGAUAGCAUACACCCAGAAAGAUGGAAAGCAGGAAUAUAUAUAUAUAUAUAAAGUAGCAAUUACAGGACCAACAAGAAAGAAGAUGCAGAAAUGGAAAAAUGGAUCAACACUCAUUAAAAAAUAUACAAGAACACAAAAGCAUAAACUAAUCAAAUAGAUUUGUGAACUCUUCUGUGUGUAGAAAAAUGCACCUUUUGGGAACUUUGAGAAAUCCCAGGGACAUGGGACAGUCCAUUAUCCCAGUAAGGCUGGGUCCCAGAAGCCGUGUUCAAAGACCGGGAUGCUAAAUAUUCCUGUAGAAUUCCAUUGUAUCUCAGAUAAUCAGAGUCUUCCAUAGGACCCUCCUUAGGAUACUUCGGUUCCCUUCCAACUGGUGCAAGAUUGGCUGAGGUCUUAUCAGGACUGAAGUCCCCAACCGUUGUAGGAUCAGGAUGGUGAAACCUGCAAUCAAUUCCAUAUCGACACGUGCCAUGCUGCAUGUAGAAGGGGCACUCUGCUCUUCCCUGAAGUGAACCAUGAAAAUCAUGUAAGUCGCACAAAUUACUAUUUAUGUGUGCUUCAAAUGGAGCUCAUAAAUCAAUUAGUCAAUGGAGGGAGAAAAAGGCCUAACAAGUCAACAAAAUUGAACUUGUGAAUUUGUAGCAUGAAAGAAUGUACUCUUUACCAAUCGUAUUGGCAGGCCAACGAAAUUAAGUUGUGGUUGGUCUGUGAUUUCAUUUCUUUCUUUGGAAUGGCUAUAUCUGCAAGCUUCUCCAAACUUGCACCCUCCAGCAAUCGAGUAAUACUACAAAUUAAGCAGAUAACUCAAUUUUCAGGACAACACAUGUGCAUACAUGUGUGUGCACAAAAGAAAGAAAGAAAGAAGCAAUCAGAUGUCAUUUUGAGCCUUUGAGGUAAAUGUAGGAGGCUGCUAUAUUGCACAAAGCCAAAAGGCAAGUAAUUGCUGUCACUAUCAGAUAUAUGAAGCGCAUUUCUAAUCUAGCCCUCAUAUGCCUAGACAGAUAAACUGAAAAGGAUCUUAUAUGAAGGCCAUUUGUCACGAAAUACAUCUCCAGUUGUGGGUGAACGUCACAGCAUCAUUAGGACAUAAACCGCAUAACUACAUAUCUAGGGAACAAGCAAACAUUGACUAGUGAUUAUCAAGAAAGUCCAGCCCCAAAAGGAGUAGUCAUUAAGCAGCCAUUCAGAUGUCGCUAACACCUGCACAAUGCUGUGAGUUUUGCAAGUAAAACCGGUACAUUUCCUAUUUAAAUUUCCUUGAACUCCUUACCUACUACAUCAUCGAUUUAUCAUGCCUCGGCUUGACUGAACUAAAGACAGAGCAACACAACACCGUUAAAACGAGUGGCACAAAUCCUGACCUUGCACUCAAUCUGCUUGGUAGGCUCCAAGAACUCUCCUCUUUCCCGCUUCUCCUCGAAAACCUUCAAGAAUCACGCCCACAGGUCAACCGGUUCAUACAUCAACCCACCGUAAAUUCCCAAGAACGCAAAACACACACACACACACACAAAGGAAAACGAACGAAACUGACGAAAAGCCCAAGAACACAUACCGUCCUCUUGACAGGGUGACCGAACCUGCAAUUCGCGCCGAACUUGCACCACCCGUUCCGGAGAUAAAACUGGCAAUCCCGCGCGUAAAUCCCAAAAGGGUAGUGCGAUUUCGGCCCCCGAUCGUCGAAAUUCCCGUCUUUCUCUUCGCCCGUCCCGUCUCCCGCCUCCCCCAAGGCCACAUUCCGCAUACCCUCCACGAGCGCAGAUUCCACGGCCGGGCCGACGGCGGGCGGCGGAGAGGGAAAGAACGGCGGCGGCUCAUCCGGGUCGGGCCGCGCCGGCCGGUGCCGCUGGAGGAGCUCGAGGGAGGAGGGAAAGAUUUCGGCCUCGCCCUCGAAAGUUGCCAUCUUUCGUCCCCUGUUCAGAAGAACAAGACGCAGAGUGAGCGAGCGAAAGCGAACGUGCUUCUCCUCACUUCCGCUCGCGCUUGGUACGGUCUCGCCUCGUCAAGCAAUCGCCGUCAUACAUUCACUCAUCAAUGCGAAUGCAAAAAGUAAUCUUUUUUUUUUUUCCUUUUUUUUUUCUUGUAAUUCUUUUUGCUUGACGACGCAAGAGAAUUCCCAAGAAUCGAGAAAAGACGCACUAAAUUUCAAGCUGCAAACGUGCACGGCGAGGAGAGCACCUGAUUGAAAAGAAGGCUGCAACUUCCGAGAGAUUGAAUUCACAAAAUAUGAUUCGAAGACCACAUGACUUGAUAUGUUUUCGUCUAAAAUAUAUGAUAUGAUGCAAUACAAGUUUGUUGGUUUUACCUCAAUUUCACGAAUUUCCGGCGAGUGGCGGAGUACAUGAGUUAAUGUUUCUGAGAUGACUCCAGAAUAAUAUAUAGGAAUGGCGAUUCAAAUCCGAGCUUUGAAUAGAGAAGUCUCGCACCGAGGACAUUUGCAAUUUGUUCAGUAUAAGUACUCGUCUCCUAAGUCUCGAGAAAAGGAAGGAUAUCAUUAUCGAAUCUCUUACUUUUGCAACUUGAAUGACUUCCUUUAAAUUUUAUAUUGAGAUUUAGAUUUACUUCGAUAUUUAGAAUCAACCAUUUACGCAUGGUACCGAAACGGAAAUGGUAAAACUUUUAAUACAAUGGUGGCGUGGCAUUCGUGUUGAAAUCGCUAAUUUAUAUUAACCGUGUUUAAAUUAUAUGUUAAGGUUCAGAGUUUUUUCGAUAUUUGGAAUCGACCCUUUAUCGCAUCGUACUUGAAUGGAAAUAGCAAAAACUUUUUAACAUGGUGGUGGUGUGGCAUUCGUGUUAAAAUCACUAAUUUAUAUUAAGCAUGUUUAAACUUAAACCGGGGAUAAUUCAAUAUAAUUCAAUUGAUGUACUGUUGUACGUGUUGAAUUGUAAUCGAGGUCAAUCUAAUGAGAUCAUUGACCAAGUUGAAAUUUUAUAAGCUACUAAUCGCAAGAACAGACCAGAAAAUAGGCGCAUAACCCCCUCGGCCAGGCCACAGGUGAGAGCUUGAGAAGUGAGAGGUCGUAUCUUAUAACGAACGAGUCGAGUGUCGAGUUUAGAAAGCCUUCUCAUAAAGAUAAGUUAGGUGCAAGGAGGCUUGGCAGAUCGAGCGGGCGAUCGGAACCCUUACUAGCUCUGCAGAUGACAAAGUCGAUGUUGGCUUAGUUCAAUCGUUUAAUGCAGUCACAACUCCAGGAACAGUUAUAACUAUGCAUCUCUUUAAUGUUACCUCUUCAUUGGCAUCUUGCUGCAUAAUUUUUCAUGAGGUUACAAUUACAAGCUCUGAUCUGUCAUCAGAAUUCGUCUAUUUCCAAUCUCUUUUGAGAAACAAAGAAUAGACUCACUCUACAGAAAACUAGAAACUACACUUGAUCCUAAUUGAAAUGGGCCGGGGAAGAAGGUAGGGAAAUAUUACACUUGUGAAGGAUAAACAUCGACCAGUCGCAUGGUCAUCAUGCAAUAUCAACGUCUCUGGGAGCGUGUUGCGACUCUUGAACGGACCCGUCAUUAGACUUUUCAACCUUGAAAGAUUUUUGGCUGAAUAUUCGUACAAUGGCGCUCUUCGAUCUUGAAGUGCUAAUGCUUUGACUCCCGCCAUUGGAUUUGUUUCCAACAUUCUUCUUGGCAAGAUCCUCCAACAAUACCUUUAUGAGAGCAUCGAAUCGACGCCUAAAUGUUGGAUACCUCGAUAUGGACUUGGUGAUCCCUCGGAGCCUUCAUUAUAACAUCAAAUUUAUGGAACAUGCAAACAGACUUAAGUGGGAAAAGUAUUGAAAUCCAAAUAUAAACAUUGCAGACAAGUGAUCUCAUUCUGCUUACCUUCGAGCUAAAGCUUCGAGCUCAGCUCUUUUACGCUCGGGUUCAGGAGGUGGGCCUAUAUAUGAAUUCUUGAACCUCUCGGGGUCAGCACCUAGCAAAACAAGCUUACAAAGAUAGUCCUCCUCGGCCACAUUGAGGGUCUCUGCUUUAAUCUGCUCCUUGAUAAUCAAAAGGGGAUUAAGGAACCAUUCAAAUAUUGCAUUUUUAGGUCUAUUGGUGCUUGUUACUUCAGUAUUAUCACCUGCAUUUUCACAACAUGAUUCCAGCAAAUAUUCAAAUACCUCAGAUUAUAGCAUGCAAAGGAAAAAUUAAAAAGAAAAUUGCGGAAAAUCGUAAAAAUCCUAUCCUUUUAGGAAAGAACUUACGCAGUAAGAUGCCCAUAGAAUUGGCUUUUACUGAACGCAAGAGCACUUGUAGCAGGCAAUAAGUUGGCAAGCCUAUGCUUAUCACUCCACUACCUCUGCUUGCUUUGGCAUCUUCAAUGUCUCGAGGGGUUAUCAAUCCCUCAGCUACCAUGCUUUCUCCAUGGCGUUGACACUCGUCAAACAAGCCGUCAAGUAACUACACGAACACAAUUUUCUAUUCGCUUGGUGAAAGCAAUUAAAAGAGAGUGAGAGAAAACAGCGUACAGAGUUUAUUCAACAUGGAUCUAUGGAGGCAGCAGAUGUGGAUGCCCAUUUCUUGAUUCACACAUGAAUGCUGCAGACAUUCAUUCCCCAAAUAUGAGGUCCUUGAAGCAAAGAGGGAUAUGACAAGCUACCUGAAUUGGUUUUAACUCGAUAAUGGUGUCUUUUAUUGAAUCUGCACGAGCUGGGGGCCUUUUAAAAGAAGCAGCACGAGCGGAAGUCUUUGACAGCUCGGCCUUUUGUCUCCUGUAGUUUGGCCUGAUGGACCAAGAAUUCUAUAAGCAUGUAUGGAAUCCACAAUUCCAUCAAAUUGGAUCUCAAAUCAGGAAAAAAAAAAAAAAAAGGUAAGUACCUAGGAAAGCAGGACCCUUCUCGCAUGUCAAGAAUGUCAUUGCUGUAUUCGUCAUAGAUCGACAAGGAUGCCAUAACAUAACAGAGCCCCAACCAGAAGGAGGACUCCUGUAAUGUAAUUCCAUCACCAGAUGAGUUUGACCACACAGUACAUACAAAACAGUUGUUACCAAUCUCCAGAUUUGCUUUUCUUAAGGUGUUCCUUGAGAACCCCCAAAUGACUCUUUAUUCUAGUCAAGAUGUCCUCUUGAUUGGGCGUACUAUGAAGAAUUUAGGGAAAGACACGCUACAUUUAAGUUGAACCACUGAGCUGCAAUAUCAAUGCCGUGACAUCCAACUUUCUUCAUGCUAUAUGUAUUCAGAAGAUCUACCUUGACAACUCUUAAGACUCCAUUUUGGUCAUAUUCAAUAUUAGUUUCACUGUUAACCGAGCAGAACAACCUCGUAAUCCUGGUUCUGCCAACUGAUGAGGUGCAUAAACAGGACAUACUCCAAAGGCCAGAAUGGAGGAAUUUAAUAGUAGAAAGAAAGAGGAAUUUAACCUGAUAAACAACAACUCCUGCAAAGGCGCCAAGGAAGAUGCUGGAUAGCAUGGAGGCCAAUACGGCUCCAGCCACCGCCAAAGGCCAGAAUAUAAUGGCAAGACCAGCGAAUGGAACACAAAUCGUCUCCAGGAAUGGGCCUUCACGACCAAUGAGAUCGUGAAACAAACGGUGCCAUCCCCUGAAGAGCAUGUAAGGACUUUUGUAUAGGGCAAUGAGUGAGAUCAUAAACAUGUCAACCAUAAAUCCAAGCACUCCAAUUAUAACAGUACCCGGAAGAUAUAGCAACCUGCAAAGCAAUUUCGCAUUAAUAAAUAAAAAUAAGUAAAAAUAAUUUUAGGAAAAACUUGCUAAUGAUGUAAAGUGGAAAACUCCAACUUAGAGAACAAGUUGCGUCCAUUAUAUUUAGGUGGAUGGGUGACCACAUGCUUUUUGCAGCUGCUCAGGGCUUAUAUCAAAGGGACUCGUUCUAGGCAAUGAUCUCUCAAUAGUGGGUUCAGAGUUCAAUGGGAUCCACAUGAGCUCAAAACUCCUGAAAAGCACUAUGUAUCUUCAUCCUAGGAGAUAUUUGUACUUCAGAGAAAUUAUCACAGUAUAAAUUGUCAUUCUUGACCUGAAAUUAGAGCCUUUGAUCUGCACACUGUUUAUUUACACUCUUAAAGCUUGGAAUACCCAAGUGUAGAUGCUGAAUAUAUUGGUUGAUGUCUUACUUAAUAAAGCUAAACAUUCAGUGAGAACAAGCUCAAUGUGCCUACCUGUAAGAGUUGUAACAGAGACUGAAACAUUGGCUCUAGGCAAGCACUAUUUAUGUGCACCCAGGAUAUAUAUAUAAUUUUUUUGGCCUUUGUUGCUCAAGGAAUUUGACUUAGCUCAAAAUUGAAAUACAGGAACAGGCACAAAGAUCAGACCUAAUCUCAUAAUAUUUCCCUUCCGCAGGCCCCUGAUGCCACAGGUCAUUCAUAUAAGAUAAGUAAGAGUGGAAGCAAAAAUCCCCAAAAUCCCGGACAAUAGUGAAACUCCCUUUGAUUGUGCUCCAAGUUCCAUCCUGGGAAACAUUGGAAAAUUGUCAAUAUUCUUGGUCCAGGCACAGGAAUAGCAAAACAAAGACUUCAUACAUAGAAACAGUGGAAAAACUUAUCGGUCUUCCCCUCUCCAACAGCAUCAAAAGUGGCAAAUAUUGGUGAAAGAAACCCAUACGCUAUCCCACCAAUGACGCUGCCAGCAAUGCCAACCACUGGCCACAACACCAAGGGAAUAGGCAUGCACAGUACAAGGACAAGCUUCAAUCCAGGCCCUAAUUGCUUUGAUCUGCUAAAUAGACAACAGUUAAAAUAGAGGACCUCCAAUUAUGAAUGAGGCAACUUUCAGUGAUAGGUUCAAGGAAUCACCUCAGGAUACAAUGACAGGUCCAGAAACAGUGAAUGGGCCAAAGACCCAAUAUAAUAGCAGAGUUGCCAAUUGUUAUGAUAAGGCACGCCAAGGGACAAAAUAUGACACCUGAAAUACAAGAGUCAUACAUUCAACUUCCAGCACUCAAUAUCAUAUUUUUAUGCAUUGACAAGAGAACUUAGAAACCAGGGUUGGGGGUCAUGACCUAGAAACUACGGUUGCCAUCAUCUAAAUAAAAGGCUUCUUCACAAUUUAAUCAGCCCAGGGAAACCAGGAAACACAAAACAAUGAGUUGAUGCAGGAUGAUUAUUCAAGUGGUCUAGUUGGGGAAACACAUUGCAAGCGGCUCCUGCCUUCAAUCUUGUAUUCAGCAAGUCACUGAGAUGUCCCGUCGAUUCACAAGAAAACGCCACUCAACAACGUCUAGCCAAAGAAGAGUUACGUACUUGCCAAUUUAGCAUGCCGAACUAAAUCGAGCCAACAUUAUCGCCAACAUUCUAUAAUGAUGAGAGUUGAAGUCGAAACAUCAGCGAAUUAAUUGUUCUUUCCCGAACGACUGUUUCUGACAUUCGGAUCGGAAACAAACCCAGUGCACUCACGUUCUUCAAUAGCACAGGAGAAAAACGGAAGCAAACAACAAGCAAAGGAGGCACGGAUUUCUGACCUUUGAAAUUGCCCAAGAGCAGCAGCCCAAUGAAGUAAGGCAAGAAGCAAAUGAAGUUCCAUAUCUUAGCCAGAGCCCCCCUCGGAGGCUCCAUGAUCUCUCCUCAAUCCCGCAAGAUCUCCCUCAAUCAAUGCCCACCCACUUCACAUCAAGUCCCAAUGCCUCGUUCCGACCCAGAAAGACAACAAAUUUCCAACCCCGCAAAACAAUCAAUUCACGUCGCGCAAGGAGGAGACGGAAAGAAAACCAGCAAACGAGACCCACAAAAGAAAGGCGAGCGGAAUUCACACUACCUCUUCGAUGCAGUCAUCCCCUGACUUCUGGCGUUGGAAUAAAGCAAAGGAUUGAGUAAAGUUCGAUAUUUUGCAGCUCUCGGUACUGGGGAAAUCGAAGCUCCGGAUGAACAGAGAAUGCGAAAACUUGGAGGGGCGGUCCUGGAGGAUAGAACAGAAGGGAAGGAGAGCACGAGGCACGUUAGCAACCGUUGGAAGGCUCCCAAAACCCGGAGCGACGAAUUGCAGAUAGAACAGUUACUGUCGGAUUUCCGGAAAGGAAACAAAUCUUCUACACCCUCCUCAAGCCAAAUCUCUCUCUCUCUCUCUCUGUUAUUUUGGCUGGAACCCUCGAAUUUUUUAUCUUCAAAAAUCGGAUCCUUCGCUUUGGAACCAUUUCAACUGUGUAAAUAAACGCUAAACUCGAAACGACGCGCCUCGUCCGUGUCCCAUUUCACUGUCGUCAAGCAUUGAAACAUUGCGUGGGAAUCGGGGAAAAACCCCACUUUGAGGACGAGGAGGAGUUCAAUGUUCAUCAACCGAUGUCGACAGCUCUCGUGUGGGUUUUCUUAUUUGUUUCUUCUUUUUUGGCAAUCUUUUUUUUCGGGGGUUUCUUGAGAAGAUUUAAGGUGAAUACAUUAGUUUAUAAAACAAAUUCGUACGAAAAAACGUGAUGAAUUAUGAAUGGACCAAGUGAAACGUAUUCAAAAUAAUAAGUACUCUGUAAUGGCUCGAUUUAAAACAAUUCCGAAUUUCUCUUUUAUGUUCUAGGAAAUGAUGUCAAGUUUUGUUUAGUAACAUGACAACCGAUAUAGGAAUGUUUGAUUUUUGUCGCCAUUGAUGACGAUGAAUGGUGGUUACUCAGUUGUUUUCAGCCUGCAAAUGGGAAUAGCAACUCAUUCUUUUCAUGUCAUGCUUUAUUUUGAGUUGCCAACUAUAGUCAUUUCUUGUAUGUAGAGUCAGAUCGGGUAGUCCUUUGUCUUUGUUUAAGAAUAGGAAGUGAUGAGAAUUAGGUUAGAAAACGUAGGGCUAGACCACAAAUACUUUGUCAAAUCAUAGCAUAGACAAAAAGGGUUUCAUCAAAAGCGACAUUUCACCGCUACAAUAUGAAAGAAAAGACCGGACUCCAUCAACGGAAGUGGAGCGUUAUGCCGAUGUAUUCAAUCAUAAGCUCGGAAGAUCCAACCAUAUUGAAUUUUGAAUCUAGUUUUUCCGAUCACGGCAAAAGACGGAAACCAAUAGGUCAAGUAGUACCCUACGCGGUGAUGGAUGAGUCAAUUCUAGCUAGUGUAAACCAUUGUAUAUUUUUUAGGGAAAAUGUCACAAAUAGUCCCUAAGGACUACUCAAGAUACGUGACCGUGUCGGCAUCGUACUUGUCGACUGAGGUCUUCAUCGCUGUCCAACUUUAGGAGAUGAGUGCGGUAGGUGGAGCGUUAUGCGGUAGUAGCUUGUCGGGCAUUAAUAUAAUAAUAAUCAACUUUGUUUUGCCAAGAGGUUUCAAUUUAAGACAAGGGCGGUGGGGAAGAUAACGAGCGGGUGGAUCAAGAUACGAAAGGACUUAUUUGCUCGAAAGAACAAGUGAUUGAAGUUAUUUAAGAAUAUUUUUCAAGCCAUUCAUUUUCUAUGAAACUAAUUAAGCCUUCGGAAAGAUAUUUUCCUCAUUUUUUGGCAUUCGAAAUGCUUAGGAAAUUGAAUUAAUGGAAAAUCUAUACUUAAAUACAAGAAAAUGAUUUUCUCUUUAGAAAAACGAAAAUCAUUUUUUAAAAUAUGAUUAGACAUUAGUGCUUUAAUUAAAAACUUUGUGUUUGGGCACGGGAACUCUAACGCUUGCUCUCAAGUCAUUGGUAGCAAACCCGAGUCUAGAGACCACGGUUGGUUCCUUCGGGUUUCAUCGAGAUGAAGCCCGAGUUCUAAGUCCUGGUGCCUAAGCCGAGGUCCACAGAGGUUGGGCUAGAGACACUCACACUAGUGGCUAGGCCUAAGACUCUAGUACUAUUGUUCGACUCCCUAGCGGCCCGGCCCAGGUCCACAAAUGUUGGGUCCAAGACCUUGAUGCUUGUGCUUGGGCCUCUAGUACCCAAGCAAGUGUCCUCAAGCUUAGGCCCGAGAUCUUGCACUAGGUCCAUCAAGAUUAUGCCUUGGAUCCCAAAUCCCAUGCUUGGUCCAUCAAGACUAGACCCAAGAUCAAUGCCCAUAUUCUUUUCUAAGACCCAAGUACUUGUGCCUGAUUCGAGGUUGAUCAAGGCUGAACUUGAGGCCCUAAUGCUCAUGUAUAAUUUUUAAGCUGCCAAUGCGCAAGUCACUAAAGCCCGAAUAAGGUACUUCUAUUUAGGAAAAAAAUUAGAUUUUUCUAAACAAACAACAUAAACUAUUUUCCAAUUCAUUUUCAGAUUUUAGCUAAAUACUAUAAAUUAUUAUCAUUAUUUUAGAAAAUGACUCGCUGGAAUUUUUUUUUCAAAAUUGUCACAUUUUUCAUGAAACAAAUGAAGUCUAAAUUUCAAUUUUCCUUUAUCUCCCUUUCUUUUGAAAAUUUUAAAAUUUCCCCUUUUCUAUCUAGAUUUUCUUUCUCCCAUUUCCUUUAUUUCCACAUGUAAUUGAAGACAAGUGUUCAUGCAUUCUAAAUGAAUAAUAACAUAAAUAACUCAUAAACUUUAAUCUAAUAUACAAUUUGAUCCUCGAACUUGAAUUAAUGAAAGAAUAAUAUUAAAUAUUUAGGAACUACAUUGAACACGUACCACACUUUAAGCGUAUUUCUAUUUGUAUAAAUAUUGUAAAUGAUUUAGUAGUCUCUCCAACUAAAGUAUCACUUUUCUUAAGAAAAUGAAAAUGAUUUUUAAAUUUUUUGUGAAGAGUUGAUCAAAUGUUAAUUUUUCCAUGAUUUAACACUAAAAAAGCCAAUUGAUUAUUCAGACUUCGAUUUUUUUUCUCGAAAAUACAAAGUGUAAAUGACUAAUUGUGAAUGAAAAUGUCAAAUUGACACUUAUUUAGGACUUUUUAUGCAAAAUGCCAAUUUCUUCACUGAGGGUUGACCAGAGUUUGCUGAAUUCGAUAUGACAAAGUCAUGUGAGUACCAUAUGGGGAGAAAGGCCAUUAUACCGACAAUUGUCUUGCCCUGAAGAUCAAAGUGCAAAAACUUGCUUCACAAAGGAAUUCUGUCUUCUAAAGACGUCGCUCCUAAUGUGCAAAAACCCUUUACCAAAUCAUCUAAAAGCUAUCAAUCUAACUUUCGAGAAGGUUGAUAAGAACUAGCAAGCCUUUUAUGGUAGAUGCCACGAAAUUAUCACAACCCAAAUUGAAUAAACUUGAGAAUCAACCAGAAUUAGUUGUUUGGUGUUAAGAACAUAAUGUUGAUACAAUAAUAAGUAUAGACAUGUAAUUUCUCAACUUAUAUUACUAUUGGAAAGUGAGGAACUUGACUUUUCAACUUAUUGGUUAGCGAUUCCUCCGUCCGAGCCAUUAAGAUAUCACUAAAACAUAUGAUGAAAACAUUUUGCACAUAAAACCUAGAGAAAUUUCAAAUAAAGGCCUAAAGUGUCCUUAUUUUCUUAAAUGAGAACUUGAAACAAAAUAUUCCAACCGAUUAGGUGUAUUUUCAUUGAACACAUUUUUAAUUUAAAUAUUAAUUGAAUAAGAAGAAGAAGAAAAAAUAUAAGCCACUGCCCCCAUCAAGAAGGGAGAGGGCAAUGACCCUCUCUGAGAUUUGGUUGAGGAUCACCUAUCCUCACCUUGAUUUGAGCAAGAGUUACCAGCCUUCACGCAAGUUUGGCUGCCCUCACCUCGCCCUUGCCCUCGUCUGAGGGCUCUUGCUGAGGUGCCAAUGACCCCGCCAGCCAUCGUAGCCACCACAUUGGCGAUGGGGGCAAUAGCCAUAGGUGGGAGGGAGCCUUCCCCCUGUGCGUGUUGGUUUAUUUAUUUAUUAAAUAUUAGUUUUAUUUUAGUUUUUUUAUGGAAAGAAAAGGCAAAAAAAAAAAGAAAAAAAAAAGAGGAAAGAACAUAUAAAAAUACAAAAUUACCCUUAACCAGAUAAAGAGUUCGAGCCACUUUAAGUUCUUAUUUAAAAUAAUGUUCAUUUUGACCCUUAUUUAAGCAAAUCAACAUCUACUUCAUACAUUUAUUUGAUAAAAAAAAAAUAUUUCAUGCCUUUAUUUGAAGUUUUUCCUAAAACCUAUAACUUAUCUCUAUAAUACCACAAUUUUUUUUUAUUGUUGGGAUUGAAUCCUCUCAAUGUUCUCGCGAGUGGAUUCAUUGGGCCGUUGUGAAAUUAAAGGGCUCACUUGUUAACAAUUGAUAUAAGUUGAGGCCCCGCUGAAGGUACCGAACAAGCAUCCCGAUUGAGAUGGGCGGUUCAUCGACUGGGGUAGCGACUUGCUCAUGUCGAUGAUGCGGCCCAUAACACCCCGUCGAGCCAUUCGUCAUUGAGAAAAAAAGGAAAUUCUCAUGUUUGGACUGUCCAAUUUCAACCCUAAUCUUGUGAUUCCAUGUAUGGAAUCUCUCAUGUUUUUGCAAUAUUAUCCAUGCCGUGCGAUAUAAAUCUAGUCUUUAUGAAAAGUAAUGGAAGAUUCAGAAAGCCAAACGACACACCACUUCACAAAUUUUAAUGCAGAAAGAAGAGCUGAACAAACUUAUUGAUAGCUUACAUGCAUCGACUCGUGCGAGUAAGGCUCACCAAAACACGACAGGAACGGAACACAGAUUCAACAACUAUUUCACACGCGCAGGCACAAGAGCAAAAUACAGUAGAUCGAUCUCUCUCAUCAGUGGAUCUCAACCCUCUUGACCUCGGGCUUCUUCUCCUCCGCCUUGGGCACGAUCACGGUGAGCACCCCGUCCUCCAUGCACGCCUUGAUCCCCUCCCUCUUCGCGUUCCUCGGCAGCCUGAACCGCCUCGAGAACUUGCCCCGGAAGCGCUCCACCCUGUGCCACUUCUCCUCGCCCUCGCCCUCGCCCUCGCCCUUCCCCUUCUUGCCCUCCCCGCCCUUGGCCUCUUUGUCCUCCGGCACCUUCCUCUCUCCGCUGAUGAUCAGGUACCCGUCGCCGUCGACCUCCACCUUCACCUCGUCCUUCUUCAGCCCCGGGAGGUCGACGAUGAACAUGUGGGCCUCCGGGGUCUCCUUCCAGUCGGUCGGUGCGUUGAGCACCGGGCACUUGUUGACCAUCGACAGGAAGGGGUCCAGGAUCUCGUUCCCCAUGAGCUGAGAGAUCACAGACAUCGUCGGUAGCUGAAACUGGCGAUGAUUCAGACAAUGAUCGGGUUGGUUUGUGUGCGUGUGUGAGUGCGUGUGUGUGCUGGAGUGGUUUGGGCGAGGAGGCUUUGAGGGUUUUUAAGGGCGAGCUUGGAUGCGUUCUUGAAGUUUCUUGUCUGUUCAGUUUGGUAGAAAUUUUUUGUUUGUAGGUUGACGUGAUUAUUGGAAAAGAUAAGGUCCCAUCGAGGGUGGUUCUACGACCUUCCCGCAGGCUGUGCUGCUUGAACCUUCUCCUGCGUUCCACGCACUGUUUUAGCAUCAUUCCUUUUUCUUUUUUCACCCCGAAUUAAGCUGUCGCCUAUGUAAUACAAUACGAAUCUAUUUAGGUAAUAUGUGAAAGACCAUAAAUGAUUUGAGUCUGUUUCUCGCUUAAUCUCAUGGGUCAUUUUGGCAAGGAUUUUCACAAGAGAUGUUACUCAUGCGCAUCGACUACAAUCAUGUGCAUAAAUAUAUAUGUACGUCACUUGAUCACAUGACAUGCAAUGAAGUUACAUGUGACACUCACUCCAAUUUAAAAUACAAACGAACAAAUUUGAUAAAUAUGCACAUUUGAUUCAUAGAAAAAGUACUAGAAAAGUCAUAAACCUAUUAUAUUAGUAUCGAUUCAAUCUUUAACAUCUUCGCAUUUUGUUAGUUGAGUCCAUCCAAUUUCGACCAAGAACUACUUACGUGGAUGUUAGCUGUCUUACGUAAUACGGUUGGUUUUGACUUGGAUAAUUUGUACAAUUUUUUUAAAUGAAUUUAUUUUUUUCUCUCUUUUUUUCCCUUUGUGAAAGGAAAAAAAUAAUAAAAAAAAGUCCAUGGUAGUGCUAGUAGUGGUUUCUUGUCAAAAUUGACUAGAUUGACUAAAUUGAAAAUUAUGAAAAUGUUUAUAAUUAAAUUGACCAAAUUAAAAAAGUGUAGGACUUAAUUGAUACUAAUGUAAUAAAUUUAAGAUUUUUUAUGAACUAUGUAAUUUUUAAAGCAUGUAGGUAGAUAAACUAUAAUUAAGAUUAGAUGUGCCUUUAUUUGUUAUAUGGAAGUAUAUGCGAAACAUACCUCAAAAUUGGAUGGGUCAAAAUUGGGAGAAACGUCUCCAUGCUCUAUAUUUACUAUUUAUUUAUGCAAUAAAUAUAAGGCACUUUUUCGGAGGCUGGUCAUAAUGACUUUGUUGAUAUUUAUUUCAAGAUUGUUUCAAAAUUUAAGAGAUGAUGGCUACAUUUGGUAGUCAGAAUAAAAUUUAUCUUACCUUGUAUCUUGUGUAUGCUUGAGAUAGGAUAAAAUUAGAUAUCAUAGAAAUAUAGCCUAGAUAAAAUUAUUUCAUUGGGGAGGUAGGAGAAAUGUGGAUAUGAAUUGUAAUAUCCAUAAUAUAGAAGUUAUUGUAUUGAAUAACAAACUUCUUAAAUUAAUAAAAAAUAAAAAAAAUAUUUGCUUAUAAAUAAUAUUUGAAUUCUGAUGUAAAAAAAUUCAAAAUAAAAAAAAUAACAACAAUUUUGUUUUAUUUAUUCCUAUUUUUAUUUAUAUAUUCGAAUUUCUUUCAAUCUUAUAGUAUAAAUUCAAUAUAUAAAAAUAGAUAUAAUAUUUAUAUUUAUUGCAAGUUUUAGGUAUUUUAGUAUAUACUAUUUAAUAAAAUUUUAGUAGAGAAAGAUGGAAGGAGAUAAAAGAAUUAAAAAAGAGGGAAAAUAAUAUAAAAAAAUAAGCAAAUAAAAAUGAAUUUGCCUAGAGUGUUAUGAAAGAUUCUUACUAUCUCCAUUUGUGCAAUUUUUAGGCUCAUUUAUCAUUUAUAUCAUAUAGAAUGUAAAAAUAUCUGAUUUUAUUAGUGUAAUUCAUCAAACGGUGGAUAUGAUUUAGUAGAAUUUAUAAAUUUUAUAUCCUAUUCAGUCAAAUUCUAUUAUGAGUAGAAAUUUAGAUAGCCAAACAUGUGUCAAAUACGGAUAAGGUUACAUCAAUGGCCAUGGCGCAUAAUUUCCAUUGCUUGAAAUGCCCCUGAAGAAUGCGGAUUGAAUUGCUACAAUUGGACUAAUUUCAAUUGUCCAUAUCAGUAGCUGCGCGUCAUCAUCAAUCAUCAUGGCAUAUGUGGGCCGCCCUUGAGCAAAGGUCUCCGACCCCAGCCAGCUCUACUGAAAUUUGAUGGAAGCCCAGCACAUUUGAUGUCGCCUUGACAUUACUUUACUUCGAUAUUUGUCCACAAUAUUAAUGGCCUAGUUCAGAGUAUACGUUGAGGAAGCUUAGGCUCGCCGAGUUAAUUAGUAUAAACUCUCUAGUUUGAUCAUAAAUAAGAUCAUUUAUCUCCAGUCAAAAAGAUUUCCAGGAAAUUAAACUGUCGUCAAAUAUCAAAAUGAGGUUCGCGUGUCGGGACGGGAAUCAAUUAAACCGUGGUUUAUGGCAGACUGAAGCCAGAGCCAGUCACACUAGUAAAUUGUACAUUAUAAACAGGCAUAUGAGAUUAGGAUUUAGCUCGCAACCUCUUUACCUUCGAGCUAUGUAAAGGACUCGGAAACUUUUAAUAAUAAUAAAAAGAAGCAAGAAACAAACGACGCACAUCGAAACAUUAUUCUUCCCUUUAUUGCUUAUCGACUAUUUGCUAUACAUAAUCAUAUGCGCGAGCUUCGAUUAAUCUUCGCAAUCUCUUCUCACAAAUCGGCCCUGCAACAUAAGAAGAAAAAACGUCACAUUCCACCAGAAGCAGGAAAAACAAUCUCGGGAAGAGGCCAAGAAAAGAGAGAAAAGAGAGGCGAAACGAUGCGAACCUUGAUACGGGGUCGUUUCUGGGCGUUGAGCUUCCUGACUUCGUAUCGGAUGCGCUUGGAGAAGAGCCUGCUGUGCCUCUUCUCCUUGUACCGCAGCACGCUCGCCUCUCUCUGCCUAAUCUUGUCGCUGAACUCGCCGCCGUCCUCCGCGAUCGCGUCCCUGUUGAUGGCGGCUUCGCUUUCUGCUGCUUUCUCCGGGACUCUCCACACGUUCUCCCAUACAUCCAUCGGCCCCUGCUUGAUUUGCAGAACCGAUGAGCUAUUAUCGCCUUUGAAUACCCAUGGGCAUGCUUCUAGUGCAGAAACAAACGAUGCAACAAGAAGGAAACGUGGGAUGAUGGGAGUGCAUCGGUGGGCAUUGGGAUUGGGAUUGAUCUUUUUCGAACCUAGAUCAGCACAUUCUCUUAAGAGUCUACAACAUGAACACUUCUCAUGUGGGUAAAUUUACUCUGUCGAGACAGAGUAGCUAGACUCGUGUUACCGAUGGAAUGCAAUGGACAGAGUUAAUUUCAAUGUACCGACUGCGUGAAAAGUCACAUCUUUUCCAUGACAACAAUAUUUUCCUGCAAACCUGGCUAAAGGAACCUUCUUCCAACCAUACCUCUUAUUGAUGGGUCACAACUAUCACUUACAUGUAAAUUUAACCAGAGUAACAGGUGAUUUACAUACUUGUAUCUCACCAAUCAAAAUUAUAGUUGAAAUAUAAUUGGAAGGACUUUCCUUCAAUCGCAAUUAUAGAAAUAUUGUGGCAUUUCUUUGGGCAUAAUCAUAGGAAUUCCACACUUGCAACAGAAUAUUUGAUUGGGCUUUGCUAGAAUAAUAGUCAUUAGAGUACCAUGAGAAUACCAAUCUAUUGUGAGUCAUAAAUUCUUGAAAAAGUAGGUUCCACAAUAAUUUAUAAUUAUUUCUAAUUUGAUAUUUUGUGGUCAAGAAUAAACUGGUAUUCUCAUAAUAUCAUGGUCCGAUCAAACUUAUGCUAUAGACGAACCAAGGCCUUUCAAGGUCAAGGUUGGAUUGAGGGGUUUCACAUCAAUGACCAAAAGGCCCCUAACUAUUUGGGAGUAAUCCCUACAUGGCGGGAUCAACAAUCGUGAUCGUGCGCUUUGCUCAACCUCCUCAAAAACUUCAAUAAUAUCACCGAUCGAUAUCGUGCUACCAUGGGUCCACGACAACGCUCGCUCGGUGAGCAAACGGUCCCCCCAUUAAAUGAAAGCAUUGAAGAAAAAGGUGAUAGAGCUUUUAGAUUCCUGUGAACUCACCCAUCGAUCUGAAAAAGAAAGGGAUAAAAUCUCUCUGCAUAAUCCAAACCCGAAGCUCCCUACUUCGCAUUUAACACGCGACAAUCUCAAAAAAAAAAUCUUUAGGAAGAAAUUUUUAUUAAUUUCCUUUGGCAAUCACCGUAGUUCAUGAAAUAGAUCAAGUAGAGAGAGAUAAAGGGUUAACACAUACAAACCUAAGCAUCUCAACAAUAGAGAAAAUUCACUCGUAAGUUCUCAAAUGCACGCUUUUCAGGAUGCUAGUAGUGGUGCCCAGAAGCCCCGGACUAAUGGGGCUGAAAUUAACUAAUGGAUUCAUGUCAGUUCCGCUUUUCGACUCGACUAAUUUUCAUAGAUAUACGAAUAUCAUAACGAUGGGGUGCAUCGACGCUAGGCCGAGGGUGUGACAUGUGCCCGUCGGUGCAAAUGUUAAGAAGUGAUUAGAGUAGGCCGAGGGUGUGACAUGUGCCCGUCGGUGCAAAUGUUAAGAAGUGAUUAGAGAUGAUGAAUGAAGAUCGACUAAAUGGAGGGAUUGGCGAAGAUGGUCUUACGCUGUCGACUCGCAUCAAGUCGGGCACGGUCUGAGGCGUCUCGUGAUUCGCGUUCCCGCCGUACACGAAGAGCGAGCCCUUGUCGGACCAGGCGUCCAGGAUCUCCUGGUAAUCGAGCUUCAGCGACAGCAUCGUCGUCCCCUGCGGGUGCGCCCUCCGCCCUCCCCGCCACGCGUCGGCGGCGCCGCUGGUCACCUCCUCCAUCUCCGUCUUCUUCUCCGCCUCGACGAUGACCUCGCUGUAGCACACCCACCGCUCCUCGCUGCCCCCCCACUCCCUGCUGCUGCUCUUCAUGGCGCACCGUAUCAGCGACGACACCGCCGACUCCUCCUCCUUCGCCCCGGAGGAGGCGGCAGCCGCGCCGGAAACGGCGGGGGCGGGGGCCGCGGGGUCGAGGAGGUCGGUGAGGGUGGCGGUGUCGGCGGCGGCUGCGGAGUCGAACAGCAGGGCGACGUCGUUCUCGUCCUGGAGGUGGUGGUCUUGAUCCCGACUGCCCGCGGCGUCGUCGCCGCUGGCCAAGUGGGCUCCCGGGCGGAGGGGGGACGAGCUCGGCCGGUGCUUCUGGCGGUGGCGGCGGACGGCUCUGCGGUGGUAGGUGAGGUUCAUCGGGGCGGCGCCGGUUCGGGAGGUUUGAGGAGAGAUCUGGAGGCCGAGGCUCAAGUACUUGGGCUUCCGGGUCUUGCUUCUUGAUCUGCGAGACGGGGCGGCGAGAGACGACGGGGUUUGCUUCUUCGGCUUGCCGGGCGCGGAGGAGGACCUGGACAUGGACCUGGACCUGGUCCUCAUGUUUGCAGCAGGAGGAGGGCAGUUCUUGGGGCACAUCUCCCGGCGAUCGUCCCUCUCUCUCUCUCUCUCUCUCUCUCUCUCUAGGCUGCUUCAGCCAGUCAUUGGUCCUUGCCUGAAAAAGCGAGAAAAAGUGCAUGGGCUUUUUUCAGUGCGGGACCCGCUCUGGGGAGAGAGAUGCUGACGCACACGAAGGGCGGAGGGAGGGAGGGGGGAGAGAGAGAUGAGAUGGUGAUGGUAUCGACACGCGGCGCUCUGCUACUGGAGGAGAAAGUGGAUUGUGCUGUGUUAUCCAGAUUUCGCUUGGGUUCGGGUUGGAUAUUGCACGGAUUCUUUGGUCGCAGCGGAUGAGCCGUGAGCCUAAUGACGUAUUUACCCCUUAAAAUCAUGCAGGUCCCUUAUUUUAGUUAUCUACAUGAAGGAUUAUUUAGGACAUUUAUUGAGCUCACGUGUAUUUGGGUCGACUGUAUUUCUUUUCUAAAUUUUGGACCAGUACAACAUUUGGAAAGUUGAAGAGUUGUGGGUCGGUGAGACACUAAUUUCUCGUUUAGGACAACAAAAUCAAAUGAAAUAGGCAACUGGAGUGAUAGAUCUAAUGAUUUUGUCUGGUGAAUUUCUAGAAUGGAAGAGAACGGUAGUUUGGAGAAAAGAUGUUGAAUUGAAUGGGAAUGUUCUAAGAAAAGUCAAUUUGCAUUGAAGUUACAAACAUAAUAAUUAAAGUAUAUUAAAAUAGAUACUUAAAUUUAUGUUAUUUAAAGCACGAUCAAGUGAUGUUUCUUUUUUGUAGUUCGAUAGUAUACCAAUUGGUUCUUUAUAAUUUGGAAUUAUUAGCCAUCUCGUAUAUUCUUGGUUCUUUAUAAUGGUGUUGUAACUUGCUAGCUACCAUUAAAAAUUACUAUUUGCAGUCCAUCAUAGAUUCUUAGUUAUAUAUAAUAUCAAACAUUUUAUGAUAUAUUAAAUAUAACAUAGAGUUAUCAAUUAGAUUUAUUGUAGAAUGGUGAUAGUUUAACGUAACUAAAUAUUCAAUAUGAAUCGGGAUUUUCUUACUUAUAUUGAAAAUUUUAAUUUCUUUUAAAUAAGUUAUAUUUCUUAACCGACUACUGUUAACUAAUCAAAUAACUAUUUAUUUAUUUUGAAAUAAGGAAAGCAAUCAUGGAGAAAUCGAGAUUCCUCUGAUUAGUAAAUGGGAGAAGGGCAACUUGUGCAGCUGGGGCACUACAUGACUACGUGGGUCUCGUGUUGAUUUCGUCAAAUCUUAUGAUUAAAAUUGAUCUUAGCAAUUGAGUUUAUAUCUUUCUUUCAAAUUUGACAGAAUAAAAAGAAGCAUUUUAAUUUACUGUGUUGAAAUUUAAAAAGAAUUAUUUUGAUUUACUAUGUUUACAUUUUACCUGCCACGCAAUCAAUGGACCCCACCGACGCUCCAUUUCACCAGUACUUUAAUUAGCCCAAAAGAAAAGCAAAACCGAAAAAAUGAAAAAUGAAAAAGAGAAAGGGGGGCAUUCCGAGAAUUGAACUCGGGACCUUAUAUCUUUCUUUCAAAUUUGACAGAAUAAAAAGAAGCAUUUUAAUUUACUGUGUUGAAAUUUAAAAAGAAUUAUUUUGAUUUACUAUGUUUACAUUUUACCUGCCACGCAAUCAAUGGACCCCACCGACGCUCCAUUUCACCAGUACUUUAAUUAGCCCAAAAGAAAAGCAAAACCGAAAAAAUGAAAAAUGAAAAAGAGAAAGGGGGGCAUUCCGAGAAUUGAACUCGGGACCUCUCGCACCCUAAGCGAGAAUCAUACCACUAGACCAAAUGCCCAUGACUGCAAGCUUGCUCUAAUUUUUAUUAUUUAUUUCUAAUAAGCGGAAAUCCUCUAUAAAUGCUCGUUAAGGAGAUGUACCGGGAAGACGAUGUCUAUCAUUUGCACAGGCCCGGAUGCAUCUCUUUCCUAUCGAUCCUCGUCGCGCUCUGUAACGUGUAAUCAAUUUGAUCUUGAAUUGAUAUGAAUUAAUUAGGCAUGCCUUUGAAUUGCGUGUUGUUAUAUUAUAUUUCAGACGAGAUAUAUAUAGGCUAACGAUUGCUAAAAUGAGGAGCUGUUGCUUAUGGCAACGGAACCGUUUAGUUUUGCUUCCAUCUUACAAAUUGCUCGCCAAGUCAAUUUUAUCAUGGCCAAGUAGAUUCUAAAAUUCAACUUCAAGUGGAUCAAUGGUUGAUUUGAAGUGCUUCCAAAAUUUCCAAAGUAAUCUAUCAUGCAGUCAAUUCUCGUAAUGGAAAAUACGAAAGUUACGAAUGUCGAAGGUGUGUAGUACCUUGAUUUCUAUCUUUCUCGAAAGAUAGAACGUGGCUUAUCAUCAUUUCGUAUGUUGUUUUUAGGGUUAAUACCUUAAAAAAUCCAAAACUGGUACACUUGUGACAAAUUUACCCCAAACUAUUUUUUUGACCAUGAAAAACCCCAAACUGGUACAUUUGUGUCAAAUUUACCCCGACUAACUAUAAAAAACCCUAAACUGGUACAUUUAUGACAAAUUUACCCUAAAUUAAUUUAUUCGAUCACAAAAAACCUCAAAUUGGUAAAUUUGUGACUAAUAUAUCCUCCGAAAAAUUAGAUUAAUACCACAAAAAAAUCACAAAAAUUAUAAACUAUGACAAACAUAGUGUAAAAUCUCAAAUUGAUAUACCGGUCAAUUGUCACGUGUUAUUUAACUUUAUAAUUUAACAAGAAAAUUUAACUAAAACUAAUAUAGGGUAAAUUUGUCACAAGUGUACCAAUUUAUGGUAAAUUUGUUAAAGGUAUACCAGUUUGGGGUUUUUGGUGGUCAAAAAAAUAGUUUUGGGUAAAUUUGUCACAGGUGUACCAGUUUGGGGUUUUUCAAGGUAUUAACCCGUUGUUUUAUGUCAUCAAACGGGAAAGAGAAGGUCGGUAUUUAUAUGAAGAAUUGUCAAACGACCAAGAAAAUUAGAAAGGAAACUUAGAUGAAUGGACACAUCAAUCCAAGGAAAACAAGUUUUUUGAAAAUAUAUAUGUUACACUAGAACAAAUUAUACCGUGAGACUUAACUCACAAAACUAAAACGAAAAAGAUCCAGAAAGAAUCUUCUCUCGAAAUGGACGCUUUUCUCUUAAGCCCCACAACUUAAAAGAAAAAUAAGGCGGCAGCAGCGAGAGCAACCGGGGCCGAGAUCUUGACGACGGUGGCACUGCCCUCGGCAGGAGCCUCGGCCGGCGAUGACAAGUCAGAGGCAUCGCCCGCUGGUGCAACGGAGGCCUCACUGGAGGGUGCGGGUGGGGACGACACAUCGGCUACGGGAGACGAUGCCGGUGUCUCGACAGUGGCAUCAUUGGAUGGGGCGGCGGCAGGAGAGGUGGUGGACGAGGCUUGAGGCGCCUCGGAGACAGGUGGGGGUGUGGAAGCCUCGGGGGCGGUCGACGCGGCAGGGGACGAUGCCUUGGGGGAUGAGGCGGACGGGGAGCUGGCGGAGGACGACGACGACGACGAGGAGCCUUGAGGGGCAGCAGCAGGCGUGGCAGCAGGCGCCUGGGCCGAGACUGACCCGACAACGGCCGCGAUAGCUAGGGCAAGCACCACAAGUCGACUAGCCAUUCUUUCCGCAGUAUAGAACUCCCAAAAACGAAACGAAAAGAAGAACUUCUUCUCGUCUUUUCUUGUUUCGAGGUUUGAUUGCAGAGGACGCAGCUUUCUCUAGGGAACGUAGAGAAACACUGCGAAAGCUUUGAAGAUCUGAGAGGGGAAGAUUUACGACGAGAAGGAGAGGAUUUAAAUAGGGAUCCGAAGGGUAGAUUAAAAAUAGUAAGAGCCAAUUUGGAAUUUUGAGGUGUUUUGGAGGAACGAACGUGCGUGUUUUGAGAAGUGAUCGAGUUCUUACAUGCAAGCCAACGUGCGUGGUGGGGAGGGAUUUGGUUUAUUUUUGGCAGGUCCUUAAUUAGAGAGAGUGAGAGAUUUUCUUGGUGUUUGAGGUUAUGAUUGAAUAUUUAUAUUAAGCGAUGAUCAUCACUUCUUAUCUAGACAUAAAAAUAGGUUUGAUCUCACGUUAAUUUUGUAUGCCUUUUGACAAAACAGAGCGAACAGAGACAAUACUCGAUAAGACUCUCUUUAAUCUCUCUUUCCUACACUUUUAGUAAACUGCUAGCAAGAGAAUUUGGGGAAUGUCCUCUCAUUUUUUGGGUGACAGCUUCAAUCACAAUCCGACAAUUUUAGUCUUCGUUAUAAUCCCUGUCGUUAUAUCCAAACCAUACCAAUUUGCAAAGCUCUCUUAUUCUCUCCGUGACAAUUCAAACCCUUUUAUCUGGCUCAAAUAUCCACGCCGUUCCACUUAUUUAGUGGUAAUAAUGUCAUUUCAUUAACUUCAAGGUAUUCCGUCCAAUGAGAAAUGAUGUCAUUUUCAUUAAAUAUGGUAGAAUGCAUUAUUUUGAUUGAUUAAUAAAGUCACAUCCACUGACAUAGAAUUUGCCAUUUGCAGGGCCGUCAUUUUCAUUAAAUAUGCCUUGUAUCAUGAAGUUAUCCUCAAUGUGAUAAAAGUCCCAUCGACACAUAUUUUAGGAAAAAUUAUACGUCUAAAAUUAUUUCUAGAUAAGCCAUUCUUUUCACGUGGAAAGAUGUACAGUUCGAUUCUUUAAAUUAUCAGAGAUUUGAGGUGUGAUGGAGAUGUUUAGGACAUGUAUGAUAAUCAUUUUAUUUCUAUUAAAAAAUUAUUUUUUAUUAUAGAUUUAUUUUUGGAACAUAAAUUCGCUUAGCAAAAUUAUUAUUAUUAUUAUUAUUAUUAUUAUUAUUAUUAUUAUUAUUUUAUGUUUGGAAUAGAGUUUUACUCCAAAAAUAGAUUUGGAAUUAAAAUAAGAAGUAAUUUUUUUUUGUUUAUAUAUUUUCAGAAUAAAAAUAAGAAAUAAAAACUAUUUUUUAUUAUUUGUCCUUGUUACUAGCCGGCUGCCCAUUUGCUGUCGUUCACUGCAGUUGUGACAGCCUGAUUUUUCAAGUUCUGUUUUCAAUUGAAGAAGUCGGGCUUUUCAUCGAUGCGUCUAUAGUUUUUUUCUCUGAACUGAUCACUCAAGCGAUAACUAGUCUAUUUGAUGAAGACAUUAAGGGAUUUUAACGCAAUAGACUUGAGAAUUUGAUCAGAAAUCGACUGCUUGACCGUGCUAAUCUACAAGUGUCAUUACGGCACAGUUAAAAAUUGAUUAGAAACCGGAGAUAGGUUGAUUCAAUAGAGCCAUGUGAUUAAGGGUGGGUGAUUCCACCUAAUUGUAAAAUUUUCCUCGAUCGACAAUAAACCAAUUUUUUUGUCGUUUUGGUAUCUUGUGUUUGUAUUUGAAACCUUGAGAUUUUCACGACAACUGAGAGUCGCCAAUGUGUCGAAAAUAUACAAUGUGGCUCGAAAAUAAUCGAGUACGGGUCAAUUGCAUUAAAAAUUCCUAAAAAUUACCCGGUAUGUUAGGUCACGCUAAAAUCGCGUCUAGUUGAAAUUAACUGCGAAUUAAAUCCGAUUUUAGAAAUUGAAAGUUCUGUCAUGUCAUGAUUCAUUUUAGAAACGUCAACUCAUCAUUCAAAGAUUUUUCUGCAAACUGUGAUUUUUGGCGAAAAUUCAAAAUAAGGUUAUUUUGGACCGGGAAAAUUAGAUGAUUGUUUUUUGUCGCAUUUUUUAAAUUCAAGUUGGUUCAAUUGAUGAGGAAAAAUGUUGAAUUUGACGGGGACACUUUGGUUGGAUUUAUGGACAUCAAAUUGGGUUCAAUUUGAGGGGAAUUGAAGUGGAUUUCGUCUAAAAUUUGUAGGCCAAGGGGGAGACAAUAUUUUGGACCACUUGGGGAAGCUUCUAGGGGAAUUUUGGUGUAGCAAAAUUGGCUGAGGAUAGGGCUGAAGUGGUGGGGGCAUGUGUGAUGAGUAGAAGAGGAUAUGCAAGGACUUGGGGUCAAAGGGGACCCUCCAAGCUACAACUGGCUUCAUCUUCUUCAACAGGCCCACUUUAUCUAUUGUUGAUCAAUCUUUAAGCUCCAAAAAUCAGAGAGAAACCGGAGAGAGCCCCCCUGGCCCGUCGACCACCGUUGGAGCCCCCUGCCACCGUCGCAUACCCGUCACUUGCCGUCGCACCGUGCGCUAGCCUGCGCGAUUGUCCCGCUUGCCUCGCGCCUCCUCACUAUCUCUCGAGCUGCCCAAGCCAUCAUCGAAGUCCCCUAGCUGCUGUCCAAGCCGCCGAAACCGCCACUAUUGUCCUCCUGACCCCACAACAGUCUCACCAUCUCGCCAUGCCCCUUUCCUGAGUCGAGCAGCCCUCUCAGCCCGUUUCAAGGCCCAUCCAGACCUUCGUUGGUGUCGCCGCAGGCUUGGUUGUCGCCCGCCUUCACGUCGCCGUCGCUGUGAACUCAUCGGAACACUAAACCUGUGAGUUUACUUGCUAAACUUUGCUUAGGGAGUUCAUGAUGCUUAAGGGGUGAUUAGUUUAUGCUAAUUAGGGAUUAUGUGGUUAGUCAGUAUGGAUUAGUGAUUUAAUCGCUUAAUUAUACAUGUUAGGUGGUUAGAAUAAAUUAAUUAAGGGUUAAAUAGAUUGUACUAUUUAUCUAGAUAGAUUUAGAAAUUUUCUAGGCCCAUUUAGGUGGUUAGAUUAGCAUUUCCGGCCUAAGUUUGCAUUUAUUGGAUUUGUUGGUAUUUAUUUAAUUAUUGGUAUUUAUUUAAUUAUUUAAUUUUUUCAAAAAUUAUACCGGGAUAACCUGAGAUAAGAAUUUUGUGCUGAUUGCAAUGGUGUAUUUAGUUUAUUCAAAUGAAUGCUAAAUUGUGCAAAUUGAGUAGUAAUUGUAAUUUUGGAUAUUUAUUCCAAAAUUGUGAAAUUUGGAUAUUUAAUUAGAAAAAUCCUGAAUGUCAGGUUUUGACACCGAAAAUGGUUUUAAAGAUUGUAUCAGCUUGUGUGAGUAAUAAUCUAUGUCAGCUUGUGUAAAUAAUAAUAUAUAUUAGCUUGUGUGAGCAAUAUUAUAUAUCAGCUUGUGUGAGUAAUAUUAUAUAUCAGCUUGUGAGAACAAUAAUUUAUAUCAGCUUGUGUGAGCAAUAAUCUAUAUUAGCUUGCGCGAGCAAUAAUUCGUGGCUACGCCAGAAGACCAAUGUGUGUCGAUAGAUUAGCUUGUGUGACCAAUAAUCAAAUUGGGAAUUGUGAUUGAUUGAAAUUGAAGCGUUACAUUAUGGGGCAAAAUUGUAUGGCACGGUAUGGGACUUGUCAUAACGAUUUGGUCUUAUAAUCGGGAUCCCUGAAUUGAUUGUAUUGAUUGUACCAAUCGUAUAGAUUGAUUGAUUGAUUGAUGAUAUUGAUUGUAUCGAGGGCAUUGAAUUGAUUGAUCAAUUGAUUGUAUGAGAUGAUUGGAUUGAUUGAUUGAGUAUAUGGAUUGUACUGACAUGCAAGAGCAAAUUGAGGUGAGCAUAGAUUGCCUCUAAGUGUAUUUUCUUCCUAAUUGGAGUUUACGGGGUGAACUUGCUGAGACAUUAUUUCACCUCAUCGUGGGCUCAUUCUUUAUAGGGCAGCCCCACCAGUUUGUUAUGGUCAGCCUCGAAGGGUUACUGAGUAGGUGAUUGAUUUCCCUGCUCCCGUAGGCCAUGGGGUUUGGGUCUACGAGCUUGUAAUGACUAUUGUUUGGGUCAAUGAGGGCUUGCUUGAGAGGGUAUCUCAUUGAUUUAGGGUGUGAUUUCGCUGCAGGCUCAAUAAAUACAGAGUUGGUCCCCUCCAGGGUUUUGAGGUCCCAAUUGUGGUAGUAGACACCGCUUUUGGAAAGGUUACAGCUAACCAUCCCGAUGGUGCAGUUGUGGACCCAUCGCCCUAAGAGCCUGCGGAGUCUGAAGGAUAUGUGAACGUGUCCUUAGUGGACCAUUAGACAGUUUCCUUUUUUUGAGGGCAUAGGGUGCGUUUGGAUGGGCAUUUAGAAAGCUCAUUCAGUCCCCAAAGCCCAUUCAGCCCAAAUAUGGGUGUUUGGCAACCAAUCUCAAUGAGCUUUCAAAUGAAAGCCAGUCCUUGGGAACGUUGAAAACAUUUUUUCUCUUCCUAAACUACCCUCAUUAAUUUUUCAUAUUUUCGUUAUUGCUCCUGUAUUUAUUUAUUUUUUAAUUGAAAAAGGAGCAUCCCUUCGCCAGACCGGUGAAGGGCGACGGCCGCCGGUGGCCACAGCCCUUUGCUGGUCCGGAGAAGGGUUUAGCUGAAUUUAAAAAAAAAAAGAAUAUAUAUAUAUAUAUAUAUAUAUAUAUAUAUAUAUAUAUUAUACCCACCAAAGCCCUUGCGAAAGUUUUCUUUACCAAACGCACAUUCAACUCAAAGUUCAUUUGCAAUUUUUUUUUACCAAACACAAUUGCAUUUUUGCAAAUUUUUUUACCAAAUACAAUUGCAUUUUCCCCAAGUAGCUUUCGGUUUUCAGCAUUUGCAUUGGACUCAAAGCCCAUUGCAAAUACUGAACCAAACGCAGCCAUAGAUUUUUGGUUAUGGAUCUCUGUAUAUAAACCGAUGUGUAUAUAAAAGUGUUUUGGUUGUGAAAUUGUUCUUGCCUUUCUAUCCCGUGUUGGUUGUUGUCAGGAGUAUUGUUUCGCUUUCGCUAUGCAUUAAAAUGAAUGGGUUGGUGACGUGUCCUAGAAUGUCGCAAUUUUAUUAACCACCGAGAGAUGUGCGUGCGCUCGAUGAUUUGGGGUGUGACAAUAGUCGUUGCUCGCCAUCAUCCGCCACCACCAUUGGCGACUAUGUGAGAGAGAUAAAUUUUGUAUCACUGUCAAACGAAUUUCUAUAAACGAAUUUCUAUUCUCGAAAUAAAAAUUUUGUAUUCUCAUUAAACGUGUAUUUUUGCUUAAAAACUCAUCCACUAAUAGAAUUAGAAAAAUCUAUUUCUUUUAUAGAAAUCAAUUUUCUAGUCAGAAUGUUAUUAUUCGCAUCCUUAGCUUUCAAUUUUGGGGUCCGACUCUUAUGCUUUUACAGAGAGGUAGGUAAAAAUUUAAAAGUGAAUUGACCAUUAGAAUUGGACAGAUAAAAAAAAAAAAAUACUUUGGGUCAAAGUUAACUACCGGAUGACCGUUGAUAUUUUGUUAUGCGACACUUGAAAAUUGGGGCCAAUGUUCUUCCGGACAACAAUUUCGGAUCUGCAAAUUUCUCGUUUUCUCCUUUUUUAUCUGAUAAAAAAAAAAAAAAAACCCGUCAAAUAGCACAUGGCAAAUUUCGGACCUGCAAGUUGACCCGAACACAAGAGGCGAGAGAGACAGAGGAUGGCCGAGGAGCCUCCGCCGGCAGGUUCCUCCUCCUCUGCCGCCGCCGCCGCCGCCGCCGACGGCGGCCGAGCUGUGAAGGAGUGCGAGAAGAUGAUCCAGAGGAGCCUUCGAAGUAACGAUCCAUCCCCAUGCAAAUUUGCCAUUUCCCACGCCUCGUUUGCAUCUCUUCAUUUUCGCGCGUCGGGAUAAAAAUCCCACCUUUAUGCGCCGAGUAGGGUUUAGGGUUUUAGGGAUUUCGCCUGUCUCGUUCCUUCGCCUUGAUUGCUCGAGAUUUGACGCAUUGUGAAAUGGGGAAGACAGCGUCCUAUUGCCAUGUUUUGUGUGUUCCAUUUCCCUUUUAUCGAUCCUUGUCCGUUUCGAAGUUGGGAGCUUGAGGUCUAUGGAAUUGCCUUGUCGUCUUUGGAUCUACCGUUUGAAUUUCUCUCCUUGUCGUUGAGCAGCUCCAAUGGUGAGAUUCCUGAAGGAGCAGCUGGAGAAGGCGGGGUGUGCGUUGGGGGACAACUUCAUCAAGGCCGUUAACUGCGACGGGCAAGUCAGCGGUGGCUACAUGCCGGGCCUAGGGGUAUGAAUUUGAAUUACCCGCAUACAUCAUUUGGAAAUGAACUCGAUCCGUGUGUGUACGCCUGUGCUGUUUUCUUGCUACUUUCAUUUGAUGGGUCUAAUGCUAAACUCUCAAAGUUCUGUUCGCAUAUGAUUCGGUGGAUCUGUUAGAUAAUCACCUUGGUGGUAAGAGCAGAGGAGUAAAGAGGCUGUUGUUGUUUGAGUUGGUCAAGCUUAUAGCUUGUAUCAUAUUUCAAGCUUUUGAAGUCUGAUGAGCUUGUCGGGUGAAAUUUGGUUUUCAGUUUUCAUCCUCGCGUGUUUCUUUGACCCUGUUCAUCGGAAUCUCUUUUUUCUUUUUCAAUUUUUUGUAUUCCUUUGUUUGAUGUAAAGAGCUGUCAUUCAUGAGUGCCACACUGCUUUCUAGAUAGUCGUGUGUAGUAACCACAUGGAACUCCAAGAUGAUGUAAAUCAAGUAGUCAUACACGAACUCAUUCAUGCAUAUGAUGAGUGCCGAGCUGCAAAUUUGGACUGGAGUAAUUGUGCCCAUCAUGCCUGUAGCGAGGUACGAUAAUCAAUUCUUGUAACUGCCAUUUGAUUUUUGGGAGAUGGAGUCUUUAAACAGGACUGUUUAUAUCUUUGGCGAAUAUGUCCGAUGAUUAGAUACGUGCCGGCCAUUUAAGUGGUGAUUGUCACUAUAAACGGGAACUAUUGCGGGGUUACAUGAAGAUACGUGGUCAUGAGCAGGUAAAUUGAAAUUUACUUGUCUUUCCCCAAAAAUCCAUUUCCUGAUAUAAAAAAGCCUGAAAUAGGGAGUACAAUGUGCUCUUUGUCAGUUUUUAAGCAUUUGGAAUGUGUAUGUGUACCUGGAUGCAAAUUGCUGUAUAGGGCCUAAUUGCCUUUCAUUCUAGUGAAGUGAAGGCCCUUGGAUUCUCUACUAGUUGCAGUGAAUCUCAGGCAUCUGAGCAACUUACCUAGGCCUAUACGUCUCCACACUCUAUCAUUGAAGGACUGCUGUCUGUCAAGUCUUACAAUAUCUAAGUGUGCCAUAUGCGUUUACAGUAUACUUGUGUGGUUUUAUUUGACGGUUUGUAACAAAACAUUCUUUCUUGUUUGUUUCUCUGAUUGGAGAACUUCUUAUGGAGCUUUACUUCAGAAUUUUUUGCAAUUAGGAAACAUUAUGGUCCAGGCCAUGACAACGGUGAUGCUAUCAAAUAUUUAAGCAGAGGCAGCAUAAAAGGAAUUUAGAUGAUCAAGGAGGCUUGCAUUUUCUUAGUUCAAUUUGGGACUAGCAGUCAGGAAAGUCUGUAGAGAAUCAGAUCACAUGAAAAAUAUAAGCAGUGGGGAUCUUUCAAUUAGUUGCCUAUGGACCAACAAAAAUGCUGUUCAUAAUCUGAGUCCAGCUCUCAUGUUCAAACCCAAAAGGAAAAAGCAAAGCAAAUCCUCAUACUGAAACUUGUGCAGUAAAUUUUCCUAGCCUAUUUACUUCAUUGAAAUCUAGAAAUCCAUUUGACUCGGGUCAGGUCGUGACCAUUAUUUUCUCGUUAGUUACUGUCUUCUUAGACAGCUACUGAAUGGUUAGCAAACUAUUCUUUGCAGUUUAGUUUUUCAGCACUUUGCACAGUGCUCUUUCAGAUAUGAUCUUCCCUUUCCAUAUUGACUACAUGAGCAAUGCUUUGUACUUUUUGAGCGUUUGAUUGAUUAUGUUUGGUCAUGCUCAUCUUGUCUUGAUAUUUCAAGGAAUGUGUGAGGAGAAGAGUAAUGAAGUCGGUUACUGCAAACCCUCACUGCUCAGAAGCCGCUGCAAAGGAUGCGAUGGAAGCUGUGUGGGAUGUCUGUUACAAUGAUACAAAGCCAUUUGACAGAGCUCCGUGAUUUUGUGGUUUCUGGCGCUUGUUGAUGCCCAUCAAGUGGAAUUACCAUUCUUAGAAUCUUUCAAUGGACACUGGUGCAUAUCGGAAGGUGGAUCGAAUCUUUAGUCAUAGAAGGGUAGAACAACCAAAAUAAAGUCUCCAUGGUUUCCAUUGUCUUUACUCUUUUUUCUUUUCCCAAUCAAAUUGUUGCAAGAUGAGCAUCCCACAAUUGUCUAUUGUUUACUGCUUUCACCCAGCAGCAUUGGUGCCAAUGUUUUAGGUCAAAGGAUGACACAGUCUUUUGUCCAUGAGUGUGCUGGAGUAGAACAUAUCGAUUUUUGUUUAUUGUACUGAGAAAAGUUUUUACUGUUUGAAGAAGUUGAUGCUCUUGCUCAUUCUGAGCUUAUAUUAUCUUUAUGGCGUUAAUUAUAUUCUGAAAACUGGAUCUGUGCUGGUUGAGGGGUUCAUAGAAGCAAACUAACUUCACAAAUUCUGCGUUUGCUUGCCUCAGUUUUGUUGCAUUAUCACAGAUUAUGAAGUUCAAAUCAUGUUUUGGUUUGAGAACACAGACAUCACUCAAAAAGACUUUUGCCGGGGUCUAUAUCAUUUACCAAACUCAAUGGUAAAAUUAGAAUUCAUGCUAAGGAAUAUACUUGAGCUUGACGCAAUUCAGAUAGGGAAGACUUUGUGGAGUCCAUGGCGACUUGGGAAAUGAACAAGGAAAACCAGCAUUGGGGUCACUGGGUGUUCAAUUAACGACAAAAACCUCUUUUCUUUUUGCCAUAGUGAUAUAGAGAUUCCAACAGCCAGAGCCAACUACACAACCAGAGAAAAACAUAAUCCAAGAGAUAAAUCAAUAAUCCCCACACAACCAAGGUCAUGCAUAAAAUUAUACAAUGGUAUUAUAUGGCAAGAUGGGAUGAUCGUGUCAUCGUGUUUCGCUUCUGACAUCUCGCUUUUAAAAUCUUUAUCCAUUCCGUAUCCGAUCCAGCCGGUCGACGCUCUUCCGUGCCUUUUCCAACUGAUGAUCAAUGCUCUUUCUGGAUUUCUCGUGGCAAUCCACACUUCUCCGGGACCUUUGCAUGUGGUCAAAAGAGAUGCGUAAUUUCUCUAGCUUAUCAGCGCUGAGACCCUGAUUUUUCAGCUUCUCGGGCCUGUCUGUGCUCUUCCUCGGCUUCUCUCUCCUGUCGGUGCUCUUUCUAGACACUUCGUACACAUCAGUGCUCUUGCGGGGCUGCUCGAACUGAUCUGUGCUUUGCCUGGAGCUGUACCUCUGGGAAGGAGACUUCUCGACAGUAGUUAUGAACUUUUUAAGAUGCCUUAUAAAUUCAGGAUAGAGCUCUAGAUCACAGUGAUUUCCACCUUUAAUCCAUAAGGGUUCAUACUUCUCCUUACACAGUUCCCACAGUUGCUUCCCGUGGGAGCAAUCAACAACUUCAUCAGCAGUUCCCUGUAAAUGGUAUAAAUUACUUUAAGCAUUCUUCUGUACAAACAUGAGAGUAAACUAGGUCUUCAACUGCAAAAGAACAGAAAAAAGGAAGCACGCAAGUCGAGCAGGAUAAGCAUAUUAAUGGUAUCUCCAAUUUCAUAUAGAGGUCCCAUCACUUUCUUCACUAUGAUAUGCCUACUCCUAUAAGUAUUGCUUUAACUUAACAUUCUCUCGCUGCAAUGUUUUUAUCCUCCUAUUACUGAAACGAUGACUUUCUGGGAAUUUCUUCAUAAAAAUAGAAGGUUCUGGAGUAUGCUUUCUGUUUCAAGCAAAUGAUAUAAGAGGAAACAACCAACCGAAUGCAACUUUCAGCUGGUGUUGUAUAAUUUUCCACUGCCACAAGACCAGACUAGACCUGCUAAUUUGCAUGGGUACUUGCUUCCAGAGUACUGUUUACAGAAGGUACAGCCACUUCUCUUAAAUAAAUGAAAACUGCACAGAAGUCAUGUCUAGAUCAUCUGCAGGAAUUAGAUGGACCACAAUGCGUGUUCUGACAGUGCAUCUACUCUUCAAUUCUCUGGUUUGUUUUCACCGCAUUAUUAGCUAAAUUUUCAACUGUGUCAGAUCAGAGAUGACACGAAAAAUGUCCCCUCAUCCCCUCCACUCUAAUGGACCGUAGGUUCUACAUAACGUAUGUAGAAUAUUUUAUCCUCGAGAAGGAAAUUUCAUUGACAUUACGGUACCAAUGAAACUUCUCCAAACAAAGCAUUCACAUUUUUGUGAACCUCCAAAAGAUAAUGGAGGGGGGCGUUCUCCAUGCAGCAGUUUUUCGUUACAGGCCAUAAUAUUAUCAUCCGACUGUCAACACCAAAGCAAUAACAGCCAAUACGAGAGCCAUUCUUCCACUCGAAUAUGGCUCCCCUGCACAUGAUGACAUGGAGAAAGCAUUGGGUCAGCAUGUUAUGGGUAAUACAUCUAUACCAUGGGAUCCAGUGGAAUCCACCAUACUCAAUGGUCCAUAUGCACAUUAGCGCCUCUACCAAACUCCCUUAACAAUUUCUGAACGACAUGUCAUGUAGAAAAGUAUUGCUAUUACUUGCUUAUGAUGUCAGCACUGAAGGUCAGCUGACAGGACAGUAUCCAAACAUGAUGUCUCCAGAGGCAUGCUGUGGAUCUUACAUUCCUGGAAUACUAAAGAAAGGGUAGCAAAUUCCCGAUGAAGAAGAAACAUGAUUACAUGUUUGAGAACUCAAGCUUCAAAGAACAAAGAGAAGCAGCGAAAGGGUGGUAUUAGAAUGUGAUAAAAGAUUAAAGAAAUUAUGGCACUUGGUUAGUUGUCUUCACACAAAGAAUUUUUGCAUAAUUUAUAAAAACCAAAUCGUUGUCAUCCUGAUUCCAUGGAACAUAAAGAGAAGAAUUUGCAUUAAAUUAAUUCACGCAUAUGGUGGUUUGCCAGUCAAGCACAAUAUAGCCAUAUGAAGAAAUAUAUACUCACAUGAAUGAUGAGGACUGGACAAUUAACCAGUGGAAUUUUGUCAACAUUCUGCCAAGCAACAAAAUUGUCACUUCAAGUGAGCAAAAGAAUUAAUCCUUGAGCAGGAGAAGAAACAGAAAUAUUAAACCAAGAGUAUCACUACCUUGUAUAUAUCAAACCAGUAUGUACGCUUUACAGGAUACAUGACUCUCACGCCAGAAAGUAUAGGGCUAUGCAAAACGACAGCUCUUAGCUGAGGCAGUCUUGCAGCAAGUUCCACAGUGGGGCCACUACCAACAGAUUGUCCAUAAAGGAUAAUAUCUUCCUGCUUAACACCAUAACUCUCUUCAAGACACUUGUAAGCAGCUUCUAUAUCUGCAUAAGUAUUCUGCUCACUUGGCUGUGACAAUGAAAGGGAUUGGCUUCAGAAAAGCUUCUCUCUUCAAAAUAAAGCUUUUAGCUUCCACAGAAAGCAUAUUAAAUGUACAUCAUACUUAUUUACUUGAUAAAAUUUUCUUCAGAUUCUAACACACCUUUCCAGAUGAUUGUCCAUACCCUGAAUAAUCAUACCUGCGGAAGUAAUGUUUUUCAUUAGAACUAGCAUCAUUCAUUGGAAAUUAAAUUAUGUAUUCUGCGAUACAUGCUUUUGAACAUGGACAUGGAGAUCAAUAUUUUCAUAUCCUAGAGAGGUUCAUGAACAAAUUUGAAACCUCUGAAGGACUCGAGUUUAGAUGUUCAGUGCAAAGAGUAAGACUUCAAGUUGAAAUAGAAAAGAAUACUUCAAAGCUACAACGGUGCGAGCUGGCAAAUUCACAUGACUUUUGCUGUUCAUAUGCAUUCUUCAUACAGAGUUUACAUAAAAAAUCAGUUGAAUAGAACUUAUCAAAGUCAGAUUCCAAGAGGCAGGUGUAUUCUAAAUUUACUGAAAUUAGUUUAGCUACUUCUAACUUUAAAUUAUUUCCAAAAUAUAAAUUUUCGCAAUUAUGAAUGCCGUUAAAGUUCAAAAAAGUAUGUCAGACCUUUAUAUUACUUCGACUGCACAAUUGAUGACUUUAACUAAAUCGUCUGGCUAUAUACAUAUCUCAUAAAUUAAACAAACGACUGACUUGAAUGACACUUCUAUGGACUGCUUGCACAUGUAGACAUUGCAGGCUGCAGAGAAAAGACAUUGACUGACUUUCUGUGAUUUAAAAACUAAACUAACCUCUAGAAUAUUUUCACAAUUUUUGUUUUUUACCUAACCUCUAAGAGAGUCAAUUGUUAAUGUAAGGCACGGGAAAGAGGUGUUUCCAACUGGACAGAAGAAAAACUGAGCUUUGAGUGAGCCACUCCUGAUUACAGUGAAGACUAGUCCAUUGCCGAAACACUAAAAUGGUCUCACCAUUCACUGUAAGCUGAUGAUAAAGUAAAAGAUCAAACGUAGCUAUACUUCUAAAUCAGGUAAGCAGAACAAGAAAACAAUGGAUAGGAACCCAAUUAUCCAAGCAACAUCAUCUUCGAAAUUUGAAUCCACCAGUGGACAACGAGUCUAGCUUAUCGUUUCUCCAAAUACUUCAAUCAGCUCAACUCCUCAACCAUCGAGGCCACAAAAGGGCUCUAACAAGAGCUAGAUACCAGAUCAACUGAAUCUCCCAUAAUUACCAGCUCACAGCUCAACAUAAUCCCCCGCAAAUUCUCCCUGCUUACAAAGAAAACCACCAGCUACGCAAUUCCACACAACAGCAAGAACCAGAAAAAGGGGAGCCGCCCAAAAAUGGAAAGAAAUGAAAAAGAAGAAGCGAAACCCAGAUUCAGGAAUAGCCCAAGAAGUCCAAAAGCAGCAACCACCCAGCUCAAAAGAUCACACACCAAGAACGAGAACCGUCAAAAAAGAGGCCAGCGAGCUACGAAUAUUAUACCCCAUGAGAUUGACGCGCAGGUGGAUGCUCAAUUCGAUGAAGAGCUCGUACAUCUGGCCCAGAUCGGCGGCGUUGCCGUGGGAGUAGAGGAGGGUGGAGGUGG
Molecule: long non-coding RNA, 93329 nt
Filed under: Eucalyptus grandis
Lineage: Eukaryota; Viridiplantae; Streptophyta; Magnoliopsida; Myrtales; Myrtaceae
Description: long non-coding RNA (EGRA_LNC005654)
Source: RNAcentral